AUCAAUGUCAUCAACUGCUUCAGAGAUGAAUAGUCUAUCCACAGUACAAUCCUAACUUCUUUUCCUGAAUCCACCUCCCACAUCAAUGCAAGUUUAGAUGCCAGGUCGUCGGCCUUCAUUAUUAUAUUUUCCCUCAAGUCAUGCUGUCGCAACUCAUAGCCUUGCUUCUUCUGUACAGAAAAGACAUAAAUGUGUUGUAGCGACGUUAACUUACCUAUAUUCAGAAUUUGGGAAAUAGGCUUUUUAUUGAUGAAAUCAUGAGCAGACUCAUAGUACGCUCCUAGAUGUCGUAGCUUUCUUAAAUUGCAUAGUUUGUCAGGCAAAUUAUCCACCAUGUGGUUUAACCAAAGUAAUUGUAAGUGGUAGAGAGUACAUAAUGAUGUAGGCAAUUCAGAAACUAACGUCCUGAUGAGGUUCAAAUACCGGAGGUGCUUCAGCUCACCAAUAGAUUUUGGCAACUUGCUGCUGUUGUAAAAUGACAGAGACAAUACAUGCAGUUUUCUUUGGUUCCGUAGCAUGCCAUCAAAAAUAUCACUUGGGCCAUCCAUUAGCAGAUCGAUGCAGAUAAUAGUGCGUAAAUGAUACAGCUUGCAGAUAAUUUGCUUAUGCUUUUGCAUACUUUGAACAUGAACAAAUAGAUGUCGAACAGUGCAUGGUAUUUCUGUCACAUUAUCAUCUUCUAAUCUGAAGCAGCCAUCUCUAGAGAGUGACUCUGCAAAAUCAUGAAGGAUAUCAUGCAUGACAUAGUACGAAUCACAAUGCAUCUGAGAAACCAAUUGGAAGAAAGAUACAGAGACCAUAUCAUUGAAGUAAUCCAUCCCAACCUCUUCUAACGUUCUCCUACUAAAAUUGCAUGAACCAACAAAUCCUUCUCCCACCCAAAGGUGAACCAACUCUUUAGGUUUAUAUCCCUGACCUUUUCGAAACAAGCUGCAAUACAAGAAGCACCUCUGUAGACGUGGAUCUAACUUCUCGUAACUCCACAACAGAGAUGUGAAGGGAUCACUUAAAUCUCCAAGCUUUAGAGCAGCUUUCCAUUCAGCAAUAUCCUUUUUCCUGCACAAUCGAGAACCCAUAACUUUUGCUGCCAAAGGACAUUGUCCAAGCCUUUUAGCAAUCUCCUCUGCAGUGUCUUCUAGCUUCGUGCGUAACAGUUGGUCUUUGAUUUCUGCUCCAGAGAAAGCAUGGUGUUUAAAAAGAGCCAAAAACUCAGUAUCAUCCAUGUUUUCCAAAUGAAUGGCAUGUUCUUGUUCACAACAAAUAGCAGCAGGAAGUGUUUUACUACGAGAAGUCACCAAAACUUUGCUCCCUGACUGUUUAGAGACUAAUGGAGCAAGGAAUAACUCCCACUCUGUCUCAUUAUGAGAUUUUUCAAACCAAACAUCAUCCAAGACAAGCAGGAAUUUCUAUGGCUCUUGUAGUAUAUCACGUAAUUUGCACUGGAGAGUAUCGAGAUUUAGAUAGAACUAAAAUUGAUAAAUCAAUGAAUUAAUUGAUGCUUUGAAUGACAAGAAUAGAUUGUUAGAAAAGCAAGAGGAUCUUUUGUAUGAAGAGCAUGAUAAAUUUGUAGAUGUCCAAAAAUCUCUUGCUUUAGAAGUUAAAAGGAAUGAAAUGCUUUCUUGUGAUUUAUCUACUUGCCAUGGGACUAUUUCUAGUUUAAAAAGUGUUAAUUGUGAUUUAAAUGCUAAGCUAGAAGUAGCAAAUAGAUCUAGUUCUUGUGUAGAACAUGUAGUGAUUUGCAAUAGGUGUAAGGACUUUAAUGUUGAUGCAUGUGUUGAGCACCUUACUUCUAUUGCAAAACUAAAUGGUGAAGUGGCUAGUCUUAAUGCCCAACUUAAGACUAGCAAAAAUGAAUUUGAUAAACUAAAAUUUGCAAGGGAUGCCUACACUGUUGGUAGACACCCCUCAAUUAAGGAUGGGCUUGGCUUUAAGAGGGAAGCCAAGAACUUAACAAGUCAUAAGGCUCCAAUCUCCGCCAAGGAGAAAGGGAUGGCCCCUAUGGCUAAUAGUGUUCAAAAGAAUCAUACUUUCAUUUAUAGUGAUAAAAAAUUCUCUAGAAAUGCUUAUAGGAAUUAUUCUUAUGAUUCAUAUGCUAUGCCUGCUUUAGUUCUUCUAUUGUGCAUGAUAUGCCUAGGAAAAAUGUUAUUCAUCAUAUGCCUAGGAGAAAUGUUGUUCAUGUACUUAGGAAAGCAAGUAAUGAACCUUCUACAAUUUAUCAUGCUUGCAAUGCUUCCUUUGCAAUUUGUAGAAAGGAUAAGAAAGUGAUUGCUAGGAAAUUAGGGGCAAAAUGCAAGGGAGAUAAAACUUGCAUUUGGGUCCCUAAGGCUAUUGUCACUAACCUUGCAGGACCCAACAAGAGUUGGUUACCUAAGACCCAAGCCUAAAUUUGCCUUGCAGGUUUAUGCAUCCGGGGGCUCAAGCUGGAUUAUCGACAGCGGAUGCACAAACCACAUGACGGGGGAGAAGAAGAUGUUCACCUCCUACGUCAAGAACAAGGAUUCCUAAGAUUCAAUCAUAUUCGGUGAUGGGAACCAAGGCAAGGUUAAAGGACUAGGAAAAAUAGCAAUUUCAUCUGAGCAUUCCAUUUCUAAUGUGUUUUUAGUAGAAUCGCUCGGAUAUAACUUGUUGUCCGUUAGUCAAUUAUGUAAUAUGGGGUAUAAUUGCUUAUUUACAAAUGUAGAUGUGUCUGUCUUUAGAAGGAGUGAUGGUUCAUUAGCUUUUAAGGGUGUACUAGACGACAAACUCUAUUUAGUUGAUUUUGCAAAGGAGGAGGCCGAUCUAGAUGCAUGUUUAAUUGCUAAGACUAGCAUGGGCUGGCUAUGACAUCGCCGUCUAGCACAUGUGGGGAUGAUGAACCUUCACAAACUUCUAAAGGGAGAACAUGUGUUAGGACUAACAAAUGUGACUUUCGAAAACGAUAGACCUUGUGCAGCUUGUCAAGCAGGUAAACAGGUGGGAAGUGCUCAUCACAGCAAGAAUGUAAUGACCACGUCAAGACCUCUGGAGUUACUUCAUAUGGACCUCUUCGGACCCGUCGCCUACCUAAGCAUAGGAGGAAGUAAGUAUGGUCUUGUUAUAGUUGAUGAUUUUUCCCGCUUCACUUGGGUAUUCUUUUUGCAGGAUAAAACAAAAACCCAAGAGACCCUCAAGCGCUUCCUAAGAAGAGCUCAAAAUGAGUUUGAGCACAAGGUGAAGAAGAUAAGGAGCGACAACGGGUCCGAGUUCAAGAACCUUCAAGUGGAGGAGUACCUUGAGGAGGAAGGAAUCAAGCACGAGUUUUCCGCUCCCUACACACCACAACAAAAUGGUGUGGUAGAGAGGAAGAACAGGACGCUCAUUGACAUGGCAAGGACGAUGCUUGGAGAGUUCAAGACCCCCGAGCGGUUUUGGUCGGAAGCCGUGAACACGGCCUGCCACGCCAUAAACCGGGUCUACCUUCAUCACCUCCUCAAGAAGACGUCGUACGAACUCCUAACCGGUAACAAACCCAAUGUGUCAUACUUUCGUGUUUUUGGGAGCAAAUGUUAUAUUCUAGUAAAGAAAGGUAGAAAUUCUAAGUUUGCUCCCAAAUCUGUAGAAGGGUUUUUGUUAGGUUAUGACUCAAAUACAAAGGCGUAUAGGGUCUUCAACAAAUCAUCGGGUUUGGUUGAAGUCUCUAGCAACGUUGUAUUUGAUGAGACUAAUGGCUCUCCAAGAGAGCAAGUUUUUGAUCUUGAUGAUGUAGAUGAAGAGGACGUUCCAACGACCGCAAUACGCACCAUGGCAAUUAGAGAUGUGCGGCCACAGGAACAAAAGGAGCAAGAUCAACCUUCUUCCUCAACAAUGGUGCAACCCCCAACUCAAGACGAUGAACAGGUUCAUCAAGAAGAGGCGUGUGAUCAAGGGGGAGCACAAGAUGAUCAUGUUAUGGAGGAAGAAGCACAACAUGCCCCUUCAACUCAAGUUCGAGCGACGAUUCAAAGGAAUCAUCCCGUCGACCAGAUAUUGGGUGAUAUUAGCAAGGGAGUAACUACUCGCUCUAGAUUAGUUAAUUUUUGUGAGCAUUACUCUUUUGUCUCUUCUAUUGAGCCUUUCAGGGUAGAAGAGGCCUUGCUAGAUCCGGACUCGGUGUUGGCCAUGCAGGAGGAGCUCAACAAUUUCAAGAGAAAUGAAGUUUGGACACUGGUGCCACGUCCCAAGCAAAACUUUGUGGGAACCAAGUGGGUGUUCCGCAACAAACAGGACGAGCACGGGGUGGUGACAAGGAACAAGGCACGACUUGUGGCAAAAGGUUAUGCCCAAGUCGCAGGUUUGGACUUUGAGGAGACUUUUGCUCCUGUGGCUAGGCUAGAGUCAAUUCGCAUAUUGUUAGCCUAUGCCGCUCACCAUUCUUUCAGGUUGUUCCAAAUGGAUGUAAAGAGCGCUUUCCUCAACGGGCCAAUCAAGGAGGAGGUGUACGUAGAGCAACCCCCUGGCUUUGAGGAUGAAUGGUACCCCAACCAUGUGUGUAAGCUCUCUAAGGCGCUCUAUGGACUUAAGCAAGCCCCGAGAGCAUGGUAUGAAUGCCUUAGAGACUUUUUAAUUGCUAAUGCUUUCAAGGUUGGGAAAGCCGAUCCAACUUUAUUUACUAAGACUUGUGAUGGUGACUUAUUUAUGUGCCAAAUUUAUGUCGAUGACAUAAUAUUUGGUUCUACUAACCAAAAGUCCUGUGAAGAGUUUAGCAGGGUGAUGACUCAAAAGUUUGAAAUGUCGAUGAUGGGCGAGUUGAACUACUUCCUUGGGUUCCAAGUGAAGCAACUCAAGGACGUCACUUUCAUCUCCCAAACGAAGUACACGCAAGACUUGAUCAAGCGGUUUGGGAUGAAGGACACCAAGCCCGCAAAAACUCCAAUGGGAACUGACGGACACGUCGACCUCAACAAAGGAGGUAAGUCCGAUCAAAAAGCAUACCGGUCUAUGAUAGGUUCCUUGCUUUACUUAUGUGCCAGUAGACCGGAUAUUAUGCUUAGUGUAUGCAUGUGUGCUAGAUUUCAAUCCGAUCCAAGGGAGUGUCACUUAGUGGCAGUGAAGCGAAUUCUUAGAUAUUUAGUCGCUACGCCUUGCUUCGGGAUCUAGUAUCCAAAGGGGUCUACGUUUGACUUAAUUGGAUAUUCAGACUCCGAUUAUGCUGGAUGUAAGGUUGAUAGGAAGAGUACAUCAGGGACGUGCCAAUUCUUAGGAAGGUCCCUGGUGUCUUGGAGUUCUAAGAAACAAACUUCCGUUGCCCUAUCCACCGCUGAGGCCGAGUAUGUUGUCGCAGGACAGUGUUGCGCGCAACUACUUUGGAUGAGGCAAACCCUCCGGGACUUUGGCUACAAUCUGAGCAAAGUCCCACUCCUAUGUGAUAAUGAGAGUGCUAUCCGCAUGGCGGAUAAUCCUAUUGAACACAGCCGCACAAAGCACAUAGACAUCCGGCAUCACUUUCUGAGAGACCACCAGCAAAAGGGAGAUAUCGAAGUGUUUUAUGUUAGCACCGAGAACCAGCUAGCCGAUAUCUUUACCAAGCCUCUAGAUGAGUCAACCUUUUGCAGGCUGCGUAGUGACCUAAAUGUCUUAGAUUCGCGUAACUUGGAUUGAUUUAUAGCAUACAUGUGUUUUAUGCCUUGAUCACGUUCCUUAUGCAUUUUGUUUAUUUAUGGUGCUCAAGUUGUACAAGCACUCCCCGGACCUCACAAGUCCGUGUGCAAGUGAUGCACAUAUUUAGGGGGAGAUGUGCUACAACUUGACCCUUUGAGACUAACCAUGUGUUUGAGCUUGCUUGAUUUAGUCUCAAAGGUGGAUUGAAAGGGAAAGAUGGACUUGGACCAUGAAAGACUUCCACUGCACUCCGAUGAGAGGGUAACUAACUCCAAGUUCAUUUCCAUGCUCUUAUUGCCUCUUUACUCUAAGUUGAAGAUUUUGGUGAGGUAAUGGGGUUUAAGGGCCAAGAUUGAUCCCGUUUUGGUGCUUGAUGCCAAAAGGGGGAGAAAAUAAGGCCAAAGCAAGAAAUGGAUCAGCUGCCACUUGAAAAUUUUGAAAAUAGUAGAGUUAGAGUUUUUGUUUUGUCAAAAACCUCUUAAUGUCUCUUCUUAUCAAAAGUUGGUCUCUUGUGGGGAGAAUGGUUGAUUAUGGGAAAACGGGGAGUUUUUUAAUCCUUGAUCAAUUUCUCUUGGAAUACCUUUCUCUAUGCCUCAACAAGUGAAUUUGACUUAGAGAUAGGAAAUUGAGUUUGAUUUGCAAAAACAAACCAAGUGGUGGCAAAGGAUGAUCGAAUUAUGCCAAAUUUGAAUCAAAACAAAUUCGUGUUCUCAUUUGCAUUGAUGUUGCACUUCUAUAUGUUGCUUUUUGUUGUGUUGGCAUAAAUCACCAAAAAGGGGGAGAUUGAAAGGGAAAUGUGCCCUUGGGCCAUUUCUAAGGAUUUUGGUGAUUAAGUUCAACACAAAUGGUUUAAGUGUUAAACUGUGCCAAGUUGUGAAUGAAGUGCAAAUCAACACAAAGGUAUGAUUCUAGACUUAGUACAUUGGUUUUUAUGUACUAACAUAUUUGUCUAAGUGCUAGAAUCAGAGAAAAGACAAAAGGAAAAUGUCUUGGCUGAAGCAGCCAAGACUCUGCUCUGUCUGGGUGCACCGGACUGUCCGGUGGUGCACCGGACAGUGUACGGUGCGCCAGGCUGGUGCUGGUCAACUGGCCGCUCUCGGGAACUCGAUGGCGGCGUACGACUAUAAUUCACCAGACUGUCCGGUGGUGCACCGGACUGUCCGGUGAGCCAACGGUCGACCGCGCAAUCCGCACGUGACGCGUGGCCGAGCCAACGGUCUGAUGGGAGCACCGGACUGUCCGGUGUGCACCGGACAGUGUCCGGUGCGCCAACGGCUCCAAAUCAUCAACGGUCGGCUGCGCCAGAAUAGGAAAGAAAUAUGCACCGGACAGUGUCCGGUGGUGCACCGGACUGUCCGGUGCACCAGUCGACAGAAGGCAAGAAUUGCCUUCCUGGAUUGCUCUCAACGGCUCCUAGCUGCCUUGGGGCUAUAAAAGGGGUCCCUAGGCGCAUGAAGGAGAACACCAAGCAUUCUUUGAUCAUCUCUUAGCACCAAGACAUCUAUCUAGCGCAUUUGAUUCGUUGUGAUAGCAAUUUGAGCUCCUCUUGAGUUGAGAACUCCGUGUGUGACCUUAGAGCUCAAGUUGUGACUUGUGUGCGUGUUUGUGCUCGUGCUUUGAGGCUUGUGUGUGUUGCUCUUCCCACUCUUACAUUUGUGCUUCUUUGUGAUCAUCUCAUUGUAAGGGCGAGAGGCUCCAAGUUGUGGAGAUUCCUCGCAAACGGGAAAGAGUAAGGAAAGAAGAACACAGUGGUAUUCAAGUUGAUCAUUGGAUCACUUGAAAGGAGUUGAGUGCAACUAUCGUCCAUUGGGACGCCACAACGUGGACUAGGCAAGUAUUGUACUUGGCCGAACCACGGGAUAAAUCCUUGUGUCUCUUGUGCUUGUUCUCACUGUGUCAAUUGUGGUUCACAAGAGCUCUCCUUAGCCACUUGAUUUCAUUGUGCUAACACUUAAUCAAGUUUGUGGCUUUAAGUUUCAAGUUUUUACAGGAUCACCUAUUCACCCCCCUCUAGGUGCUCUCACUUGCGCGCAAACAUAAAUCUUUGGAUCUCUAUUGGUAGUGGCAGCGCCUUGUUCAUGCGAUGGAAUGUGAGAUGAUAUAGGGCAUGAGCACGUAGGUCUCGAGAAUUGUCCUGCAAUACAAGCAUAGCAUUAAUUAUACACGUAUAUAGCUAACAUGUACAACGAUGGCAACCGGAAGAUAAAUAUUUAGCAUAAUCACUUACUGGUUGAGUGUAAGAAGUGAUGACACCUGAAUUGUGAUCAUAAUACUUCAUGUAACUCAUUACAUAAAAGCCACAGUCGUUUGACCCUAUUCUCAUUGUUGGGCAAUUUGAUGGCAUAUCCAUUGGAAAGUUACCAAAUUUGGGGAAGGAUGCAUUGGGGCAAACAUGUUGUAACACUUUGCUCAACCUACUCAUUAUAACCCUAGCCCAUGGGAAUUUCCUUCCACCUAAAUAGAUUGGGUCAUAAUGGUAGUCCUUCCAUGUGGUGCCACCGAGUUCUAUACCAUACGAAUUCGAAUCUAAAAUGUGUAUACACCGAUGUUGUAGGUUGAUUACAUACAGUGUCCAAUGUCCCCUACUAAGCAUAGGUACCAAUAUCUGUUGAUGAAAAAAUGUAAAUAAGUAACAUGUUGAUGUUACAAUGCCAUGAUGAGUAAAAAGUACAGUUAAUAUACUAAUGAACCUUUGAAAAAAGAAUACUGAGGCUUACCGACUUGCAUUUAUCCAGAUUUACCAACGAAGGCAGUGUGUUAUGUAAGCAAUUCUGUAACACAUUUUGAUCAAACGGCUGAGGAUUCUUACUAUGAUGUUCCUGCUCUUCAAAAUUUAGCAGAGCCUAGAAACAACAUAGAGAGUGUGUAAGUAUAUUCUGUGAAUAAUUACAAAAACUGUGAAGAAGAACAUACCUCAACAUUGACAUCAAGUAAUAAUCUAUUAGAAGUCAUAGUUCGACGAUGAUUUUUGGAAUCAUCACGAACACACUCAAUGAAGCACUGCAUGAAGACAUUCUCAAGACACUUCCCCUCUAUGAAAGAUUCAUAAAUAUCGAGACAGUUUCCACUGUAUUCACCGUAAUCUAUGACAACCUUGUAUGAAAAAUAUAGUUAUAUAUUCAUAUUACAUACAUGAAACAAACUAAUAAAUACGGUCUUCGUAAUUUGUGUAACGUGUACCUGCUUUGGUCAAUGUCCUUGGAACAGAGUAAAUCCCACAGAGCACGAACGCAAUCAAGCUCUGUAAGGAGUGGAGAAGUUCCAGAAAGUGUUGUCCCUUUUAGUGUAUCAUCCUGAGAUGCAACCUGGUUAUAAGUGUUUGAACAUUAGAAUAAUUAGUUUAAUGGCAUAAAGUGCAUUAUAGAAGAUGUAUGUUAUUAUACUGACAUGAGGCAUUGGGGUCUGAUCAAAGACUGGUCCACUGUCAUUGUGUUCCAUUUCAUCUGUUGCCAUUUCACCUCUCUACACAAAGGUAUAUGAUUAGUAAAAUUAUGUAAUAUGUAUUGUACUCAUGUAAUCGUAAAAUGGAAUUAUAACAUGAGACAAGGAUUGCUAAACAAACAUUUUUUGCGGUGUCACGUCAAAUUUCGACAAACGGGUGCAAGCUGGUGUGGGUUGAGGUGUGAUAUUUGUGUUCCUCAACAUGUUGUUUCGAACAUCAAAGCAGAAAUCCUGUUGACAAAUAGUGUGGUUCGUAUCCAGCUAAAAAGAAAUAUGCAAACAAUGUACGUAUGAUGCGUAAAAUAGCUCAUGGGGUUGGAUAUAUUACCUGAUGUCCUGUAUCAACGUCCGCUUCAUCAGGACAAGUCUCUAGUACUCUACGAAUAUGUUGUUGUCUUUCAUAAAUUUCUUCAAACUGAGUACCACCCAGCUGGGUCUCAAACUGCGAUGCUUGGGAUGAUAGAUCCGGUGUGGGUUGGGUGGCAUGGACAGUGUGUCCUUAUACAAAAUUAUAUUGAAAAUAAUGUAUGUCAAAACUUGCAUUAUAGAUCAAAUGUUGCUGCAUAUACUAAAAAUAACAAAAUGUUGUUUACUGUACAUAUAAGAAAAACCCUAUGCACAUGUAGUCUGUGUAAGGUUCUGAAUGUAUGGAAAGUGAUAAUUAUAUGACUGACCUACUAAAUCAGCCGAAUUCCUCGAUUGCUGUGGCUCAUCUGUCUCGUUUUCUAAAUUAUCAGACUCGGCACGUAGUACCUCGUCGAUCAGCUCUAUAAAGUUGUCUGCUAUGUCAUAUUGCUUCUCAAUAAUUCUAUCAAUGUUGACUUUUAUGGCUAAGCAUGCCUUGUCAACAUCCAAGUCAUAUGCAACAAGUUUCUCUAUGAAUUUAGAUCGAUGACGAGGUGGGAGCUCGUUGAUCUUACUUGACAUCAUCUCCUUGAUCGAUGGAAGUUGGAUGUUAAAAGUGGGCCGAGGAGUAGGGGCAGGGCGCGGUGCAUCAAAAAUGUUGGUCCUGCACUUCGGUUGGUUGUUCAACAAAAAUAAUAAGAAUCCCUCACCACACUCAUAUUCCAUUUGUUCCAUAAAUCUUAAAUAGAUGUAUAUAAUACAACAAAAACUUGCCUCGGAUUGGCGAUCGAGCUUAGGUACAACUGAAUAGCAUGUCUCGGUCGAGCUUCGAAACUAAAAUAUAAAAUUUAAGUGAAAGUUGAACUGGAUCAUGAGUUUGUAAUGCAAACAAUGGUACUCAAAACAAAGCACAUAUAUUUGACAUAAAAUUUGUCAUAAAAUACACUUGGUUAAAUAUGAAUAACUUACUUCACAAUAUCCGAAAGGUUCGGCCCCAUGGCGUGCCUUCCUCUUGUCGGCUUUAGUCAAAGCUUUUAUGAUAUUCUUAUCAAAGAAUUUUAUGAGAGGUGUAGCAAGCUUAUUUUGAGGGGCAGAGGUUGCAUGCAGGUGAUCCAGGUAAUACAACUACAUAAAAAAUUUCAAUGUGCAAUGGAUGUGUAAGUAAACAUAACAAACAUCAUAAAACAUGUUAUAUCAUGCCCCACAAUGAGCAACCAAAAUUGCAAUAUAUGUACAUAAGAGAAACUCUAUACUUACAAGGACAACAAUUGAGCAUCCGUAUAUAGUCGUGGAGACAUUUGUGGUGCUUCAGUUAUGCCACUUGUUCGCGGCUUCACAAAGAUCAUUAAAAAUAAGCUGGCACCAAUCGGUCUCGUGGAAACGGUGCAUUUCUUCUGUCAGAAGCACUUCAUGGUUUGUUAUGCCCCAGCUAGCAGUUGGAAACAAUAGACGGUUGAAUAAGAUGAGGAAGAAACAUCUGAUGGUAAGGUCAUCAUCCUCGCCUUUCCUUAAACGAUCAUGUAGCAAUGUCACAUUGAACUCGUCUUUAGCCAAACCAAGCUCUGCCCUCAAGUUGCUUGCUGCAACUGCUUCGUCAAUCCCCAAUGGUUUUCCAUCGCCAUGAUUUGGUACACCAAGGAUAAGAUGCACAAUGUCCUUUGUGAUUUUUAGUUCCUUUCCUGGACCAGGACGAAUUGUCAUGUCCUUGUGGUCAAGCUUGUCCAUCAACCAUUGAAUGUGUGAUCUACUACACAGCGCAUCUACUGUCAUAUCAAGAAUGUUAGAGAAACCUUUACGUCUUAUGGCCUGACGUUGUCCUUCAUUCAAUAUGUUAAUGCUUGCAAUGACAUCUUAUGGGUUGCACCGGACAUUGAGCCUCUGUUAUAAAAUAUAGAACUGGAAAAAAUUUUGUUAUUAUCAAAAACAAAAUAAUAUUCAGAAGCUUACGAAUAAGAAAUUGUUUGUUGAGUAUGCAUAAAAGUAACCUGUCGGGGAAGAUCCUCAGCUUUUAUCCUCUUUGUCACAACUUUUCUUAGAACUCUUGUAUGGCUUUCAGAAAUAUUACGCUUCUUAACAGCUGGCAUGAAGUCAUCUUCAUCAGAAUUCAGUUGUACUGUUUCAUUGAUCAAAGUUUGACUGUCAACAUUUGGAGGAUUUCCCACUUCUGUAGAUGGAUUAGACUAUUCCGCGCACGGAAUGUCAACACUGAAACACUCCUGGCUUGAUUGAAUUGUUAUACGUUUGGGAUUAUUCGGAGGACGGUCCACGUGCUUCAUUUUUUAAAGUCAAAACUGCAUGCAUAAUACACAAUACUGUAAACAUUAAUAUGUUGAAUAUGCAGAUGUAUUGAUUGUGUGGUGAUUGAAUCAAUGAACCUAAUUGUUUUAAAUACCAAGCAUAAAAACAAUCUGUAAAAUUUUGCAUGGUACUUAUAAUAUGUUUCAGUAAACAUCUGAAUGUACUGUUCUCUAGUUACACUUGCAUACAUAUAAUGUCAUGUUCUAUCAUCAUAAACAUCUGAAUAUGUUUCAAUAAAAAUAGACCUUGUUGUAACCAAUAAUGUAUUAACUAUAAACAUCUGCAAUAAAUAAAUGUAUGCACUAAACAUAUAUGAAAUUUUGAAUAAAUCAUAUACUCUAUCAAAAACAAAUAAUUGACUGCUCCUUUACUAAAAACAGUUGCAUACAUGUUCUGUCCUGUUCUACAAUCAUAAAAAUCUGAAUAUGUUUCAAUAAAACAAAACUUGUUGUAAACAGUAAUGUAUUGACUAUAGACUAAUGAAUACAUAAAUUAAUGCAUAUCACCAACCAUAUAAGAAAUUCUGAAUAAAUAAUAUACUCUACCAAAAACAACUAAUUGACUGCUCCUUUACAAAAAUCACUUGCAUACAUGUUCUGCCCUGUUUUAUAAUCAUAACAAACUGAAUAUGUUUGAACAAAACAAAACUUGUUGUAAACAUUAAUGUAUUAACUGUGAACUAAUGGAAUAAAUAAUAUCCUGUUUUAUAAUCAUAAAAAACUGGAUAUGAUUCAAUAAAACAAUACAUGUUGUAAACAGUAAUGUAUUAACUAUAAACUAAUGGAAUAAAUAAAUGUAUGCAGUCACUAAAAAUAUAUGAACUUUUGAAUGAAUCAUAUACUCUACAAAAAACAACUAGUUGACCGCUCCAUUACCACUUGAACAUCAUCUAUGUAAAAAAUAACUUUAACUGAGAUGCAUAAACAUGUAUUCUAAUGUGUGUAACCAUCUGUGUAAAUGUGUGUAAAUGUAUUAAUGCAACUGCAUAAAUAUUUGUCACCUGCCGUAAUCAUUAGAAUGCAGUAUGAAAAAACAACACAUUUGUACUUCAGGAGAUCGAUUUACCUUUUUAGGGUUUGCUAACUUUGUUGACGGUCGACGACGAUCCCAGGUAAUGCGACAAGCUAGGGUUUGGAAGAACCCACCGUAGAUGGUUGGGGAAGGGCUACCCGUUGGAGCGGCACCCGUUGACGGCGGAGAAUGUGGAACGACGACGGAGAAUGUGGAAGCAGUCGCGUCGGCGGAGAAACUAGGGUUUUCUCUGGUCUGGUCUCUCAUCUCAAGUUGCAGACGCGAGGAAAGAGGAGCUCGGAUUGGGGUCGACAAGGAGGCGCCGCUCUAUCACCGAUUGCGCCUGGAUCGACUGCGAGCGACGGAUGGAGCGGAGUCGUCGGAGAGGGCGGAGUCGGCGGAGAGACCUGGAGUUGCGCGGAGAGGGUUGGGGUUUUGCGGUGGGCCGGUGGUGUAGGCAGUUAUGGAAACUGAGACCGGGAGAAGAAAGAGGAGCUAGUGGCGGCAACACGUCACUGCUACUCGAAUGUGUUAGGCUUGUUCGGUUAGAGCAAUCCAAAAAGGGAUUAGAGAGAAUUAAAUUAUCUCUUAGUUAAAAUUGAAUAGAAAGAAAUUUAAUCCCUUCCGAUUCUCUUCUGAAUCAGCAUUGCAAGAACAGAUGGAUGUCGAUGUUUAUGGUAGCCUGCUCAGUCAGAAUAGCUUUGACGCCCGUGCGGACACGUUGCUGUUGAACAGCACAGCGGUUGAUCAGCAUCAGCAGCAGCAGAUAGGUGCUGCAGAAGCGCCGUGCAAUCAGUUUGUGUGUAGGGUUUACAUUUUGUGUGUAGGGUUUACCACCAAAAAACCUUCAGUUUUGGUGCACUAAAAUACAAGGCCUUUUCAUCUCUUACACCAGCAAGCACCUCAUCCGCCAACAACGAAUCCAAUUGGUACUAGAGAACAAGCAAUCACCUUUUAACUGGUAAUAGAGCAAGGAGAUGAACAAGUCCUCGAGCUCAAUCCAUACUGUACAAAUGUAGCUCAUCAUCCGCCAACAACGAAUCUCCAGAAACACUCGGACUGUAGCAGACACAUUUUGACUGUACGUAGCAGAGAAUUAAGACCUAUUUUGACUGUAGCACACACAUUACUGGAACUGGUUCCAUGGUGAACUUCUCUGCCACACCAUCCACAAGCACAAGUGUAGGAAAAUGAGCUAUCUUCUCUAUUGCAUUGCCUGGAGUAUUUAUACUAAUUGCCACAUGAAUGAUAUAGCAAUUGUGCACAUGAAAACAAAAGCUCUGGCCACAGUUAUUACUCCAUUCUGUCAGAGAAAUACAUAUUGGCAAUUGUGCACAACCAAGGAAUGAAUGAUAUAGCAACUGAAAUAGCGGAGCAAUACAAGCGGCAAAAACAGGGAACCGCGGGGACGGCAGAAUUAACGACGGAUUGGCUUCUGACUUGAGCCUGAACUCUGGAGCUUCAAGAGAAGAGGGGUGACGUCAAGGUGCCUGUUUAGAACAUGAAAUGUUUUAAAUAUUGAGAAACUCAUCAAUUGUGCUGGAAAAAUGAAUUAGUAGAACCUGUACCUUCUCAUUUAUUUCAAAGUGGUGCGGUCUUGGUAGAAAGCUCUUCCAACGAACGUGCGAAAUCUUUGGCCAGCUUUCUCCAUCAGGUUCUUGGCAAUUCUUCAUCAAGACGGGGCAAUACAAUAUAGUUAUGCGCUGGAGGGAGGACGGCAGAUCUGGUAAAGAUGUUAUGUUGGGGCAAUGUUCUAUAGAAAGACUCUCCAGACUUGAGACAGAUUUUAGAUUUCUAGGCAGGGACUCUGUUUUGCACCAUGAAAAGUUCAGGUGCUUGACGGAUGAGAGAUUUGCAGGUUCUUCAAAUGAAACUGACGGCUCCUUGCAAUCUGAAAGAGUAAGAUAUGGUGGGGCUGUAAACCCUUCAGCCAUUAGCAUGUGGUUGAGAAAUACAGAGCUACUAACCGUGAGCGAUUCCUGGACACGAAACUGUGAGAUGCACUUGGCAGUGAGGUUUGCAACAUCUACUAAACUUAGGUGCUUAAGGUGCAGGGAAGACAAGCCUUCAACAAAGCAAAGAUCAGGGAGGCCAUUUAGACAUAAUGAUUCAAGGGAGGUCAGGUGGCCAAUCGAUAAGGAUGGGGAGCUUCUGCAGACAUAAAUGGAAAGAUGAUUCAGAUGUGGCAAGCCAUUAAUGAACGAAUCAGCUGCAAGAAUGCAGCCAAGGAUGCUGAGCUCCAUAUCAAGGUUCAACGGCAUUAGUUCUGCUCCCCGUGCUAGCUCUAAAGAAGGACAACCCCAACAGUUAAAACAGGAAAGAGAUGGAGCAGCACGUAAGCCCCCCAGUGAUUUGAGACACAAACAACCUAUUACAACCAACCUGUCAAGCUUUGUCAAAUGCUCAAACACCUUUUCUGAUGGAAGUGUAGUUAAUGCCAUAUUAUAUUCCAAUUGUAAAGUUCUCAGUGAAGUGAGGCCACCAAGGCAAAUAGCUAAAGCUUCAUCUGUAAUACUGCAUGAAGAAAGAGAAAGUUCACAGAGUCCUGACGGUAGAACCAAUGGAAUCUCCAUGGUCCUUCCAUAAAUGAAUCUUAUCCUCUGCUCAUGGCAAAAGAGCCAUGCCUUGAUGAUGUUUUCUUUCAUCCAUACUUUAUCUUCACUUUCCUCCAGACCACUUUCAAUAAUUUGAAGAUGCUUUGAUAUAUCAUCAUCCAUCAUCAAUGUCACCAACUGCUUCAGAGAUGAAUAGUCUUUCGACAGUACUCUCCUAAUAACUCCUGAAUCCACCUCCCACAUCAAUGCAAGUUUAGAUGCCAGGUCGUCUGCCUUCAUUAUUAUAUUUUCCCUCAAAUCAUGCUGUCCUAGCUCAUUGUUGGUGAUAAACAUAAGCAGUGGGCAACAAUCAAUUGAUAAAUCUGUAAGGCCUACUGGAAGAUUAGAUAGUUCCUUCAAAUUUGGAACAGAGUUUAUACGCAACCUAGAGCAAUUCCGAAGGAGCUCUGUAUCUGGUGGUAGGCCUUCUAGCAAACUGCAAUUACUAAGCUCAAAACUUUCCAAAUUCUCAAAAUAGGAUCGCUCUAGUAACCACCCAGGAUAUGUAUCAGAUCUGUAACCUUCGAUUGUGAGCUUACUCAGUUGGGGUGGCGGUCUCAGACCUUCUAGAAUAUCCAUUGCAUCCAUUCCAUUCUCGGAACUCCACUCAAGUGCCAACUCUUUAAGGCGACUUUUCAGAUAUAGCUUCGACUCUACGGCUUCAUCCUUUCCAAUGACAUUCUCAAGAUUUUUCACUCUUAAACUGCCACCAAGCUCAUUCAAGUCCUUCAACUGUCGCAACUCAUAACCUUGCUUCUUCUGUACAGAAAAGACAUAAAUGUGUUGUAGCGAUGUUAACUUACCUAUAUUCAGAAUUUGGCAAAUAGGCCUUUCAUUCACGAAAUCAUAAGCGUCCGAUGAGUACGCUCCUAGAUGUCGUAGAUUUCUUAAAUUGCAUAGUUUGUCAGGCAAAUUCUCCACCAUGUGGUUUAACCAAAGUAAUUGUAAGUGGUAGAGAGUACAUAAUGAUGUAGGCAAUUCAGAAACUAAUGUCCUGAUGAGGUUCAAAUACCGGAGGUGCUUCAGCUCACCAAUAGAUUCUGGCAACUUGCUGCUGUUGUAAAAUGACAGAGACAAUACACGCAGUUUUCUUUGGUUCCGUAGCAUGCCAUCAAAAAUAUCACUUAGGCCAUCCAUUAGCGGAUCGAGGCAGAUAAUAGUGCGUAAAUGAUAUAGCUUGCAGAUAAUUUGCUUAUGCUUUUGCAUACUUUGAACAUGAACAGAUAGAUGUCGAACAGUGCAUGGUAUUUCUGUCACAUUAUCAUCUUCUAAUCUAAAGCAGUCUUCUCUAGAGAGUGACUCUGCAAAAUCAUGAAGGAUAUCAUGCAUGACAUAGUACGAACCACGAUACAUUUGAGAAACCAAUUGGAAGAAAGAUCCAGAGACCAUAUCAUUGAAGUAAUCCAUCCCAACCUCUUCCAAUGUUCUCCUACUCAAAUUGCAUGAAUCAACAAAUCCUUCUGCCACCCAGAGGUGAACCAACUCAUUAGAUUCAUAUCUAUGACCUUUUGGAAACAAGCUGCAAUACAAGAAGCACCUCUGCAGACGUGGAUCUAACUUCUCGUAACUCCACAACAGAGAUGUGAAGGGAUCACUUAAAUCUCCAAGCUUUAGAGCAGCUUUCCAUUCAGCAAUAUCCUUUUUCCUGCACAAUCGAGAACCCAGAACUUUUGCUGCCAAAGGACAUUGUCCAAGCCUUUUAGCAAUCUCCUCUGCAGUGUCUUCCAGCUUCGUGCGUAACAGUUGGUCUUUGAUUUCUGCUCCAGAGAAAGCAUGGUGUUUAAAAAGAGCCAAAAACUCAGUAUCAUCCAUGUUUUGCAAUUGAAUGACAUGUUCUUGUUCACAACAAAUAGCGGCCGGAAGUGUUUCACUUCGAGAAGUCACCAAAACUUUGCUCCCUGACUGUUUAGAGACUAAUGGAGCAAGGAAUAACUCCCACUCUGUCUCAUUAUGAGAUUUUUCAAACCAAACAUCAUCCAAGACAAGCAGGAAUUUCUGUGACUCUUGUAGUAUAUCACGUAAUUUGCACUGGAGAGUAUCGAGAUUAUCAACACGUGGGCACUCUCCCUUUUUUGCAGACUCCAUAAUCUCCCUUGUGUGACGAUGCACAUCAAGUUUGCGUGAGAUGCACACCCACAUCCUGAUAUCAAAGCAUUCUUCUAUCCUUUUGUCAUUAUAGACAUACUGUGCUAAGGUGGACUUCCCCAUUCCUCCCAAUCCAACAAUGGCCAAACCCGAGUACUUAGCUGAGCUUGCCUCAGCAGUUGUUGUCUUGCCGAGAAGAAAAUCUACUAUACGAUCACGAUCCCCGUCGCGACCGAAAACCUUGGAAUUGGGAAGUGAUGUGGUUGUGGCAACACCGGUAGGUGCUGCAGUUGGCCACUCUGCGAUAUUGCCAUGUGGCAAGCCAAGAAGUUCUCGAAGCUGCUUGGCAUCUUCCAGAAUAUUUUUGAGCUCGUUCAUCUUGGUAAUUAGCCUUUUGUUCCCAGGGAGCAAGUUGCGUGCCAUGUUUAUAGCAGAAUUAAAAGGCUUCAUGACAGUGGUUGCAGUGGAGGAGCUUUCAUCCUCUCGGAGCAGGGGACCUUUUCCGCUCUUGGCCUUGGCCUUAAGGACGUUGUACUCAUGCUCGUCCAGCAGGUCCUCGGCAUCAUAGAAGGCUUUUUUGAGACGCCGAAGCCAGGAUUCCAGCUUGCCCCUAUGGGGGCUCUUCUGGGCCGCUUGAAUCACCAACUCGAACUGUGGCAGGACAGUGUCUUGUAGUCGUUCGAUCUCACGCACCAUGUCCACACUGAGGUAAGCUGAAGCUUUAGUAAGAAGCUCCUUGACAAUCGGCGAUGCUGCCCACCUUAAGCCAACUAGCGCCAAGUCCGCCAUGAAGUUGGAGUAGUUUGUGCUUCCUCUUACUUUGUGAACCAAGAAAAAAAAAUGAAUGGAUGAACGAUGGGAAGUAGUAACAAGGCUGUUUUUUUUUUCUUCUGCAGAAGGCAAGCAGCUGAUAAAAACCGCUACAGACUCGAGAAAACCUAGAAUUGGAAAGACGCAUAAAAUUAGUGAAUCUAAAUGGACAAACCAAUUAUUUUCCAGCAAGGCAGCAACGCAAAGGGGAAAUAGCAGUCGAGAUUGGUGAUCUUACACAAGUAAAGUAAAUCAUGGGCGCAUGGAGCUGGAAUCGACAACAAGCGCGAGGCCGCCGCAGUGCAAUGCAGCAACGAGGGAAGCAGCUCCGUCGGGCAGGCAACGCAGGAUUGCUGAUUGAUUCCUGACGAUAGAAUAUCUGUUUUUUGUCGUGGAGGAGACCGAUGGUGCUGCUGACUGCUCGCUGGGAAAGGAAGCAGCGUUGGGAAGAUUGGGAGCUGUUGGGGUGAAGGAGUCAGCAUCGACAGAGACAAAGGAAGCUUCUGGGUAGCUCUACUGACAGGGACAGAUUCGGCUGUGUUGGGAUCUAUAGUAAUUCUAAAAAAAAAACAGAGUAACAUAAUUAAUUUUUAAAAGGAUGUUUGGUUUAAAGAAUUAUUUAAUAUAAAAUAAGACGGUGCAUCAUAUGUCUAUUCUAUAAAUUUGUUAUUUUAAUAUUAAUACUAACUAAUUAAUUGUAAAGAGUGAGACGGCGAUGGAUCAACUUAUUCUAUUAUAUAACUAAAAAAUGAGAAGUGAGAAAACAAUGGAAUAUCUCAUUACUCAAACCAAACACACUGUUAAUUCUUACUCUCCUUUCGUAUUUGAGAGAGAGAAAAUGAUGUAAGUAUCUUUUUCUCUCUUUUAUUGAUUAUUAAGCAGGAUAAUAUGCUCUCAAUUUUAUUCCUAAGAUAAUCAUUACAGGGAGAGCAAUCUUAAAGGCAAGCAAUGAAUGCAUGAAAAAAUAGAUGGUAUAAGGUUGUAUAAGCUUCAGAUAUGAAAAAGUAACAAAAGAUAUCGGAGAUAUUAAAACCUCCCCCGUUUUGCUGCGCCCGCCGCAUUCGGCGGCCUCCCCGCCAUUCGUCGCGUGACGCCUGGCGGUCGCCCGGACCCGAAAUUUUCCUAAACUUCAGCUCUGAGCGCAGGUAGACGGGUCUGUCCCACCGAACACUCUCCAACGUCGUACAUGUCUCCUCUCCUUCUGGUCCCUUUCUCCCUCCAAUGCCAGCGCAUCCCUCUUCCCCCUCGUGGCUCGCGGUCGCCGCUGGCGUUCCUGCUCCGGGCCUUCCACAUGGUGAUGGGCGACCUGAGCACCUCCGACGACCUCGCCACGCGCCACCACCUCACCCACCGUCCACCCAUCACCUUUCCUGUAAACCUCGGCGACCUCCUCCUCAAUCUCAUGAUGUUGUCCUGCAAGUCUCCCCCGAGCCCUCUCCUCAAGCCCUACCACGCCCAGCUAGGCCACAACAGCGCCAAGAUCUAGGCCAUGUCUCCAACUUAGCAACUUAUUGCAGCACAACACGAGAUCUGGAUGGUCUGCAUCGUUGCCACCGUGGCGCGCACCGAGCAGGAGGACGAGGUGCCAGCCCUGACCGACCAGGCGGCCCACAUAGAGGUGCGCACACGGAGGUUUACUAGGUCGACGACUACGUCUAGGUGUUCGUCGUGGCGUGUACUGACCUCAUCAACCGGCUCCAGGGCCUACGCGAGAACCUCACGAACGUGAGGUCUGAGGUGAGUAAGAUCGAUUAUGUCUGUGCCCAGAUUGAAACCAUGCGUCGGUAGAUCUAGAAGGGCGGUUUUGGUGUUGCUUCAUUUAAUCAGUUAGGUUUAAUGUUCAUUGAUGAUAUGCUAUUCCAUUAUUUUUUCUACCUUAUUAGGAGGCCACCCCGCUUGUUGACCUAUUACUUAUUGAAAACAGUCAUGUGUUUCGAUGGUUAGCUUAUGAAGUUUGUAAAAUACAAGAACAUGCUACACCUUGGGCCACCUGGUGAAGUUUGGACCGACACCACGCUCAGAGGAAAAUAUUAAUUAUCAUGUGCAAGCGCAAAUGUUGCACGUACCUGAAACUGCUAAUGAAACCUGUUAAAAAUUAUUUUGUUUGAAGUAGGAACUUAUACGGUGUGUUCAUAUGUCCUAUUUAUACAUCUUCACAAAUAGGCAACGUUUUAUGCACUUCUUUUAGCUACAACCAGUAGGUUUUAAAUUUUGACACUCUCAUUAUACAUUAGAUGUGAACUGAACUAUGGUAUGUGUCGAUGUCUUGCAUUCUUGCCUCAUUGAAUUUGCAACCAUUUUUUGAUCAUUCAUAGUAUGGCGCUUCUACUCAUAUGGUGCAUCACCUACAGUUUGUUUAAAACUACCUUAUUGUUGUUAAAGAAAUCUUGUCAUUAUUGUUUCUUGCUUAUUUCUCUACUACUGGUAGAGUGCAGUGUUGCUUGUUACUGUCAGCACCCAAAGGACAAGAUGCUAAUUAAUCAUAGUAGCAUCAGUGCUGGACCCAUAUUAUGAAGAUAUUUUUGUUCGUCCUUUUUUUACAUGGAGCUGCAAGAACUACAACUCUUCAUGGUUGUUGACUUGUUGGUCACUGUUCUUAGGGUCUUGCAGCAUCAGUGCAGUAACCACUCUGCUUCUGUCAAGUGUUUUAGGUGUCUUCAGCUAGGCCCUGCAGAGCAUCCUUGUUUUCUCACGUUGCCAUAUUCAGGUAUCCAUGUUCUUCAGUUCACAAUUUGUUCAAUGUUGGUUCUGAAAUUCAGAUUCUUCACCUGAAAACAAGAUCUCUUUGAUUGACACAUGACAUCUGGGUUUUGAGGCCAAGUACAUCCUUAAUCUCGUGUUACUUAGCCCCAAACAAGCAAGUACAACCACUAUGACAGAGGCUGUUAUGGGAGUUCUGACCAGCAAGCUUGGUGUGGCCUUAGCAAAAGGGGCAGCAGCCUAUGGUGCAUCUCUGGAUUUCAAGGAAGCGUCUACUCAAUGAUUUUUUAAAUAUCUCCUGCAUUCACAUAGCCUCAGCCUCACAUGUAUGUGGCCUUGAACAGAAUUGAUGGAUAAUCACUAUUCAAGCACUCUGCUCCACAGUAUCUUGUCUUGGCACCUUAACAUAUGACGACACUAAUGUGAGUCCCAGACCUGUUCAAAAAUUACAAGCCCCCAGUUCUGUAGAAAUAUAAAUGAUGUACUAUCUUUUACUUUCAUUUGGCAAAGGAACUUGCAAUGCUUGAAGUAUUUUAUCAUUUUUUGUUGUUUUCCAUACUUACAACUAUCUGUGCAAAUGUUGGGCAUAUAAAAAGUGAAGAACAACAAAUUUUGACUGAAGACGUUGACGUGGAAUCUUCUGUGCCAAUAGGAGCAAAUAAACAAACAGGUGAAGAUGACACAAAGAUUCCAUAUUCGGUAUAUCAAGCCUUUGUACUGUUUAGGAAACAAACUUUUGUACAUGUCCUCCAAUUUUGUAUUGCACGUGUGCUCAGUUUGUUGUUUCCAAAUGUGUCAGAUCAGGUGUUUGAGUUUGGCUAAUUAGAGAAUCAAACUAACAUGCAAAGUUGAAGUUACAAGCAGUUAUAAAAUCAAAUCCAUUAUUACUUUGUUAGAAAUUCUACUUGAUUUUUUUGAAAUUUGUGAGCAGGGGUAAUUACAUUUAGAAUUUUGCAACAGCUUGAUUUAUCCUUAAAAUAGGAAAAAGCUUCUCAGUGCAGUCAAUAAGGAUUAUAAUGUGUAUCUUAUUGAAAGGGAAGUGCCCGUGGAACUAUAAAUACAUAAACCAUCAGGGAACAUGUUCAUGGUUUUCAUUUUUGUCAUGUUUAUUGCAUUUUCAAAUAAUGUAUCAUCUUCAUGAGGUGGUGUUGGCUAUUAUAUUUUGGAAAAUAUAGAUGAUCUUUACAUGUUUCUAAUAGUUGUAUGUUGAUGAGUUAUUUGGUGCAUUCAAAGUUCUUAGUAAAGCAGUUUAUGCUGCUCAAUUAUCCAUACAAUAAAACCUCCCUAUUUGGUAUACAAUAAAAUAUUCUCAUUCAGUCAUUCCUCGUCUGGAAUUCGUUGUUCCAUUAAUUAUUUGGUUGGUUGAGAGAAAACUCCACUGAAUCCAAUCUGUGCACUGAUUGCGGGAGUGCUACAUAAAAAUGUGUCUGAACAGAACAUAUGACAAGUUCCUGACAUGCACGUUAGGUUUAGCAUUUUUUCUUAACAAAUAUGUUAUUGUGCUUCCUAGCUCAUGUUUACAUACUUUAAAUUAACUUGUUUUCUUAAUGCUUUUGAAUUGCUUUGUUUUUUUAAAUAAUGGAAAAAUGUUCUGUUUAGGUUCGUUUUCUGGAGUGGCCUGAUGAUUUGGAGGGUUUUGUUCUAAAAGGCUAUGGUGAGUCUGUCAUUGCUCAAGGAUGUUGUCCAGUCAAUGGAAGAAACAAUCAAUAGCUAGAGAAGGUAGCUGCAUUCCAUGAUUUCAGUGAAUUUUGAUCUUUAGUAUGUGCUUCUUGGUAUAAAAUCACUUAUAGAUUCAUUCAUUUGAUCAAAACAGGACCCCACUAUCUAAUAUCUAUGACAUUCUAACAGAUAUUUGAGCAUAUUUACGAAUUAUUGUUGUAGAAUCACCUUACCUGACCUUUGUCAUAGCUACCAAGGAGCUUUCAAUUAGGCUUUAGCGGAAUAACAACAAAUUUAAAACACCUUUCCUGUACAACCUCCUCCCCAACACUAGGUCAACUGAUGAUGAUUUUCAAUCACAAUGAUAUAACAACCUAUGAGUUGCUUCACCCAAAAUUUGUGAGCACAAGUAUGUCUAUACUAGAUACUACAUAUAUGGACAGUGUGUAACUCAAACCAUAUCAGGCCACACUACAAAACAUCAUUGAGCGCAGAAACACGACAUGGUGCUAGGUCACAAGGUGAUGAAGACAUCCACACUACUGAUGCAUCUAUACCAAUACAAGUACCAAUUUCUGGUCCCAUUACUCGCGCUCGUGCUCGUCAACUCAACCAUCAGGUGAUUACACUCUUGAGUUCAUGUCCAUCAUAUUUAGACCAUGGAGACCCGUGCACUCUUGUUUUGCUUAGGAAUCAGGGAGAAGACCGAAAGGGAAAAGGAUUUGAACAUGCUGGAUUCGGACUGCAGAAGAACACCAACUUGUGACGGUCACCACGGUCAGAUGCGGGCUCGGAUUGGAAUGUUCAAGCACAACAUGGAAAGCUUAUCAAGUCUACUUUCAUAUGGAUCCGGAAUUAUAGUCAUAUCUGUUCUGAGGCCGCCGUAAUCAUUGUUUUCUUACCGAGACAUUUCCUGCCUUUUCUGCCUAUGGUGCUGCGUCACCCUAUUUUGGCCCAAUGGGUCGUAUAUCAAGUUAGGUCCAUUAGGGACGCAUCCUAGGGUUGCAGCACGACCCCAAUACCCUUGUGGUCGUCCUCCCAUGUUUAUAAACCCCCUAGCCGCCACCAAGAACAGCGGGUUUUGUUUAGAUCAAGUUUAGCUCUCGCUACUUGCUUGCAAGCGCGCGUGCUAGUUCAGCCGCCCGUCUUCUUGUCUUCGGAACCCCACCAUAUUGGAGUUUGAUUUUUAAACCUACAUUUGGAUCUGGUAAUUCAGUACUUGUUCUACUUGUUCUUGCUAGUUCUUCGAUUGCUUGCAGGACGAGUGCCCUAGUGGCCAGGGUGUCACGCUCCACAAGAUCGUGACAGCCAUAGGAGGUGGUGUAUCGGUUGCUAAGGCGCAGCGUCUUUGGAAGGCUGUAGUCGGGCCGUGAACGUCGUCUCCUCCCCCAAUCGAGUUAUUCCACACCCUCUCAUCGAAAGAUCGGGCAAUCACCCAACGGGUGCACAUCAGUUGGAGUUGUAGGUGGGCUGAAGCAAGGAAUACACUAGUACCACGUUAGUUACAAAAGCAAGCUGAAUAAUUGUUCAACGGUGGUACUGUGCUGGUCCUAGGCUAAACCAUGCUAGAGACAUGAGCCUAGGCACAAAGGUAGUCACUGAAAAAGAACAACUAGCACAGCACAAAGAGAAACAACAGAUUUAGAGAUUCAGCCCCCUUCUUCUUCUUUUCCUUUUUUUUCUUUUCUAUUCUUUUUUUUCUUCUAAGAAGAAUCCUAAUAACAUGCCACAAACUUGGGAUGCGUUGAAACGGGUCAUGCGGGCUAGAUUUGUUCCUUCUUAUUAUGCACGUGAUAUGUUAAACAAGUUGCAACAAUUGAGACAGGGUACUAAAAGUGUAGAAGAAUAUUAUCAGGAAUUACAAAUGGGUAUGUUGCGUUGUAACAUAGAGGAGGGUGAGGAAUCUGCUAUGGCUAGAUUUUUGGGCGGGUUAAAUAGGGAAAUUCAGGACAUCCUUGCUUAUAAAGAUUAUGCUAAUGUAACCCGAUUGUUUCAUCUUGCUUGCAAAGCUGAAAGGGAAGUGCAGGGACGACGUGCUAGUGCAAAGUCUAAUGUUUCUGCAGGAAAAUCUACACCAUGGCAACAGCGCACGACUACGUCCAUGACCGACCGUACACCAGCACCAACUCCCUCGCCAAGUCGACCAGCACCCACGCCUUCCUCCGGCGACAAACCACGUGCAUCUUCCACAAAUUCAGCAACCAAAUCUGCCCAGAAACCCGCAGGUAGUGCCUCUUCAGUAGCUUCCACAGGUAGAACAAGAGAUGUUCUGUGUUAUCGAUGCAAGGGCUAUGGACACGUGCAGCGUGAUUGUCCUAAUCAGCGUGUUUUGGUGGUAAAAGACGAUGGUGGGUAUUCCUCUGCUAGUGAUUUGGAUGAAGCUACACUUGCUUUGCUUGCGGCUGAUGAUGUAGGCACUAAGGAACCACCCGAAGAACAGAUUGGUGCAGAUGAUGCAGAGCAUUAUGAGAGCCUCAUUGUACAGCGUGUGCUUAGUGCACAAAUGGAGAAGGCAGAGCAGAAUCAGCGACAUACGUUGUUUCAAACAAAGUGUGUCAUUAAGGAGCGUUCAUGUCGUUUGAUCAUUGAUGGAGGUAGCUGCAACAACUUGGCUAGCAGCGACAUGGUGGAGAAGCUUGCACUUACGACCAAACCGCACCCGCAUCCAUAUCACAUUCAAUGGCUCAACAAUAGUGGUAAGGUCAAGGUAACCAAGCUGGUAUAAAUUAAUUUUGCUAUUGGUUCAUAUCGUGAUGUUGUUGACUGUGAUGUUGUGCCUAUGGAUGCUUGUAAUAUUCUGCUAGGUAGACCAUGGCAAUUUGAUUCAGAUUGUAUGCAUCAUGGUAGAUCAAAUCAAUAUUCUCUCAUACACCAUGAUAAGAAAAUUAUUUUGCUUCCCAUGUCCCCUGAGGCUAUUGUGCGUGAUGAUGUUGCUAAAGCUACCAAAGCUAAAACUGAGAACAACAAGAAUAUUAAAGCUGUUGGUAAUAACAAAGAUGGGAUAAAAUUGAAAGGACAUUGCUUGCUUGCAACAAAAACUGAUGUUAAUGAAUUAUUUGCUUCCACUACUGUUGCCUACGCCUUGGUAUGCAAAGAUGCUUUGAUUUCAAUUCAAGAUAUGCAGCAUUCUUUGCCUCCUGUUAUUACUAACAUUUUGCAGGAGUAUUCUGAUGUAUUUCCAAGUGAGAUACCAGAGGGGCUGCCACCUAUACGAGGGAUUGAACACCAAAUUGAUCUUAUUCCUGGUGCAUCUGUGCCGAAUCGUGCGCCAUAUAGGACAAAUCCAGAGGAAACAAAAGAAAUUCAGCGACAAGUGCAAGAACUACUCGACAAAGGUUACGUGCAUGAGUCUCUUAGUCCGUGUGCUGUUCCGGUUAUUUUAGUGCCUAAAAAAGAUGGAACAUGGCGUAUGUGUGUUGAUUGUAGGGCUAUUAAUAAUAUCACGAUACAGUAUCGACACCCUAUUCCACGUUUAGAUGAUAUGCUUGAUGAAUUGAGUGAUGCCAUUGUCUUUUCUAAAGUUGAUUUGCGUAGUGGGUACCACCAGAUUCGUAUGAAAUUGGGAGAUGAAUGGAAAACUGCUUUCAAAACUAAGUUCGGAUUGUAUGAGUGGUUAGUCAUGCCUUUUGGGUUAACUAAUGCACCUAGCACUUUCAUGAGAUUAAUGAACGAGGUUUUGCGUGCCUUCAUUGGAAAAUUUGUGGUAGUAUACUUUGAUGACAUAUUGAUCUACAGCAAAUCUAUGGAUGAACAUGUUGAUCACAUGCGUGCUGUUUUUAAUGCUUUACGAGAUGCACGUUUAUUUGGUAACCUUGAGAAGUGCACAUUUUGCACCGAUCGAGUUUCGUUUCUUGGUUAUGUUGUGACUCCACAGGGAAUUGAGGUUGAUCAAGCCAAGGUAGAAGCGAUACAUGGAUGGCCUAUGCCAAAGACUAUCACACAGGUGCGGAGUUUCCUAGGACUUGCUGGCUUCUAUCGCCGUUUUGUGAAGGACUUUAGCACCAUUGCUGCACCUUUUAAUGAGCUUACGAAGAAGGGAGUGCAUUUUAGUUGGGGCAAAGUACAAGAGCACGCUUUCAACGUGCUGAAAGAUAAGUUGACACAUGCACCUCUCCUCCAACUUCCUGAUUUUAAUAAGACUUUUGAGCUUGAAUGUGAUGCUAGUGGAAUUGGAUUGGGUGGUGUUUUGUUACAAGAAGGCAAACCUGUUGCAUAUUUUAGUGAAAAAUUGAGUGGGUCUGUUCUAAAUUAUUCUACUUAUGAUAAGGAAUUAUAUGCUCUUGUGCGAACAUUAGAAACAUGGCAGCAUUAUUUGUGGCCCAAAGAGUUUGUUAUUCAUUCUGAUCAUGAAUCUUUGAAACAUAUUCGUAGUCAAGGAAAACUGAACCGUAGACAUGCUAAGUGGGUUGAAUUUAUCGAAUCGUUUCCUUAUGUUAUUAAGCACAAGAAAGGAAAAGAGAAUAUCAUUGCUGACGCUUUGUCUAGGAGAUAUACUUUGCUGAAUCAACUUGACUACAAAAUCUUUGGAUUAAAGACGAUUAAAGACCAAUAUGUUCAUGAUGCUGAUUUUAAAGAUGUGUUGCUGCAUUGUAAAGAUGGGAAAGGAUGGAACAAAUAUAUCGUUAGUGAUGGGUUUGUGUUUAGAGCUAACAAGCUAUGCAUUCCAGCUAGCUCCGUUCGUUUGUUGUUGUUACAGGAAGCACAUGGAGGUGGCUUAAUGGGACAUUUUGGAGCAAAGAAAACGGAGGACAUACUUGCUGGUCAUUUCUUUUGGCCCAAGAUGAGAAGAGAUGUGGUGAGAUUGGUUGCUCGUUGCACGACAUGCCAAAAGGCGAAGUCACGGUUAAAUCCACACGGUUUGUAUUUGCCUCUACCCGUUCCUAGUGCUCCUUGGGAAGAUAUUUCUAUGGAUUUUGUGCUGGGAUUGCCUAGGACUAGGAAGGGACGUGAUAGUGUGUUUGUGGUUGUUGAUAGAUUUUCUAAGAUGGCACAUUUCAUACCAUGUCAUAAAACUGACGAUGCUACUCAUAUUGCUGAUUUGUUCUUUCGUGAAAUUGUUCGCUUGCAUGGUGUGCCCAACACAAUCGUUUCUGAUCGUGAUGCUAAAUUUCUUAGUCAUUUUUGGAGGACUUUGUGGGCAAAAUUGGGGACUAAGCUUUUAUUUUCUACUACAUGUCAUCCUCAAACUGAUGGUCAAACUGAAGUUGUGAAUAGAACUUUGUCUACUAUGUUAAGGGCAGUUCUAAAGAAGAAUAUUAAGAUGUGGGAGGACUGUUUGCCUCAUGUUGAAUUUGCUUAUAAUCGAUCAUUGCAUUCUACUACAAAGAUGUGCCCAUUUCAGAUUGUAUAUGGUUUGUUGCCUCGUGCUCCUAUUGAUUUAAUGCCUUUGCCAUCUUCUGAAAAACUAAAUUUUGAUGCUACUAGGCGUGCUGAAUUGAUGUUAAAACUGCAUGAAACUACUAAAGAAAACAUAGAGCGUAUGAAUGCUAGAUAUAAGUUUGCUAGUGAUAAAGGUAGAAAGGAAAUAAAUUUUGAACCUGGAGAUUUAGUUUGGUUGCAUUUGAGAAAGGAAAGGUUUCCUGAAUUACGAAAAUCUAAAUUGUUGCCUCGAGCCGAUGGACCGUUUAAAGUGCUAGAGAAAAUUAACGACAAUGCAUAUAGGCUAGAUCUGCCUGCAGACUUUGGGGUUAGCCCCACAUUUAACAUUGCAGAUUUAAAGCCCUACUUGGGAGAGGAAGUUGAGCUUGAGUCGAGGACGACUCAAAUGCAAGAAGGGGAGAAUGAUGAAGACAUCCACACUACUGAUGCAUCUAUACCAAUACAAGUACCAAUUUCUGGUCCCAUUACUCGCGCUCGUGCUCGUCAACUCAACCAUCAGGUGAUUACACUCUUGAGUUCAUGUCCAUCAUAUUUAGACCAUGGAGACCCGUGCACUCUUGUUUUGCUUAGGAAUCAGGGAGAAGACCGAAAGGGAAAAGGAUUUGAACAUGCUGGAUUCGGACUGCAGAAGAACACCAACUUGUGACGGUCACCACGGUCAGAUGCGGGCUCGGAUUGGAAUGUUCAAGCACAACAUGGAAAGCUUAUCAAGUCUACUUUCAUAUGGAUCCGGAAUUAUAGUCAUAUCUGUUCUGAGGCCGCCGUAAUCAUUGUUUUCUUACCGAGACAUUUCCUGCCUUUUCUGCCUAUGGUGCUGCGUCACCCUAUUUUGGCCCAAUGGGUCGUAUAUCAAGUUAGGUCCAUUAGGGACGCAUCCUAGGGUUGCAGCACGACCCCAAUACCCUUGUGGUCGUCCUCCCAUGUUUAUAAACCCCCUAGCCGCCACCAAGAACAGCGGGUUUUGUUUAGAUCAAGUUUAGCUCUCGCUACUUGCUUGCAAGCGCGCGUGCUAGUUCAGCCGCCCGUCUUCUUGUCUUCGGAACCCCACCAUAUUGGAGUUUGAUUUUUAAACCUACAUUUAGAUCUGGUAAUUCAGUACUUGUUCUACUUGUUCUUGCUAGUUCUUCGAUUGCUUGCAGGACGAGUGCCCUAGUGGCCAGGGUGUCACGCUCCACAAGAUCGUGACAGCCAUAGGAGGUGGUGUAUCGGUUGCUAAGGCGCAGCGUCUUUGGAAGGCUGUAGUCGGGCCGUGAACGUCGUCUCCUCCCCCAAUCGAGUUAUUCCACACCCUCUCAUCGAAAGAUCGGGCAAUCACCCAACGGGUGCACAUCACAAGGAAUUCUCCUGGUUCUAUGCCUGCUGCUGAACUAUCAUUUUGCUACUCUCCACCUUGUACUAGGCCUUCGGCUCUAAAUCGAUGAACUGACUCCAAAUUUUGCUAGCUCUAAAUGAUUAAUAGCCUAGACUGGUGCAAAACUAAAACCUUACUGUGGCAGUGAAAGGCAUUCUGUUAGGGUGGAAUAUUAUUUUGAUCAUUAAUUAUGUGUUAGUUUUGGUAGGUGUCAUGCAGAGGAGCAUAAUACGACACAGAAGGACAUGCAUCCUGCCAUCACAACACAGAAGCAUGUGUUCCAAUCUGCGGUUACGUGCAAUAACUGUAACCUUCUAGGGUAAAAUAAACCAGCAACACUAAUAAUAUAGCCGCACGCAUGCACUAGUUCCAUUUUUUGUUGGAAUCAGAUGCAUUUAUUAUUUAAGGGUGUUUGUUUGGGAUUAUAAUCUGCCCAGAUUAUAUAAUCCAACAAUUUUUAAAUAGUUCAAAAAUUGUUGGAUUAUAUAAUCUGGGCAGAUUAUAAUCCCAAACAAACACCCCUUAUUGGUGUACAGAGUAUCACUUUAAUAAUUGUUGCAGAUUUCAUUCUUCCAAUGUUUUGUUUAUAGUGGACAGUAACUAUGCUCCCUUUUUUCUACAGCCACUUUGCAGCAGAGUGCACCUCAAAAGCAAUUUGCUAGAACUGCAAAGAGCCUGAGCACAUUGCUACCGAGUGCAAGGAUGAGGCACUGUGCCACACCUGCAUCAAAAUAGGUCACUUGGCAUGCGAUUGCUCUACUUCAUGGGCUAACAUUUGAUAGUUAGAGAUUUUGUCGCGCGGUUUGGCAUUUGUCAUAGUUUGGGAUAUUUCUAUAUAUUAAAGCUGGACACAAAGCUUACACCAUAUGUGUCCACGUCGUCUUCUAUUUUCCAGAACGCACGAUCACAUUUCAACGGCAGAAAACGUUUUGUGUUUCCUUUGCCGUAGCUGUCACCGGCUGAACGUGCGACUCAGUCAUGGAGUAUUCUGGAACCCGAGCAUCGCUUCCUCUGCUACAAAGAAAGAAAGAAAAAAGUCCCCUUCUCUACGCUACGACAAAGUGAUAUGGCCCGUGGUGAAGGACAGAAGGAAGGCAACGACAUCGAUGCCGACGCUCGCCCUACCGUGUCCUCAUCCAUGGGCCUCCUCGGACUGUCUCCGUUGGUGCCUGCCGCCAGCUGCGGCGAGUUCGCCGGCUCCCAAGUGGCGUUACUCAGUGUCGGAGUCGGACCCAGCAUCCGCGAUGAAGAACAUCAAUUCCAAGAAUGUGAAGGCGACCACAACGGUAAAAGACCUUCAAGUCUACUGUCCAGGUGCGUGCACUCUGUCUGUGCUCGAGCUCGAAUCGUUUUCUAGGACAUCUCGGUACUAAUUUCAUUCUAUCAAUGUCUAUCCAAUUAGAAGAGCAGAUGGUCCAUAUUUAUUUAUAUAUAUUAAAAAUUAUUAUCAAAUAAAUAAAGUUACUCUGUUUGUGCUAAGGUAGCUGCUGAUUCAGGAUUCAUCACUCAUUGUUAUAGUACACGCGCAAGGCACGCGGACUUUACUAGUUUCUAUAUAUUAAACGCGACCGCAAAGCUCACUCCUCGAACUGUCCACGUUAGUGUUUUUAAUUUCAGCCGUUCGAUUCUCGUCCAACGACUACAGCCAUAUUUCAGCCAGCGUACAGAUACGGAUGCCUUUUCGGCUCCUCCAAGCGACGGGAGAGUUCUGGAGGUUGCGACGAGGAGCCUCCGUCACACUCGACGAAAGCCAAAGCAAGUGUAGCCGCAAGGAUGCGCUGAUGCGCCGUCUGCUGCUGCUGGUGGCUGGUUCCACCCUGGCGUCGCGGCUGCGGGCGUCUUCCAAGUGCGCCACAAGUUCCCCGCCGGAGUUGAAGGGGGCGCCGGUGCCAACACCAACGCCCUUCGUGCCCACGACGGCCGCCGCCACAGCUGUCGACCUCCCGCUCGGCGGCCUCGACCUCCCCACUAACACAAGGUACAUGUCGGCCCUCGCUAGCUUCUUUAUUUUUUUCAGACUUGAUUUAGCUUCUUUACUUUGGAAGAUUUAUCUGUGGGUGUCCUUGAUUUGGUUGGGGGCUUUUUCGUCGCUGUAGAAAUGUAUGCAUGUUCUUAGAAUAUGCACCUUCCAUUCUACAUUUCUACUACGUAAAUUACCAUGUAAAUGGAUGACCGAUCGUUUACUGAGAAGGAAAAUAAGCAAGAGUAUUUUGCUUACAUAAAUUACCAUACGGAAUUACGGAUGGCCGUUAGCUAAUCUAAAGUAAGAGUAUUUUGCUCUUCUUUUUGUGCACCUUUUUCUCCCCUCUCAGGUGUUUGGAUGGAUGCAUGAUGCAUCCCUCUUUCUUGCCACCCUCCUACAUGUCGGUCCACUGUUUUUCAGAGUUCACUCUUUUGAAAAAAGGUAUAAUCAACGUAUUCCUCUACACUUUUUCAUCCAUGCAACUUUUUUAAUGUAUGUACGUGCUAUGCAUAUUAUCAAUAUAAUAAUAAGUAGAACUUAAAUGCAUCUAAUACACAUAAGAAAACUUUCAGCUUUAAGUUGGUCCAUUGUACAGAAACGACACAACUAAUUUUUCAGAGUUCAUCCUUUUGAAAAAAGGUAUAAUCAAAAUAUUCCUCUAUACCUUUUCAUCCAUGCACUUUUUUAGAGAUCCAACACUUAUAAAAAUACCAUAUAAUUUAAAAAUGAGUAUAUUUUAUAGAAUUUAGGGCACCAACAAAACAUUCUGUUCCAACAGUAAAGUCUCAAGUCUAGAUUAUAGGGCAGCCCACUCUAGUGUAAUAUAUUUGAGACACUUGAGAGAGUGUCCUAUAAUUUUUUGACCAAUUUUUAUAAAAUGAGACACUGUUCAAGUAGUUUUUCCUACAUAAAGUCUCAUAUUUCAAUUUGAGUCAUUGUUGGAGAUGGUCUUAGUGUCUGUACGUGCUAUACAUAUUAUCAAUAAUAAUAAUAAUAAUAAUAAUAAUAAUAACAACAACAAUAAUAAUAAUAAUAAUAAUAAUAAUAAUAAUAAUAAUAAUAAUAAUAAUAAUAAUAAUAAUUUGAACCCAAAUGCAUCUAAUACACAUAAAAUAAUAUCAGCUUUAAUUGUACUACACUUAAGAUCGUUGACCUGCAACUUUGGAUGUUGUCUCUGUGUGUAUAUUUAUGUGUAUACGCAUCAUUGUCUUCCUUUGUUCCCACUCUACCUCAAGAUAAAUAUCACAAAUCUAAUUUGGUCCUUCUUAGUUGUGUAGCUUCAGAAACUCAUUACAUUUUUUUCGAACUUAUCGUUAUUUUAUAGUCACUAAGAUCAUUAUUUAUGGCUUUGGUGCAUGUAUAUAUCCACUUCUCUACGUGUAUGUAUUCAUAUAUAAUUUUACUUCUGUAUAUCUACUACAUAGAUCUUUUAACUGUGCAGACAUAUCGAUCAAAUACUCGCGCUCGCGUUGGCGCGAGUUAGUUACUAGUUUCCAAAAUACUACAGAAAAAGACAAGAUAAUAUGCGUGUCGUUAUUUUGUUUGUGAUUGCCUUCCUUUAUCUGAAUAUUUCGCAUUAAUAAUAAAUGGUUCCCUUUAAUGUACAAUACAAUUUGAGAUGAUCUUGUACAUUAGUGAUUGGUACGGCGCUCGAUAGGGCGCACCCUUUUCUAGUAUAAUAAUAAAGACAUGUACAUUCGAAAGCUCUUAGUUGACAUGAAAUAAUAUCAUAUAUAAAAUUCGGAAAUGAUCAACCCAUUUGAUAGACACGCUGUUUAUCUAUUUAUAGGGAUCGAGCUCCUAAUCUCAUAUACAAUUAUAGUAAUGCUUCACUACAUUUCCGAUUUUUCACUAUACAGUCAUGCCGCACACGUCUUCCGUCUUCUCUAGCUCAAGGAUUUUUUUGAACGCCGCUUUUAAACAAAGGUCCUUGCAAUUCUUUUAUACAUAAUCUAUAACUAGCUGAAUGCCCGUGCGUUGCAACGGGAAUAUAUAAUAUCAGUAUAUUACGAUAACUUAUAUACAAAAUGUGUGUUAUAUUGUUAUGAGAAAAUGUUUCAUAAUCAAUUUGUGAUCCUAGCCAUAUAUAAAUUUGGUUAUUUUAAUCUAGUUAUUUUACCACUACAUUGCAACCAUCAGUAUCAUGCAGACUUCGAUAUAUGCCACGAUUUGUAUGGUCUCAUCAUUGGAGAGCACGUUCCACACAUGCCGGAAAAAUUCUCUCGUACAUCAUUAGUCAUCAGACACGCACCACCAUAUGCUCUUGCUUAAACAAAAAGGUAAGUGUGUAUGUGUUUGCGAAGAGAAUUAAAGGCAGGCCGACACAAAAGCUACCCUGACGGUGGCGAGGAUGACGAACUGGUCACUGUUGUCGAUCCUCCUCUGUGUCACCUCCGGCGCCAAGAUGACGCCACAAUCCUUGAUAUAGUAGUCAUCGAACGCACGCGACAUGACGAGUACCGAUGACUCUUGGUUGGGCUGCCAAACGAAGUGCACCCCGGUCUCAUCAGCGAGGUAGUACCCCUGGCCGUUGCACCACCAAAUGCGCUAUUCCACUACAUACAUCAUGUUCGAGGACACUCACACAACGUCAGCAACGUCCAUCUUCCCAGCGCACAAGAAUUCAUGUCCGGUCAGUAGCGACUUACGUGGCAGGUUGGGCUUUAGGUGGACGAUGAGCUGGACGGCGUGAUGGCGUCGUCGUCGGAUGCGGUGUCCAGAACAACCCGAGAGUCAUCGAUGUUGGCGACAACCAUGAGCCCCCCCUGCUUAACGAUGGACAACGUGGUGCAGCUGCUCUGGACCGCGUCCAAGCGACGGCUUCGCGGGAACUUGUCGUACACAGCAGCGCAUGCGACCACGUAAGACUGCUUUUAGAGAUCGAACUGACAGUCGCCAAGCUUCUUCUCGUCAUCGAUGAGCGAUGACAACGCGAGUGCCUCCUGCUCAUGGAGUUUGUUCGGGGUUUGAAGUAGGAAACAUGGAUUCAUGCUUGGCGUUGGUUUAUGAAAAUGACUCACAAGUCUGAUCCAUGGAAAAAAAUAUUACGAAGAAAAAAUGUCACACAUGCAAAAAAAGGGAAUUUAAGUAUAAUGCAUUAUUCAAACAAAAGAAAUAGCAUGCAAACUCUUCUUUAAAUAAUAUUACCUCCAUCCAAAAAUAUAAUUCAAGAAUCUCGGUGAUACUUAUCUACUACUACGCAUUGUACAAUGGUAGCAUGUGAGCUUGGAGAGAGAUGUAGUAGAUGUGUUUCCUGUCAUAGAUGUAGACAUAAACACAUAUAGGUGGGUGCCCGUCCGUUGCAACAGAAAUAUUUAAUAUCAUGAUAACUUAUGAACAAAUGUGUGUUAUACUGUUAUGUGAAAAUGUUUCGUAACUAAUUUGUGAUCCUAGCUAUACAUAAAAUUUGUUAUUUCAAUCUAACUAUUUCAUCAUUACAUUGCAACCAACAGUACCGUGCAGACUUCUAUACAUGAUAGCUGAAUGCCCGUGCGUUGCAACGGGAAUAUAUAAUACCAGUAUACUACGAUAACUUAUAUACAAAAUAUGUGUUAUACCGUUAUGAGAAAAUGUUUCAUAAUCAAUUUGUGAUUCUGGCCAUACAUAAAUUUUGUUAUUUAUAAUCUAUCUGUUUCAUCACUACAUUGCAACCAUCAGUAUCAUGCAGACUUCGAUAUAUGUCUCAAUUUGCAUGGUCUCAUUAUUGUAGAGCACGUUUCACACAUACCGGAAGAAAUUCCCUCGUACAUCGUUAGUCAUCGGACAUGUACCACCAUACGCUUUUGCUUAAACAAAAAGGUAAGUGUGUGUUUGCAAGACUAAUGGUCAAACAUCGUAUAACCAUAAAGUUAGAAUACUAUAUUAAUAUAUUAAAUAAAUUAAUCCAAUAGACAUAGAUUAACCCAAUUAACAUAGGAUAAAUAAAUAUCUAAUUAUAAAAGUAUGAAACAUGAUAUAAUCAAUGUUGUUACUGCGUAGUAAAUAUUCAUACGAGACUAACACAACUGGAACGGUUCAAUUUGGAAUUAAAAUGGGGAAGUUACGAAUUUCCAAAGUUUCUAUGUAUUUGAUAUAGGAUUAAUUAGGAAAUCAAUUUUAUUGUUGUUUUCAUGACAAAACAGAGGUAUUAUGUGAUAAAAAUAAUAUUAUAGAAUUAUAGAAAUUGGAAUGAACUCAUUUGGAUUUAAUAUAAAAUUUCCAUGAAUUAAAUGGGUUUCUGUAAUUAUUUUUAAACUAAAAAUCAAUCUGCAAUUAUUUUUAAACUAAAAAUCAAUUUCUAAAUUCCUUUUCCCUAUUUUCUUUAUUUCCUGGACUGCGUCCCAAAUUCCAGAAAGAUCAGGGGCUAAGCUAUAAAUGUUUUUCUAGACUCAGUGAGCAUACAGAGUGGACGGCGGGUUAAACACAAAAGAUGUCUUAGUUGAAGUUGUACACAAUUAACAUGAGUCAUGUUGGCUAGAGGGUGGAAGGCUAGGUAUUCUGCUCAAUAGAUCCAAGGUUCGAUUCUUGAGCAGCCAUGGUUUAAUUUUUUUUCUGCGCGCGAAACGGAGGAGGGCAGAACGGCAGACUACUAUUGCUUACUUAAUAGAUAGUAGAGAUUUUCGGAUCUAAACAUUUAAAAAAACUCCGAUAGACAAAGUCAAAAAUCUGACAAAAUCUAAUAUAUGUGUUGACACCUUUUUAGGGCGCCAAUCACUCAACACGAACCAGCGGCGGUGCUCUCUGCACAGGGGCGGACGGUCCGCGGCCAGGGGCCGGACGGUCCACGGCCUGGCGCGAGGUUAGGGUUCCUGCCUGACGGCCGGCGGUCCACGCGUGCGCAGGGGCGGCGGAAGAUCGCCGGCAGCGCCUGGAUCUCGCUCCCGGGAGGGACCCCGUCGGGGAGGAGAGAUCCUAGGUGAUGUCUAGGCUCGGGCAGACCGACCUAGACUCCUCUAAUCGACAUAGAGUCGAAUAGAAGCGGAGAAUUUGGGGAUUGAGAGGCUAAACUAGAAUUAGACUAGAAUUACUCCUAAUUGUACAAGAAAUAAAUACGAAAUACAAGUGUUGUUGAUUCGAUUGAUAAUUCCAAAUCGGCAGUAUAUCUCUCUAUUUAUAGAGGAGGGGGUUGAACCCUUUACAAACUAAUUUCCGAGCUAAUUUCGUGAAUCUAGCUAACAACCGUAGCACAAAACUCGGAACCCUAAACCGCUCUGCGCACGUGCGGACCGUCCGGCCCACAGGCGCGGACCGUCCGUACCGCGGAUCGUCCGGUCUCAGGGUCGGACCGUCCGCCAGCUCAAUCUAGUGCUGAACAUAUGCCCCCUGCCUUUUGGUGGAGCUGAGCAAACCAAAAGCAACUAACUCGAUGUGAUUACAUCGGUUCUCUUAGGCAUCUUGCCACAUACUAGGAUGGUACUGUUUGAGGAAACGCCCAUUCAAAGCCUUGAGUAAAUCCUUGCCUUGUAAUGUUUGUAGUAAAUAGGCAUUACCAGACAUUACCUGUUUUACUUUAUAAGGACCCUCCCAGCUCGGCGACCAUUUCCCAAACUUUCGGUCUUUAUUCCUUAGAGGCAGGAUGGUCUUCCACACCAGGUCCCCUACUUGAAAUGACUUUGCUUUGACCUUCUUGUUGUAGGCCCUGGCUACCAUGAUCUUGUUUCUAUUGCUCCCAAAGCUAUCACCCUCUUGUCGAUCACCUCAUCAAUAUUAUCCAUCAUUGAAUUAUAAUAAUCAAUGACGGUUAGAUCAUUUUGUCUGGCGAACCUGACAGCAUUUAAACUUAUUUCCACAGGCAACACUGCUUGAGAGCACCUAGAGGGGGGGUGAAUAGGUGAUCCUGUAAAACUUAAAACUUUAGCCACAAAACUUGGUUAAGUGUUAGCACAAUAAUCGCCAAGUGGCUAGAGGAGAGUCUCAACACAACACAAUAACCACAAAGAUAUCAAUCACAGAGAUGGCACGGUGGUUAUCCCGUGGUUCGGCCAAGACCAACGCUUGCCUACUCCACGUUGUGGCGUCCCAACGGACGAGGGUUGCAAUCAACCCCUCUCAAGCGGUCCAAAGACCCACUUGAAUACCACGGUGUUGCUUUGCUUUUCUUAAUCCCGUUUGCGAGGAAUCUCCACAACUUGGAGCCUCUCGCCCUUACAAAAGAUGUUCACAAAGAAGCACUGAGCAAGGGAGGGAUUAGCAACUCACACAAGACACAAAGAUCACAGCAAAUACGCACACACAAAACCCAGACUUGAGCUCAAGAGACUAGCACACUAGAACGGAGCUCAAAUCACUAGAAUGUCGAACAAGUGCGCAAGAUUGAUGUGUGAGUGAUCAAGAGUGCUCAAGGAAUGCUUGGUAUUCUCCUCCAUGCGCCUAGGGGUCCCUUUUAUAGCCCCAAGGCAGCUAGGAGCCGUUGAGAGAAAUUCUGGAAGGCCAUUCUUGCCUUCUGUCGUCUGGCGCACCGGACACUGUCCGGUGCCCGAUUUCUUUCCUUCUACGGCGAAGUCGACCGUUGGCAGCUAGAGAGCCGUUGGCGCACCGGACAUGUCCGGUGCACACCAGACAAUCCGGUGCCCCCUUCCGACCGUUGGCUCGGCCACGUGUCCCGCGCAGAUCGCGCGGCCGACCGUUGGCCCGGCCGACCGUUGGCUCACCGGACAGUCCGGUGCACACCGGACAGUCCAGUGAAUUAUAGCCGUACGUCGCCGGUGAAAUCCCGAGAGCGGCCAGUUCGCCCGAGCCAGUCUGGCGCACCGGACACUGUCUGGUGCACCACCGGACAGUCCGGUGCUUCCAGACUGAGCAGACUUCGGCUGAACAAGGCCAUCUCAUUUCCAAUUCGAUUUUUCCUGUUUCCAGCACUUAGACACAAUACAUUAGUACAUAAAACAAUGUACUAAGUCUAGAAACAUACCUUUGUUCUUGAUUUGUACUUUGUCCACCAUUUUACACUUAGGCACUUGUGUUGGCCACUAAAUCACCAAAAUACUUAGAAAUGGCCCCAAGGGCACAUUUCCCUUUCAAUCUCCCCCUUUUUGGUGAUUUAUGCCAACACAACAUAAAGCAAGUAGAACAAGUACAAACUCAAUUCAAAUAAGAACUCAAAUUUGUUUUGAUUCAUAUUUGGCAUAUAUGGAUCACUGUUUGCCACCACUUGGUUUGUUUUUGCAAAUCAAACUCAAAUUUCUAUCUCUAAGUCAAACACACAUGUUAAGACAUAAAGAGAGUCAUUCCAAAAGAAAUUGAUUCAAGAUUUCAAAAACUCCCCUUUUUCCCAUAAUCAGCACUUCUCCCCACAAGAAGCCAACUUUUGACAAGAGAGACAAUAAAAGAGUUUUGACAAAUCAAAAGCUCUAUGACAAAUCAAAAGCUCUAUUCUACUAUUUUCAAAAUCUCUCAAGUGGUAGCUGAUCCAUUUAUCGCUUUGGCCUUUAUUUUCUCCCCCUUUGGCAUCAAGCACCAAAACGGGAUCAAUCUUGGCCCUUUAAUCCCAUUGCCUCACCAAAAUCUUCAACGAAGAGCAAAUAGGCAAUAAGAGUAUAAAGAUGAACUUGGAAAAGUUACUCUUUUCAUUGGAGUGCAGUGGAAGUCUUGCAUGGUCCAAGUCCACCUUUUCCCUUUCAAUUCUCCUUCGAGACUAAAUCAAGCAAACUCAAGCACAUGGUUAGUCUCAAAGGGUCAAGUUGUAACACACCUCCCCCUAAAUAUCUGCAUCACUUGCAUAAGGACUUGUGAGGUCCGGGGAGUGUUUGUACAACUUGAGCACUAUAAUAAGCAACAAAAUGCAGAAAGAACAUGAUCAAAGGCAUAAACACAUGUAUGCUACAAUUCAAUCCAAGUUCCGCGAAUCUAAGACAUUUAGCUCACUACGCAGCCUGCAAAAGGUCUUCUCAUCUAGAGGCUUGGUAAAGAUAUCGGCUAGCUGGUUCUCGGUGCUAACAUGAAACACUUCGAUAUCUCCCUUUUGCUGGUGGUCUCUCAAAAAGUGAUGCCGGAUGUCAGUGUGCUUUGUGCGGCUGUGCUCAACAGGAUUUUCCGCCAUGCGGAUAGCACUCUCAUUAUCACAUAGGAGUGGGACUUUGCUCAGAUUGUAGCCAAAGUCCCUGAGGGUUUGCCUCAUCCAAAGUAGUUGCGCGCAACACUGUCCUGUGGCAACGUACUCGGCCUCAGCGGUGGAUAGGGCAACGAAAGUUUGUUUCUUAGAGUUCCACGACACCAGGGACCUUCCUAAGAAUUGGCACGUCCCCGAUGUACUCUUCCUAUCGACCUUACAUCCGGCAUAGUCGGAAUCUGAGUAUCCAAUCAAGUCAAAGUUAGACCCCUUAGGAUACCAGAUCCCGAAGCAAGGCGUAGCGACUAAAUAUCUAAGUAUUCGCUUCACUGCCACUAAGUGACACUCCUUAGGAUCGGAUUGAAAUCUAGCGCACAUGCAUACGCUAAGCAUAAUAUCCGGUCUACUAGCACAUAAAUAAAGUAAAGACCCUAUCAUUGACCGGUAUGCUUUUUGAUCAACAGACUUACCUCCUUUGUUGAGGUCGGUGUGUCCGUCGGUUCCCAUCAGAGUCUUUGCGGGCUUGGCGUCCUUCAUCCCAAACCUCUUUAGCAAGUCUUGUGUGUACUUCGUUUGGGAGAUGAAGGUGCAGUCCUUGAGUUGCUUCACUUGGAACCCAAGGAAGUAUUUCAACUCGCCCAUCAUUGACAUCUCGAAUUUCUGCGUCAUCACCCUGCUAAACUCUUCACAAGACUUUUGGUUAGUAGAACCAAAUAUUAUGUCAUCGACAUAAAUUUGGCACACAAACAAAUCACCAUCACAAGUCUUAGUAAAAAGAGUUGGAUCGGCUUUCCCAACCUUGAAAGCGUUAGCAAUUAAAAAGUCUCUAAGGCAUUCAUACCAUGCUCUUGGGGCUUGCUUAAGUCCAUAGAGCGCCUUAGAGAGCUUACACACGUGGUCGGGGUAUCAUUCAUCCUUGAAGCCAGGGAGUUGCUCCACGUACACCUCCUCCUUGAUUGGCCCGUUGAGGAAAGCGCUCUUCACAUCCAUUUGGAACAACCUGAAAGAAUGGUGAGCGACAUAUGCUAGCAAGAUACGAAUAGACUCUAGCCUAGCCACAGGGGCAAAAGUCUCCUCAAAGUCCAAACCUGCGACUUGGGCAUAACCUUUUGCCACAAGUCGAGCCUUGUUUCUUGUCACCACCCCGUGCUCGUCUUGUUUGUUGCGGAACACCCACUUGGUUCCCACAACAUUUUGCUUAGGACGAGGCACCAGCGUCCAAACUUCAUUUCUCUUGAAGUUGUUGAGCUCCUCCUGCAUGGCCAACACCCAGUCCGGAUCUAGCAAGGCCUCCUCUACCCUGAAAGGCUCAAUAGAAGAGACAAAGGAGUAAUGCUCACAAAAAUUUACUAAUCGAGAUCGAGUAGUUACUCCCUUGCUAAUGUCACCCAAAAUUUGGUCGACGGGAUGAUCCCUUUGAAUCAUCGCUCGGACUUGAGUUGGAGGUGGCGGUUGUGCUUCUUCCUCCAUCACAUGAUCAUCUUGUGCUCCCCCUUGCUCACACGCCUCCUUUUGAUGAACCUGUUCAUCGUCUUGAGUUGGGGGAUGCACCAUUGUUGAGGAAGAAGGUUGAUCUUGCUCAUCUUGUUCCUGUGGCCGCACAUCUCCAAUCACCAUGGUGCGUAUUGCGGCCGUUGCAAUGUCUUCUUCAUCUACAUCAUCAAGAUCAACAACUUGCUCUCUUGGAGAGCCAUUAGUCUAAUCAAAUACAACGUCGCUAGAGACUUCAACCAAACCUGAUGAUUUGUUGAAGACUCUAUACGCCUUUGUAUUUGAGUCAUAACCUAACAAAAACCCUUCUACAGCUUUGGGAGCAAACUUAGAAUUUCUACCCUUCUUCACUAAAAUGUAGCAUUUGCUCCCAAAUACACGAAAGUAAGAUACAUUGGGUUUGUUACCGGUUAGUAGCUCAUAUGACGUCUUCUUGAGGAGGCGAUGAAGGUAGACCCUGUUGAUGGCGUGGCAAGCCGUGUUCACGGCUUCCGACCAAAAGCACUCGGGGGUCUUGAAUUCUCCAAGCAUCGUCCUCGCCAUAUCUAUGAGUGUCCUGUUCUUCCUCUCUACCACACCAUUUUGUUGUGGUGUGUAGGGAGCAGAGAACUCGUGCUUGAUCCCCUCCUCCUCAAGGAACUCCUCCACUUGAAGGUUCUUGAACUCGGACCUGUUGUCGCUUCUUAUCUUCUUUACCUUGAGCUCAAACUCAUUUUGAGCUCUCCUUAGGAAGCGCUUGAGGGUCCCUUGGGUUUCAGACUUAUCCUGCAAAAAGAACACCCAAGUGAAGCGGGAAAAGUCAUCAACAAUAACUAGACCAUACUUACUUCCUCCUAUGCUUAGAUAGGCUACGGGUCCGAAGAGGUCCAUAUGUAGCAGCUCCAGGGGUCUUGAAGUGGUCAUCACAUUCUUGCUGUGAUGCGCUCCUCCCACUUGUUUACCUGCUUGACAAGCUGCACAUGGUCUAUCUUUUUCGAAUUGCACGUUAGUCAAACCUAUCACGUGUUCUCCCUUUAGAAGCUUGUGAAGGUUCUUCAUCCCCACAUGUGCUAAGCGGCGAUGCCACAGCCAGCCCAUGCUAGUCUUAGCAAUUAAGCAUGCAUCUAGACCGACCUCCUCUUUUGCAAAAUCAAGUAAAUAAAGUUUGUCGUCUAAUACACCCUUAAAAGCUAGUGAACCAUCACUUCUUCUAAAGACAGACACAUCUACAUUUGUAAAAAGUCAAUUAUAUCCCAUAUUGCAUAGUUGACUAACAGAUAGCAAGUUGUACCCAAGAGACUCUACUAAGAACACGUUAGAGAUAGAGUGCUCAUUUGAAAUUGCAAUUUUACCUAACCCUUUUACCUUGCCUUGAUUCCCAUCACCGAAUAUUAUUGAAUCUUGGGAAUCCUUGUUUUUUAUGUAGGAGGUGAACAUCUUCUUCUCCCCCGUCAUAUGGUUUGUGCAUCCGCUGUCGAUAAUCCAGCUUGAACCCCCGGAUGCAUAAACCUGCAAGGCAAAUUUAGGCUUGGGACUUAGGUACCCAACUCUUGUUGGGUCCUACAAGGUUAGUCACAAUUCUCUUAGGGACCCAAAUGCAAGUUUUAUCACCCUUGCAUUUUGCCCCGAACUUCCUAGCAAUUAUCUUCCUAUCCUUUCUACAAAUAGCAAAGGAAGCAUUUAAAGCAUGAUAAAUUGUAGAGGGUUCAUUGACUUUCCUAGGAACAUUAACAACAUUUUUUCUAGGCAUAUGAUGAACAACAUUUCUUCUAAACACAUUUCUACCAUGCAUAUAGGAAGAACUAGAAGCAAACAUGGCAUGAGAGUCAAAAGCAUCAUUACAACUCCUAUAAGCAUUUCUAGGUUGUCUCCUAUCAUGGUACAUAAAAGCAUGGUUCAUUUGCACACUACUAGCCAUAGGGGCCUUCCCUUUCUCCUUGGCGGAGAUGGGAGCCUUAUGGCUUGUUAAGUUCUUGGCUUCCCUCUUGAAGCCAAGUCCAUCCUUAAUUGAGGGGUGUCUACCAAUCGUGUAGGCAUCCCUUGCAAAUUUUAACUUAUCAAAUUCACUCUUGCUAGUCUUAAGUUGGGCAUUAAGACUAGCCACCUCGUCAUUUAAUUUAGAAAUGCAAGCUAGGUGUUCACUACAAGCAUCAAUGUUAAUGUCUUUACACCUAGUGCAAGUUACAACAUUUUCUAUACAAGAGUUGGAUUUACUAGCGAUCUCUAACUUAGCAUUCAAAUCAUCAUUAACACUUUUUAAUUUAGAGAUGGAUUCAUGACAAGUAGAUAAUUCACUAGAGAGCAUUUCAUUCCUUUUAAUUUCUAGAGCAAGAGAAUUUUGUGCACUAACAAAUUUAUCAUGCUCCUCAUAUAAAAGAUCCUCUUGUUUUUCUAGUAAUCUAUUCUUGUCAUUCAAAGCAUCAAUCAACUCAUUAAUCUUAUCAAUUUUAGAUCUAUCUAAUCCCUUGAAUAAGCAUGAGUAAUCUAUCUCAUCAUCAUCACUAGACUCAUCCUCACUAGAAGAAGCAUAUGUAGAGUUUCGAGUACUUACUUUCUUCUCCUUAGCCAUGAGACAUGUGUGAUGCUCGUUGGGGAAGAGGGAUGACUUGUUGAAGGCGGUGGCGGCGAGUCCUUCACUGUCGGAGUCGGAAGAGGAGCAAUCCGAAUCCCACUCCUUGCCUAGAUGUGCCUCGCCCUUUGCCUUCUUAUAUGCCUUCUUCUUUUCCCUCUUGCUCCCUUGUUCCUGGUCACUCUCAUUAUCAGGACAGUUAGCAAUAAAAUGACCAAUCUUACCAUAUUUGAAGCAUGAGCGCUUCCCCUUUGUCUUGGUCUUGCUUGGCUGUCCCUUGCUACCCUUAAGCGCCGUCUUGAAGCGCUUGAUGAUGAGGGCCAUCUCUUCAUCAUUGAGCCCGGCCGCCUCAAUUUGCGCCACCUUGCUAGGUAGCGCCUCCUUGCUCCUUGUUGCCUUGAGAGCAAUAGGUUGAGGCUCAUGGAUUGGACCGUUCAACGCGUCGUCAACAUAUCUCGCCUCCUUGAUCAUCAUUCGCCCGCUUACGAAUUUCCCAAGAACUUCUUCGGGCGACAUCUUGGUGUACCUAGGAUUUUCACGGAUAUUGUUCACCAAAUGUGGAUCAAGUACAGUAAAGGACCUUAGCAUUAGGCGGACGACGUCGUGAUCCGUCCAUCACGUGCUUCCGUAGCUCCUUAUUUUGUUGAUGAGGGUCUUGAGCCGGUUGUAUGUUUGGGUUGGCUCCUCUCCCCUUAUCAUUGCGAAUCUUCCGAGUUCGCCCUCCACCAACUCCAUCUUGGUGAGCAAGGUGACGUCGUUCCCCUCAUGAGAGAUCUUGAGGGUGUCCCAGAUCUGCUUGGCAUUGUCCAAGCCGCUCACCUUAUGAUACUCGUCCCUUCACAAAGAUGCUAGCAACACAGUAGUAGCUUGUGCAUUCUUAUGAAUCUGUUCAUUAAUAAAUAUGGGAUUAUCCGAGCUAUCAAAUUUCAUUCCAGUCUCUACAAUCUCCCAUAUGCUUGGAUGGAGAGAGAACAAGUGACUACGCAUUUUGUGACUCCAAAAUCCGUAGUCCUCUCCAUCAAAGUGAGGAGGUUUACCAAGUGGAAUGGAUAAUAAAUGAGCAUUUGUAUUUUGCGGAAUACGAGAGUAGUCAAAAGAAAAGUUCGAAUUAACCGGUUUCCUUCUCUCGUAGUCGUUGUCGUCGUUGUCCUUUUGGGAAUAAGAGGACUCGUCGCUGUCGUCGUAGUAGACGAUCUCCUUGAUGCGUCUUGUCUUCUUCUUCCUCCCAUCUUUGCGCUUGUGGCCCGAGCCCGAGUCGGUAGGCUUGUCAUCUUUCGGCUCGUUGAAGAUAGACUCCUUCUCGUUGUUGACCACCAUCUCCUUUCCCUUAGGAUCCAUCUCUUCGGGCGAUUAGUCCCUUCUUGAAGAGAACGGCUUUGAUACCAAUUGAGAGCACCUAGAGGGGGGGGGUGAAUAGGUGAUCCUGUAAAACUUAAAACUUAAGCCACAAAACUUGGUUAAGUGUUAGCACAAUAAUCGCCAAGUGGCUAGAGGAGAGUCUCAACACAACACAAUAACCACAAAGAUAUCAAUCACAGAGAUGGCACGGUGGUUAUCCCGUGGUUCGGCCAAGACCAACGCUUGCCUACUCCACGUUGUGGCGUCCCAACGGACGAGGGUUGCAAUCAACCCCUCUCAAGCGGUCCAAAGACCCACUUGAAUACCACGGUGUUGCUUUGCUUUUCUUAAUCCCGUUUGCGAGGAAUCUCCACAACUUGGAGCCUCUCGCCCUUACAAAAGAUGUUCACAAAGAAGCACUGAGCAAGGGAGGGAUUAGCAACUCACACAAGACACAAAGAUCACAACAAAUACGCACACACAAAACCUAGAUGUUGGGGACUUGUUCUCAAAUGCUAUGAAUUAAGAACAAGGCAACAUAAAAUGUUAAAUGUUAACGUCCUUCGUCCAUGAAACAUUAUUCCCUUGAGGAUAAUGAACCUUGGACGAAGGUUAAUGAGAAUAUAAUUACGAAGGUUAAAUCUUCGUAAUUAUAUUUUAGUAGAUUGUAUAAGAUAACAUAAAAUAAAGGGUAUAAAAAGGUAAAUGAAUCAUAAACGAAUUAUAUUAUAUUUAUUCAAUAUAUUGAGUUAUUGAAUACAGUUAUACCUCUGCCUUGGCAAAGAUUGGUUCCCGAAAGACGCGAUUGCAAUUACCAGAAUCCGUGAACAGUAAAGGAAUAUUGUUCACUAUUUAUAGACACAGGACACAGCCUGUGAAGAAUUACAAUUAUGCCCCUCAUAAAAGUUUACAACAUUGACUCAGACCCUUAUGGACUAAAAGGUCAUUCUAUCUUUAAGUCGGUUUGCAAUACCGAAGCUUCAUGAAGAGGAACCUUCGGCCAUCCCAUACAAACAGCUUCAGCCGAAAGCCGCUUCUUCCUACAAGACCUUCGGCGACGAAGCAUAGUCCCAACAGUAGCCCCUUUCGCGGUGCUAGAUCGUUUUUCGUAACGAGCUUGAUCCGUGAAAAAAGUCUCUUAAGCUUCGGGGAGCCGAAGGUCCAAAAAACACCUUCCCUGAGCUCGUUGUCGAGAAACGAUUCAGUUUCCCAGCGCGUAGCGGUCCCACCUUGCAGAGUUAUUGUUUGUCUCUGCGGUCCACCACGCAGCGAGUGCAAGCGGGUGUCCGUCUGGUGUAAAAAUCCUGGCGCUUCGCCUUCUUUCCUGCAGUACUAUAUAAACAGACGAGUAGGUGUGAAGUUACCACAUCAUUCAUUGCUAUUUGCACUGUUUUGCUGCCAAAAUUUUUAACCAUCGCCGAAGCUUGACUCUCGGAAUCGAACGAAGCUCCAACUUGAAGCCUGCUUCGUCAGAAGAAAAAACUUCGGAAAAAAGUAUUUAAUUUCCACAAAUUCAGAAUUAAAUGGCCAGAGUGCGUUCUACCGCUAGGGUUGAGCGUGAGGGGGGCGAAACUGAAGGUUCGGAGACUGUUCCCAUCUCUGAAGCGAUGCAAAGAUCUGGACUGGUAACUUCGGAAAGGAUCCCCAGUGAUGAUGCAGAACAAGCAGAACAAGCAAUUGCCGAAGCAGAAGAAGAAGAUAUUGAGGAAACUGAUCCCGAAGACGAUUAUCGUAUUGCCAUGCCAAGUAAGCCCAGCCACUUGGACUUCGGAAAGUCUACUGUUUCGAAGGCUGAUCUCUCCAAGAUGGUAAAGUCGGGUUUUUUCAGUGAAAAUCAGAAGAAGUUACUUCGCUUCGGGGGGGGGGGGGGGAAGAAACUACCCCGAAGCCAGAGAAAGAUGAAAUAGUUAUUUUCAAGAGCUUUCUAAAGGCUGGGUUGAGAUUCCCCCUGAAUGGAAUUAUUGCAGAAAUAUUGAAUAGAUUUGGAAUCUACUUUCAUCAGCUGACUCCUAACGCCAUCGUUAGGCUCAAUGUUUAUAUCUGGGCCCUCCGAAGCCAAGCGGUGGAACCGUUUGCGGAUAGCUUUUGCCGAGUUCACGAGUUGCACUAUCAGACGAAGGCUAGAAAAGAUGGAUUGCAUGACAACUUUGGUUGCUAUAAUUUUGCUUAUCGGAAAACCACAAAGUUUCCUGUAAUCAGCUACCGAAGCAAAUGGGCAGCAGGUUGGAAGUCGGAGUGGUUCUAUGUCAAGGUUGAUGAUGACAAGGAGAAGCUCGUGCAAAGUCCACUUGAACUAAUCUUCGGAGAAACCCGACCUCGUUGCAACAUGACACCAGAAGGUCCAACCCAACAAGCGUUGGAUGAGUUCAGAAUUAUUUCAGAGCAUAUCAGUACAAGAGACCUGGUACAGGAGUUUUUGGCUUUCAGGGUUUUUCCUAGUUUAAAAGAAUGGGAAAUGCCGAAGCUAGAGGGGGAGAAAAAAGAGGGAGAACUUGUACGAUUACCUUACUAUUUCAAGUUCAAGAAAUACUUUAAAACACCUUGCCAAGAGUGGCUGGAUACAAUUGAAGUAAUGUGUAAUGAAAUACUCGGCAAUUACUCCAAAAAAGAAGAUCAGUUGAUGACUGCAGCCUUCGGCACCCGUCCGAAGCGAAGAUUGAACCGAGUGUUGGAUGCCUUGGGUUUUGAAUACCCUGACUACGAAAAUCUGAAUAAAAGUGUCGAAGGCCGGAAAAGAAAAAGGGUAGCCGAAGCUUCAAAUAAAGAUGAGAAGGAACCAGCAAAAAAGAAGAAUAUUCCGAAGAAAAAGAAAGUAUUAUCUCCGAAGCGAAAGAUAUCCGACAAAGAGGAGACCCCCACAUCACCCUCUGCCACUGAUGUGGAAGAGAUUUUGAAGGUAAUAAGUCCAUUGGGGCCUCAACUGACGAAGUUUUUUCAGAAGGAAAAGGAGCCCGAACAAACGAAGAAAUCAACUAAAACUAAAAGACAAAGAAUCAUCGCAGUAACAGAAGUCAUUGACAAGACACCACCGAGAGCUUCAGCUCAGAAGAUACCAGCAGAUGAAGAAAUAACAAAUAUUGAAGUCACACCUUCGGAGGUCGCGGCUGCCGAAGCUACCUCAAUUGAAGAUUUGAACUUGGAAAGCACAAUUGAGCAUAUCGAUAAAAUACUACUAGACAUGGCCACAGAAGAAGCUACCACUGCCGCCGAAGAGGCCAUGGCCGCAACUUCUGGGAAAGAAAAGGAAAUUGCUGACGAAGCUUUAGAGGACGAAGCCUUCAUGUUCCAAAAUUUAGUUGGACAAGAAUUGUCAGAGGCCGAAGUGGAAGAGCUUAAAGAAUAUGCCAAGUCUUGCGGUUAUAAGCCAGGAGCACUCCUCUUCGGGGGAAUUGACGAUGAAAAAUUGAACUGUAUCCGAGACCAAACUGGAGCUAAGAUCAUCGGUACUCUAUCAAAGAGUAUCGGUUUUCCGAAGCUGGAAACGGACAUCAGCCGCUACCGACGACAACAUAUCGUUGGUAGUUUAUUUUAUUCUAAUUUCAAGGUGAACUACUUUUCCCUUGUCUUUUAUUGUUUUUAAUGAUAAAUACAUGUCUAACGAAGAUUGUUUACGUGUAGAGUAUGCUGCUGAGCAAGGCUUUGAAAAUGCAGCAAGAUUUAGAAGACAAAAAACACGAAGUUAUAAUUGAAAGCUUAGAGAGCAAAAUAAAAGAGCAAUCAGCUACUGUUGAAAAGAAAGACUUCGAGCUUCGGACAACUGAAGGUUUAUUGACAGAAGCUGAAGCUAAAAUAGCAGAAUUGAAUUCGAAGCUUCUCUAUCAAUCUGAACAAUUUGAACAGGAAAAACAAGAACUUAGUAUGAAACUUGAAGCCGAAGUUCAACAAAAUUCAGAUUUGAAAAAAUUAUUGGCAAUCCUUCAAGAAAAAUGUUUGGAAUUUAGCAACAAAUGCAUUCAACGACUGAGAAAAAUUUUCCACUCAGUUGGAGCUAGCAAUGAAAAAUUCACCCCGUCAGCUGAAGAUUUACCAAAGACCUUCGAACAUAUCGAAGGUGAAAUUGAUGAGCUUGACGAAGUUAUAGCUGGGCAUGGUGACUUCUGCGCCUGGGUACCUUCUCGGGGCACUGCUGCAGCUUUCCUAAAAGCUGGCUGCGAUCAUGGAAAGAUUGUCAAUAGGCCCAAUUUCACUUUAUCACCAUCAAUCCUAGAUGACAUUCCUGAUCUCGCCCGAAGUAUUUCCAAUAGAUUUGUAAAAAUGAUAUGGACAAAAGGCGGGCGAGAAAAGGCUGGAGACGAAGCUCGGAGUCAUCUUGAACCAGUAAGAAAUCAUACCUUGUGCUUACCUCUUCCUUCAAGCUCGAUUUUGACUUACAACAACUUAAUUCAUGUAGGAUGACGAAGCCGAAGUCGAUGAUUAAAAAGAAUGACGCCGAAGCUAAAAUCCCUCGAAGAUUAAAUAGGAGUAUACUGUAGACAGAUUCAGGAAACUUUUGAGAUAACUUUUGUAAAUGUAACUAAACUUGUCUUUAAUGAGUUCUGUUCAUACCUUGUAUUAUGCUCUUACCCUUCCAUUAAUGUAUGUGAAGUGCUUUGUUGUGGACGAAAUUAUCUUUUUUGAGCCGAAAGCGAAAAAACACCUUCCCUUCUUUUCGUACACAGCGAAGCAUAGAAAACAACAUUUCCCUUUUUCCGAAGCUCUCCUUUUUGUACGCGAAGAAGCUCUUCUCUUAUGCCGAAGCAACCACUUAUGCCAUGAUGAUGAUUAUCCUACAUAUGCCUAGAUGAAUGUUUUAUGAAUGCAAAUGCUAUGAUGUAAUGUGAUGUGCAAAUGAAUGUCCAAACACAUAUCCGAAGCCAUACUCUCAGCCAUUAUUUUCUUAAAGACAAUCACACAUCAGCUCUGCAUUCCCUUAGGAACGACUUUGGAGCUUCUUCGCCUUUUACUUUCGGCGGAAUCAGCGUUGACUUUUCGCUGUAAGCUCUGCAUUCCCUUAGGAACGACUUUGGAGCUUCUUCGCCUUUUACUUUUGGCGGAAUCAGCGUUGACUUUUCGCUGUAAGCUCUGCAUUCCCUUAGGAACGACUUUGGAGCUUCUUUGCUUUUUACUUUUCGGCACUCGAUGGUGCGUUCUCAGCUUUUACAUUUACAUUUCUUGGGGGAUUUUGCUCUUAUAGAACUAAAAAAGAAAAUUACAUGUGAUGGCCCCAUUAAAAACCUUUCUCCCCCUUUAGAAAGGAAAAGGGUGCCAUGAAAAAGAAAAAACAUAAAAAAUUACAUCAAGUUACACAUAAUAUCGCCGAAGCUCAUCCGCAUUCCAAGAUCUAGGAAUGUCGUUGCCGUCCAUAUCCUUCAAUCUGUAUGAACCGGGUCUUGAUGAAGAUGCUACUAAGAAAGGUCCCUCCCAUUUCAACUGCAACUUGCCCACUGUGUCUGUGUUGGCCACUCUCCGAAGCACCAAAUGUCCUGGCUCAAUAUUCUUUAGCCGAACCUUUCUAUCUCACCAUUUGAUUGUUUCGGCUUGAUAUUUAUUGAUAUUCUCCACAGCUUGAAGCCUGAUCCCUUCUAAAGCAUCUUUUUCCACAGAAUAAGCAUCUUCAGAACCUGGUUCUGCCGAAGCUACUACUCUUAUUGAUCCAGUUUUAGCUUCCUCCGGAGUUUUUGCUUCGUCACCGAAUAAUAACUUGAAUGGAGUAAAGCCUGUAGACCUUGAUGUUGUUGUGUUGUGGCUCCACACCACUUUGGUUAACUGAUCUGGCCAUUUUCCCCUGGGUUGAUUGAAGAUUAACUUCAUUAUUCCUGUCAUUAUAAUGCCAUUGGCUCUUUCAACGAGCCCAUUUGACUCCGGAUGCCUGACUGAUGCAAAGUGGAUCUUCGUACCAAUUUGAUCAUAGAAAUCUUUGAAAGCUUCGGAGUCGAACUGUGUUCCAUUAUCCACAGUGAUGACCUUUGGUACCCCGAAACGACAAACAAUAUUCUGCCAGAAAAACUUUUGAAUGGUGGCCGAAGUUAUUGUAGCAUUUGGAAAAAUAUUCCACAGCCACUACAACAUAUCUUAAGUUCCCUUGGGCCGGUGGUAAUGGACCCAACAAGUCAAGGCCCCACCUUUGCAAUGGCCAGAUGGGUUGUAUGAGCUGUGUUAAGGACGAAGGUUGUUUUUGAUCUCUUGCACAUUUUUGACAACCUUCGCACUUUUGAACUAAUUCCGCUGCAUCCGAAGCUGCCUUCGACCAAUAAAACCCUUGGCGGAAAACUUUUCCAAGUAACGGCCUAGAUCCAAUGUGAGAUCCACACAGGCCUGCAUGUAUUUCUUUCAUCAACUCUAUGCCUUCGGUUCUAGAUAAACACUUGAGCAACGGAGCACAAACUCCAUGCUUGUACAACUCCCCUUCUAUCAUGACAUAUGGACGAGCUCUUGCCUCUAUCCUCCUGUUAUAAGUUUCGUCAUCUAAAAGGAAUUUACCCUGAAGGUAAGAGAUAAUCUCAGUUCUCCAAUCUUCGCUAUAAACAGGAGAUAUAUUGAGGACUACUCUUUCAAGAAGUUCCACCGAAGGUGCUUUUAUUGUUUCGAAGAACACAUCCGAAGGUAAGGGCAGCCCCUGUGCUGCUGACUUAGCUAGCAAAUCAGCAUGCUCAUUUUGUCCUCGAGGGAUAUUUUUGACAGAAAAUCCUUCGAAGGAAGCUUCGACUCUUCGAACCAUGUCCAGAUAUUUUUCAAGCUUCGGAUCUUUAGCCUUGCAACUCUUGUCGAUAUGACCCGAAACAACCUGGGAAUCAGUUUUAAGAAUGGCCCUUCUGAUUCCCAUUGCUUUUAGCUUCCGAAGACCCAAAAGCAGGGCUUCGUACUCAGUAAUAUUGUUUGUACAACUGAAAUCGAGUCUUGCCGCAUAACAAGUUUUAACUUUGGAUGGCGAGACCAACACAGCAGCUGCUCCUGCCCCGAAGGUUCCCCAAGACCCAUCGCAAAACACUGUCCAUACUUCGGCAUCUUUAUUUGUUUCUUCAUCCUGAGCCCCUGGCGUCCAGUCAGCAAUGAAGUCUGCUAACGCCUGAGACUGGAUCGAAGAUCUAUGCACAUAAUCAAUGUAAAAUUCAUUGAGCUCUGCAGCCCAUUUUCCAAUCCGCCCAGUAGCUUCUCUAUUUCUCAUAAUAUCCUUCAACGGCUGCGAAGAAGGAACAACAAUAUUGUAUGCUUGAAAGUAAUGCCGAAGCUUCCUGGAUGCCAUCAAAACAGUAUAUAACACCUUCUCUAAUUCUGUAUAGUUUUUCUUUGAUAUACUAAGAACUUCAGAUACAAAAUACACUGGGACCUGCUUCUUGACUUGGCCAUCAAGCUUCUCCUGGACAAGUGCUGCACUUACCGCUGAGUGCGAAGCUGCCACAUAUAAUAACAAAGGAGCCCCUGGCGUUGGUGGGGUUAAUGUUGUUAAAUCUAUCAGAUAUUGCUUCAGUUCCUCGAAGGCUUUUUGUUGGCUUGGUCCCCAUUGAAAGACUUCGGCUGACUUCAGCACUUCGAAGAAUGGUAAAUUUCUUUCUGCUGAUCUGGAUAUAAAUCUAUUAAGAGAUGCCAACCUCCCUGUUAAUCUUUGGGCCCCCUUUUUUGUAGUUGGUGGCUCCAUUCGAAGUAUAGCUUCAAUUUUACUUGGAUUAGCUUCAAUUCCCUUUGUUGAAACCAAGCAUCCAAGAAAUUUCCCCUUCUUUACUCCGAAGACACAUUUUUCUGGAUUCAACUUUAAGCCAGCUUGUCUGAAACUGGCGAAGGUCUCCUGCAAAUCAGCAAUAUGAUUUUCCUGUUUCGUGCUUUUUACAAUGAUGUCAUCAACAUAAGUUAGCACAUUUCUGCCUAUCUGAGACUGGAGAACCUUCGCAGUCAUUCUGCUGAAACUUCCUCCAGCGUUUUUGAGCCCCUCAGGCAUCCGAAGAUAACAAUAUGUGCCACUUGGGGUUAUGAAGCUAGUCUUCGGCUCAUCUUCCUUCUUCAUCCAGAUUUGGUGGUAGCCUGAGUAACAAUCUAGCAGACUCAUGAGCUCUGAAGAAGCUGCUGCAUCAACUAAAGAGUCUAUCCUUGGCAAUGGGAAUUCGUCCUUCGGACAAGCCUUGUUGAGAUCUGUAAAAUCGAUACACAUUCGCCACUUGCCAUUGGCCUUUUUUACCAUAACAGUGUUAGCUAGCCAUUCUGGGUACUUUACUUCUCUGAUAACUCCUGCACUGAGGAGUCUUUUGACUUCAUUACGAGCACCUUCGGCCUUAUCAUCAGACAUUUUCCGAAGCCUCUGCUUUCUGGGUCUGAAGGAUGGGUCAACAUUGAGCGAGUGUUCAAUAACAUCCCUAUUAACUCCACAGAGAUCAUUGGCUGACCAUGCAAAAACAUCUUUGUUGUUGAACAAAAACCUUAUCAAGGUUUUCUCCUGCUCUUCGGAUAAUUGAGAGCCCAACAGCACCUUCUGCUCUGCUAUGUCCUCACAUAAGAGCAUGGGCUUCGGCUGAUCUGCUGAAGCUGCUUUCUCCCUUCUGAAUUUGUACUGUUCACAAGCUUCAGCUCCAUCUAUGUUAUGGAUUGCUUUUGAGUCAGUCCAGUUUCCUUCGGCCCUUCUGGCAGCUUCCUGACUUCCAUGAAUAGCGAUGGGUCCUUGAUCCGAAGGUAUCUUCAUGCAAAGAUAAGCAGGAUGAAGAAUUGCUUCGAAAGCAUUGAGGGUGCCACGACCAAUAAUUGCAUUGUAAGGGUAUUCCAUGUCAACAAUGUCAAACACAACUUGCUCGGUUCUAGUGUUGUUGAUGAACCCGAAGGUCACUGACAUGGUGAUCUUGCCCAGUGCUACAAUCUGUCUUCCUCCGAAGCCACAGAGAGGGUGUGUAGCAUCAUGAAUCUUAUCUUCUGGCUCUUGCAUUUGCCUGAAGGCCUUAGCAAAUAUGAUAUCAGCUGCACUGCCUGUAUCAACCAAGACAUUGUGGACCAGAAAUCCUUCGAUAACACAAGAGAUAACCAUGGCAUCGUUGUGUGGGUAAUCCUUGAGUUGAAGGUCCUCUUGGGAGAAGGUAAUAGGAAUGUGAGACCAUCUUGACUUGAUGAAGGGUCCUUGCACCCCAACAUGCUGUACCCUUCUCUGUGCUUCCUUCUUCUGCUUCUUGUUGGCUGGCUCUGAACAUGAACCGCCUGUUAUCGGGAGUAGCAGCUUCGGAGCCGAAGCAGCUCCAGCUUGAUCGUUGAACGAAGCCAUCAGCUCAAAAAAGUGGAAGUGAGUUCACCGGAGGUGGGCGCCAAUGUUGGGGACUUGUUCUCAAAUGCUAUGAAUUAAGAACAAGGCAACAUAAAAUGUUAAAUGUUAACGUCCUUUGUCCAUGAAACAUUAUUCCCUUGAGGAUAAUGAACCUUGGACGAAGAUUAAUGAGAAUAUAAUUAUGAAGGUUAAAUCUUCGUAAUUAUAUUUUAGUAGAUUGUAUAAGAUAACAUAAAAUAAAGGGUAUAAAAAGGUAAAUGAAUCAUAAACGAAUUAUAUUAUAUUUAUUCAAUAUAUUGAGUUAUUGAAUACAGUUAUACCUCUGCCUUGGCAAAGAUUGGUUCCCGAAAGACGCGAUUGCAAUUACCAGAAUCCGUGAACAGUAAAGGAAUACUGUUCACUAUUUAUAGACACAGGACACAGCCUGUGAAGAAUUACAAUUAUGCCCCUCAUAAAAGUUUACAACAUUGACUCAGACCCUUAUGGACUAAAAGGUCAUUCUAUCUUUAAGUCGGUUUGCAAUACCGAAGCUUCAUGAAGAGGAACCUUCGGCCAUCCCAUACAAACAGCUUCAGCCGAAAGCCGCUUCUUCCUACAAGACCUUCGGCGACGAAGCAUAGUCCCAACACCAGACUUGAGCUCAAGAGACUAGCACACUAGAACGGAGCUCAAAUCACUAGAAUGUCGAACAAGUGCGCAAGAUUGAUGUGUGAGUGAUCAAGAGUGCUCAAGGAAUGCUUGGUAUUCUCCUCCAUGCGCCUAGGGGUCCCUUUUAUAGCCCCAAGGCAGCUAGGAGCCGUUAAGAGCAAUUCUGGAAGGCCAUUCUUGCCUUCUGUCGUCUGGCGCACCGGACAGUCCGGUGCACACCGGACACUGUCCGGUGCCCGAUUUCUUUCCUUCUACGGCGAAGUCGACCGUUGGCAGCCAGAGAGCCGUUGGCGCACCGGACAUGUCCGGUGCACACCAGACAGUCCGGUGCACACCGGACAGUCCGGUGCCCCCUUCCGACCGUUGGCUCGGCCACGUGUCCCGCGCAGAUCGCGCGACCGACCGUUGGCCCGGCCAACCGUUGGCUCACCGGACAGUCCGGUGCACACCGGACAGUCCGGUGCACACCGGACAGUCCGGUGAAUUAUAGCCGUAUGUCGCCGGUGAAAUCCCGAGAGCGGCCAGUUCGCCCGAGCCAGUCUGGCGCACCGGACACUGUCCGGUGCACCACCGGACAGUCCGGUGCUUCCAGACUGAGCAGACUUCGGCUGAACAAGGCCAUCUCAUUUCCAAUUCGAUUUUUCCUGUUUCCAGCACUUAGACACAAUACAUUAGUCCAUAAAACAAUGUACUAAGUCUAGAAACAUACCUUUGUUCUUGAUUUGUACUUUGUCCACCAUUUUACACUUAGGCACUUGUGUUGGCCACUAAAUCACCAAAAUACUUAGAAAUGGCCCCAAGGGCACAUUUCCCUUUCACUGCUUCCUACCCAUAGACAAGCUCAAAAGGCGAUAUUUUAGUAGCACUAUAUUUAGAUAUUCUGUGAGCCCAUAAAGCUUCGGACAAAAUCUUAUGCCAAUGCUUAGGAUUAUCGGAUAUCUUCUUUUUUAUCAAGUUAAUCAAUGUCCUAUUACUAGACUCGGCCUGCCCAUUGGGCUAAGCAUAAUAUGGGGAUGAAUUAAGCAACUUAAUUCUAUAUAAUUCAGCAAAUUCACGUACCUCCUUUGACAUAAAAGAAGUUCCUUAAUCUGUAAUCAAGGUCUGGGGAAUGCCGAAUCUAUGAAUAAUAUGCUUAGUUAUGAACUCAAUUACCUCCUUGUGCGUCAUGUUCUUCAGAGCAACGACUUCAGUCCAUUUGGUAAAGUAGUCAGUGGAAACUAACAGAAACUGAUGCCCCUUUGAUGAUGAAGGAUGAAUUUCUCCUAUAAAGUCUAAUCCCCAUCCUCUGAAAGGCCAAGGCUUGAUGAUAUGAUGUAAUUCGGCUGCAGGGACCAACUGUAGGUCGCCGAAUUUUUGACACACUUGGCAUCCUUUGUAGUACUUGAAACAAUCAGCUAUCAUGUUAGGCCAAUAAAAACCAGACCUUCGCAACAACCACUUCAUCUUUGGAGCCGAUUGAUGGGUACCACAAAUUCCUUCAUGUACUUCGGCCAUGGCUAAUAUAGCAUCAUCUGGGCCCAAGCACUUAAGCAGGACGUCGUUGACUGUUCGGCGGUAGAGUUCAUCACUCAUCAAAACAUACUUGAAAGUUGUACGCCGAAUGUUCUUACGUGUCCUGAUAUUGGGAUUUCGUAAAUAAUUAGUUAUGGGCAUCCUCCAAUCACUUGUAUCGGCUUCAUUAUCAGCUGAAUCAAUUAGGAGAACUUUCCUGGUAACCCCGGACGGUACGAAAUCUUUACUCAGACGGUCCGCGACCUGGGGAAUUGUGCCGGUUAUCAGAUUUUCAGUGUUGUGAAAUCUCCCUCGCUUUAUCCGAUAACCUGAUGCAUCUUGUGCCAAAUUGUUAGCUCUAUGAUUCUCAACUCUAGAGAUAUGCCGAAUACUGAAUUCGUCGAAAGAAUGAAUUAUGCCCCAACAUUUUUCAAGGUAACUAUUUAGAGUACCAUCAAAACAUUGAUAUUCUUCUAACACCUGUUGGACGACCAGCUGAGAAUCACUAAAUGCCUUCACAUGUGUUUACUCCCAUGCAAUUUAAAAGUUCCAAGCCGAACAAAAGGGCCCCAUAUUCGGCUUGAUUGUUAGUGCAAUAAGUUUUCAAUCGGCUAGAGAAGUCGAAGGAGACAUCACUUGGUGAAACAAGUAUGAUGUCAAUUCCUUGCCCUUCAUUGCAAACCGAUCCAUCAAAAUAUAAAGUCCAAGGAGUAAUAGUGAGGUAUGACAUGUCUAGUUUAUGAAUAUCAUUAAUCCGAUGUUCUACAAUAAAAUCCGCUACGACCUGGCCUCUCAUAGAUUUCAAUGGUUCAUAGGCCAAGUCAUAUUCUAUGAGUGCAUAAGCCCACUUACCAAUUCUACCACUCAUAAUUGGGUUAUGCAACAUGUAUUUGAUCACAUCGGCCUGACCAGAAACAGUGCAAUGACUAGACAGUAAAUAACAUCUACACUGGGUGCAUGCAUAAAACAAGUAUAAGCAUAACUUCUCAAUAAAAGUGUACCUCAUUUUAGCAUCCACCAACCUCCGACUUAGAUAUGUCACCACAUGCUCCUUUCCUUUAGUUUCUUGUGUCAGAACAGCCCCAAUGACCUUAUCUUCAGCUGCAAUGUAUAAUCGGAAUGGUACUCCUGCUCGUGGUGCUUUUAAUACGGGAGCCGAAGACAAGUAUUUUUUAAUGAGAUCAAAUGCUUCCUGCUGCUCUGCCCCCAAGCAAAUUCGGCAUCAUUCUUAAGCCGAAGGAUAGGGGUGAAGGCAUCAAUCUUCCCGGCUAGGUUAGAAAUAAACCUUCGUAAAUAAUUCGCCUUGCCGAGAAACUUCUGCACUUCGACUUUACAGGUCGGAGGUCCCACAUUCCGAAUAGACUUGAUUCGGUCAGGGUCUAUCUCUAUACCAUGUUCAUGGAUGACAAAUCCUAAAAACUUACCAGCCGACACUCCAAAAGCACAUUUACGUGGGUUCAUUUUCAAACCAUACCGACGCACUUUAUCAAAGGCUUUGCGCAAAUCAGCUACAUGAGAACUAAACUCAGUCGAUUUGACUACAAUAUCAUCAAUGUAGACUUCCACAGUGUUUCCCAACAACUCAUGGAAGAUCAAAUUCAUAGCCCUCUGAUAAGUAGCACCAGCAUUUUUCAGACCAAAUGUCAUGACAACCCACUCAAAUAAGCCAAUGAAGCCUGGACAUAUAAAGGCCGUUUUAGACGCAUCUUCUUUGGCCAUGAAAAUAUGAUUAUAUCCGGCAUUACCAUCAAGCAAGCUAAUAAUUAUAUUCCCUGAUGCAUUAUUGAUUAAUGUGUCGGCUAUGGGCAUGGGAUACUCAUCUUUAGGAGUUGCUCUAUUUAAAUUGCGAAAAUCAAUGCAUACUCUAAGCUUACCUCACUCCUUCUCCACUAGCACAAUAUUGGAGACCCACUCUGCGUAUAUGCAAUGUCUAAUAAAAUUAGCUUCUAGCAGCCGGUGGAUUUCGUCCUUGAUUCGUGGGAGAAGGUCUGGACGAAAUGUUCUAUCUUUCUGCUUGAAAGGUCUGAAACCGGACUUAAUGGGCAGCCGAUGCUCUAUGAUCUCUCGGCUUAAUCCUGGCAUCUCAGUGUAAUUCCAAGCAAAGCAAUCCGAAUAUUCCUUCAGUAGACCGAUCAUUUCAUUUCUAGGAUCGGUCUCCAGGGUCUUAUUUACAAAAGUCGGCCUUGGAGUUUUACCAUCUCCUAUGUCGAUCUCCUCUAAAGGAUCGACCGAUGUAAACCCCUAUCCUAGUUUAUCGAGAUCUCUGAAUUCCUCUAUCAUGUCCCCCACAGAGGAAUCAGACGAUCUUUGUGUGAUGGCGGACUCUCCAGUCUCGGGGGUCGGAUCAUCCGUGAUACUGUUUUUAUGCUGUGGUAGAUGUUCGGUCUUAAAGACUGAACUGUUUUGUGAAAGACCGGACCAUCUGGCCUUAGAAGCCGAACUGUCCGUGACCAAGGACUCAUGAAUUUUGUAUGCACUCAUCAUUUAAACUUUAUUUAGGAUUUAGUCGAUUCUCCAUCAGCUCUAGCAUUACAGGGAUGAAACCCUUCUUAUCUAUACUUAUGAACUGGUAAUCAGAAAAAUCUACUCCUGUGAGACAUGUAGCAGUCUCAUAAGUCCAGAGUACAGGGGCAUCAGCCACAACGAUACAGGUCGAUACAUCAGCAUGUACUUGUUCUAUAUCAUCGCCUACCCAUUGUAUCAACAUUUGAUGUAAUGUAGAAGGUAUACAUUGGUUGGCAUGAAUCCAAUCUCUACCUAGGAUUAGACUGUAAUUUCCUUCUACAUCAGCGACGAAGAAUGCAGCGGCAAGGGUCUUAGUGUCGAUGGUUAAUUCAACGGACAUGACUCCCCUGGCUUUGAUCGAACUAUCAGUUCCAACACCGCUGAGGGUCAUGUUGGUCUUGACAAGUUCGUCAUCUUGUUUAGCUAAUUUUCUGUAUAAUGAAUAAGGCAUUAGAUUUACAGCCGCCCCUCCAUCUACUAACAUUUUAGCAAUCGGUAUCCCAUCAAUGUGACCGCGCACGAAGAGCGGCUUUAAAUGAUUUACCGAUUCCUUUGGUUUAGUAAAGGCGGCUUCUUCAGGACCGAAAUCAAACUGGGCAACAACAGGUUCAUCGUCGCCGAUAAUAGUACAAUCGACAGAAAAUGUAAUAACAUUUACAUCCAUACCUGGGCGUUCUGGAGAAGCUUCGUAGUCGACCAGGUCUUCUCUCAGUAGGUCGUCCUCCUCCAUUGAUGUCGGUACGUCAUCGGAGGUGUCCUGGUGUGGUGCGGACGGUCCGGACUCAGGGGUCAGACGGUCCGCGCCUUCUGUAGCUGGUCCAGCCUUUUUAGCUGGGCUGUCUACCAUACAUGCAGGGUGCUACACCAGUGCUGUUUUUUUUUCUAUUUUUGUGGCCGAUUGCUUUUCCUCAACGGCCUUUGGUCUCCAUUUCUUUUGUGGUGGCGGGUACUAUGGAUGUGUGUCAUUGAAUAUCUUUUCGGUCUCCUUUUCCUAAUGCUCUUUUGCUCUUAGGCGCUGUAAUUUUCGCUUUUGCGACCGUGCAAUCCCGCUGGGCACCAUCGAGGCAUGGAGUAUUUUAGAUCGGCUAUUUUGAUGGCAGUCGUAUCUUUUGUUUUGCUUGUGUUGGCCGAUUCACCAAAAACCAUCGGCCAUUCACUUUCUUUUUGUAUGACGACAUCUGCUGUACCUAUUUUGAUGAUGUCCUUUUUUGUCGUUCUUUUAGUUGCUGCAGGCAUAUGCCCCCCUGCCGGAUUGGUCGGCCUUGGAGGCGAGUAGUCCGGCAAUCUUGUUGGGCCUGUGCCUGGUGACCGGAUUGAGCGGCGCUCAAUCGGUCUGGUACUAGUGGUGCCAACCUGUUGAAUACAGAUGUUUGGGGUGCCCCCAAGCGGGGUACUGUGGCAUCCCAAAUGAAUAUGGUGGCAUGCCCCACAUUUGAUUUGGAACAUAUGGUGGAGGUAUGUAUGUGUAUGGAUAUGGCAUAAGUGGAUAUGGGGUUGGAGGUGUCCAUGUAGGUAUGUUAGGUCUCAAUUGUAUAGUAUGACCUUUCAUUUCUUCCGAUUGGUGGGGUGGUCCAAUCGGCCUUACCUGACGUUGUUCAAGAAUGGGUGAGCGGGGUCGCUUUGCUGGCCGGUCACUAGGGCCGGCCUUCUUUUUCACAUAUUUGGACAACAAUUGAUCGAAAGUCGGGUCGGAUUUGACCAGCCGACCAGCUAUUUUAAAUGUAUUUGUUUUCCACGUACCUAUCUUUGGUCGUCGUGGUUUGAAUGUACGUGGUUGUUGCAGGUCCUAAGUGUAGCCGGACCGUCCGCCAGAAGUCUUCGGACCGUCCGGAGAAGCUUCGGACCGUCCGUGUCUGGAUGGCGGACCGUCUGUGAUGCGCAGCACGGGUUCCCACACCUGUCUCCCUGUCUGUGCUUGCCCCUCAGUGCCAGAGGCUGUGAUGGUCACCUUCAGGGUCUCCCCUCCAUCGGGAGUCUUUUCUGCCACUACUUUCCUGCAAGAAAUUUUAUUAUUUUCAUCGGCCUCCCGUGCGUUGCCGAUGAUGAUUUCUUUGCCUUUUCCCUUAUCGACUGUGCUGGGUCGAAUUAGGACCCUUUUGCCCUCGAAGUCGAUCAUGUUCAUCGGAAAGGGCUCUGUAUCCACCUGCAUUUCUUGAAAUUUCAAUCGUCCCUCGUUAAUGGACGAUUGAAUCUGUCGCCGAAACACAUUACAAUCAUUAGUGGCAUGAUAAAAUGAGUUAUGCCACUUGCAGUAUGCACGACGUUUUAGCUCGUCGGCGGAUGGAACAGUGUGAUUUAUUUUAAUGUUGCUAUUUUUGAGUAAUUCAUCAAAUAUUUUAUCACACUUACCAACAUUAAACGUAAACUUAACCUUCUCUUGCCGUUUCUUUUGAACCGGCUGCAAGUAGGAACAAUCAGAAGAUUUGGCCUGUUUUGGCCAAACCAUUUCAGCCACGUAUACCUCUGCUGAUUUGUCGUCCGAGCUACUUUGGUCGCACUCUACUAUAUGGACAUUGUGACGAAUGGUUUUGACAGUCUCUUUGCUUCGGCUUUCACAGGUCAAAGCUCUCUGGUGUAAUUGUGCUAGCGUGAAAAAUUGGAUGCCUUCUAAUCUUUCUUUUAAAUAAUAUUGCAGUCCAUUAAAGGCUAAUCCUGCUAGCUGUUUUUCUGCUAAGUGUAUUUGGAAGCAUCGGUUUCUUAUAUCCUGGAACCUCCGGAUGUAUUCGUUAACCGAUUCAUCCUUCCCCUAUCGCAGGGCCACUAGGUCUACCAAAUCUAACUCAUAGUCACCAGAGAAAAAAUGGUCAUGGAAUUUUUGUUCUAACCCCCCCCCCAUGACGAAAUAGAAUUAGGAGGUAAAGUGGCGUACCACGCGAACGCGGUUCCUGUUAAAGACAAUGAAAAUAAAUGCACGUGAAAUGCUUCUGUGUCGGCCAAUUCUCCUAAUUGUGCUAAGAACUGGCAUAUGUGUUCGCGCGUGUUUUUUCCUUGGUCACCUGAAAAUUUUGUGAAUUCGGGUAUCCUGGUUCCCUGGGGGUAUGGGUGGUGAUCAAAUCGGCUAUCAUAAGGUUUUCGAUAUGAUUGCCCCCAGGUACCAUGCUUACUCCGAGCUUAUCCUGGAACGCCCCGGCUAUUUCAUGCCUCGCUAUAUCGAUGGCAGCCGGUGCGAGACCACCGGCUCUCUGGUCAAACAUAGGUGGUGUUGGCUGGAUAUUAGCGUGUUGUCUUCCCCCCACUGGUUUGAGCUAUGUGGUGCAUUGCCAUUUGCCCUAUAUGGCUCAUAGGAUUGAUCGUUCCUUUCCGGCCUUCUAGGCGGGACCGAAAAGCUUUCCUGGGCUCUGGAUUUUGUAUUAAUGGGCUGAUGCAUUGUAUAGUGUGAUGGGAAGUGUUGUUGGGACGGGUGAGGAUUCAGGUAACAAUCCUCCUCAAAAGACUCAUGCUCGGACUGUCCGGACAUGUACCCGGACCGUCCGUGAUUAUAUGCGGACGUCUGUCGUUGUAUGCGGACGGUGCGACUGGAUAGUUUAGAUUCUGUGCCAUAUGUGGUGGCUCGGGUACAUGUCUAGGUAACUCAUUAAAAAUGGGCCCGGCUGUGGCUGGCUCGGACGGUCCGCGUUCACGUGCGGACGGUCCGGACAUGUGCAGAUCGGCUGAUUUACUGCCGAUUUGCGGUUGCUCAGGGUAUGUGUCCAUCGGCAUCCCGUAAAGGGGUUGUGACUGGUCGUGACAACCUAUAGCCGAUGUAUUACUCAUGUUACCCCCUAAUUCAACCUCGUGCGAAGGAAAAUUUGCUAUACUAGAUUUAUCAAAUGCACGUACUAGUCUCCUAUAAUCGUUUUGCAUACCUCCUAUGAUAUUUUGCAUUUGUUCUCGCUGUUCAUCUACAUAAUUCUUAAGAGAUUGUAGCUCGUUUGUAUUACUUACAUUGGGGAUAUCUGGUGUGGGUCGGAGCGAAGCCAGAUCUGUCGCCCGUUGUCGGACGACUUUAUUGUUCCUGUCAACCUUGAAGUUGGCCAGAAAUUUUGCUCUCACCUCUUGAAUCAGCUGCUCUUUAUGCUCCUCGAACUGGAGCUGUUCGUCAGCCGGCAAGGUUUCCCAAGUCGGCUCUAUAAUGUUGCUGGAGGAGACUUCAGAACUAUCCCUUCAACCGACCAUUGAGGGCCGAUUUGAUGGGUCUAGACGUGUUGUCCCCAGUGGAGUCGCCAAAAUGUAUGUUGACACCUUUUUAGGGCGCCAAUCACUCAACACGAACCAGCGGUGGUGCUCUCUGCAUAGGGGCGGACGGUCCGCGGCCAGGGGCCGGACGGUCCACGGCCUGGCGCGAGGCUAGGGUUCCUGCUUGACGACCGGACGGUCCGCGCGUGCGCAGGGGCGGCGGAAGAUCGCCGGCGGCGCCUGGAUCUCGCUCCCGGGAGGGACCCCGUCGGGGAGGAGAGAUCCUAGGUGAUGUCUAGGCUCGGGCAGACCGACCUAGACUCCUCUAAUCGACGUAGAGUCGAAGAGAAGCGGAGAAUUUGGGGUUUGAGAGGCUAAACUAGAACUAGACUAGAACUACUCCUAAUUGUACAAGAAAUAAAUGCGAAAUAGAAGUGUUGUUGAUUCGAUUGAUAAUUCCAAAUCGGCCGUAUACCUCUCUAUUUAUAGAGGAGGGGGGCUGGACCCUUUACAAACUAAUUUCCGAGCUAAUUCCGUGAAUCUAGCUAACAACCGUAGCACAAAACUCGGAACCCUAAACUGCCCUGCGCACGCAGGAACCGUCCAGCCCACAGGCGCGGACCGUCCGGACCGCGGACCGUUCGGCCUCAGGGCCGGACCGUCCGCCAGCUCAAUCUAGUGCUGAAUAAUAUGUUGACAUAACAAAUUCAUAUUUUUCUAUAGUUAGAUAAGAAAAGGAUACUAAUAUAUUACAACACAAAGACAAUUAAUAAAUUAUAGAUAAAUUAUAAGAGAACAGAUAUAAUGUGUCUGUGCCACACGGCUAGCACAUCGCCUGAUGCGACUCUAAUUUUCAGGCACCUGACGUUUAGGAAAAGUGGAAAAUAAAAGCCACAGCCACAGUUUUUUUAAUAAUGAAAAUAGCCACAGUUUGUAUCGUCACAAAUUACAUACCAGAGGUUUAUCGGAGGAAUAUGUGUUGGCAAUUGUUAUUAACAAAGAAAUAACAGUAUAAGUGAAAUGGUAUAAAUGGAACCAUCUGCCUCCCAAGUCCCAAAUAGAGAACCGAGGGGCAGCAUCAGCAUUGGAUUUGCUUCUGACUGGGUGCUGACUCUCAGAAGACGAGGGUGUCGCGUUGGGCCAAGGUGACCAUGAGCUCGCGGUACCUGUUUACGACAUGAAAUGUCUUUUUAGAUAAAAUAUAGGAAACCUUAUUCGUUGUGCUGAAGAAUGAAAUAGCGAAGCCUUUACCUUAUCAUUUCUUUCAAGUGGCAAGCCUAAAGAAGCAACUUCAAUACUAGUGAGUAGCGUAAGACUAUGUUCAUCGGUUCCAGUGGCGGGCCCAAGAUUUAGAGGGUGGGUAUUCAAAAUUUUUUAUAAGAUAGUUUUUUUGAAGAUUAAAACAUGUCUAUCUAUAUAUAUAAUUAAUUAUAUAUAUGUAUAACCUAUAAUUAAGCAUACACGCUAUGGUCAUAACUGAUUCAAUAACUAGUCUACUAAACUCAAAUUUCAUGAAAUUAUAUCAAAAGUUUUAAAUCGAAAUGCAUCUGUUUGUUGUUGCUCGGUUGCUGGCUGGCUACUUGUCCUCUUUGGCAUUUUCCAAUCGCUAAUGCCCCACUUACAUCCCAGUACUGCAAACAGCAAAUCAGGGGAGGUCAAGGUCGGGUGGCCACAUGAUAGGUGGGCUUGGACAUCGACACGAUGGGACCUUGCCCCCUAGCUGUCUGUCUUGGCACGCUGUGACGCGCCUGACUAUGGUGAAUUGAAGCCUCAGACGACGGACGACAGACGAUGCAACAACGAGGCCAGAUGCAACGCAAUGACAGUUAGCCGGUCAAGUCUAGGUAUCUAGCUAUGCUGCGGAGCCACAAUGGCGCAACGGAGGUGUUGGUGUCUCCAUGGCCCGUAAGACGUGACCACGACUUGGUAGCUGGCCCAUCUGAUGGCUCUGCCAUGGUGCGACUACAAUACGGUUUGGAGAUUUUUUUUUGCCGUGAGGUGCUGAGGUGGGCUUUGUCGCUCUGUUGGGCCUCAUGGUACACGACAAACUAUUAGGUUAGUUAGGUAUGAGAAAUAGGAAAGAGAUAUUUUGGUCCAAAUUAACAUAAUUCCUUUAUUUAUUUGAUUCAUUUUCUAUCUAUGCAUAUACACUAUAUACAUGUAUAUAUACUGAAGUUCUUUUGCCAAAAUAAUGGGUAUUCAUUUGAAUACCCUUGAAUUGAAUGAGGCCCGCCCCUGACCGGUUCCCCCUAAAUUUCUCCCCCUAUAUCCCAUCACAUGCCACAUCAGCAUUCUCUUCCCCCUAUAUCUCCACGCUCUACAGCGGUUCCCUCUAUAUCAAACCUCUAUAUCCCACCACACCAAUAUUAUAUACAUUCCUAUUCAAAUAUUCGGUCGGCUGUUGCACAAACAAAUACCUGUGAGCGUUGGUGGGCGGUGGCGAACAGAGAUAGCAGCUCCUCAAAUCUAGAGGGAAAGAGAGUAUUUGAGAGCACCUAGAGGGGGGUGAAUAGGUGAUCCUGUGAAACUUGAAAACUUAAUGCCACAAAACUUGGUUAGGCGUUAGCACAAUAAUGCCAAGUGGCUAGAGAGGAGUCUCAACAAAACACAAUAACCACAAGAUAUCAACACAGAGAUGGCACAGUGGUUUAUCCCGUGGUUCGGCCAAGACCAACGCUUGCCUACUCCACGUUGUGGCGUCCCAACGGACGAGGGUUGCAAUCAACCCCUCUCAAGCGGUCCAAAGACCCACUUGAAUACCACGGUGUUUUGCUUUGCUUUUCUUUAUCCCGCUUGCGAGGAAUCUCCACAACUUGGAGUCUCUCGCUCUUACACUUGAAGUUCACAAAGAAGCACGGAGUAAGGGAGGGAUGAGCAACUCACACAAGACACAAAGAUCACAGCAAGUACGCACACACAAGACCCAGACUUAAGCUCAAGAGACUAUCACAAGUUUCUCACUAGAACGGAGCUCAAAUCACUAAGAAUGUCGAACAAGUGCGCACGAACGAAGUGUGAGUGAUCAACUAUGCUCAAGGAAUGCUUGGAUUUCUUCUCCAUGCGCCAAGGGGUCCCUUUUAUAGCCCCAAGGCAGCUAGGAGCCGUUGAGAGCAUUGUAGGAAGGCAAAUCUUGCCUUCUGUCGACUGGCGUACCGGACAGUCCGGUGCACCACCGGACACCGUCCGGUGCGGAUUUCCUUCCUUAUUUGGCGAAGCCGACCAUUGGAGUUUGAGAGCCGUUGGCGCACCGGACACUGUCCGGUGCACACCGGACAGUCCGGUGCCCCCUCCCGACCGUUGGCUCGGCCACGUGUCUUGCGCGGAUCGCGCGGCCGACCGUUGGCCCGACCGACCGUUGGCUCACCGGACAGUCCGGUGAAUUAUAGCCGUACGCCGUUAAUCACUUCCUGAGAGCAGCAAGUUCGCCUGAGCCAGCCUGGCGCACCGGACACUGUCCGGUGCACCACCGGACACUGUCCGGUGCACCCAGACUGAGCACACUUUGGCUGAACAAAGUCAUCUUUUCUCCAACUUGUUUUCUCCUGUUUCCAGCACUUAGACACAAUACAUUAGUCCAUAAAACAAUGUACUAAGUCUAGAAACAUACCUUUACUUUUGAUUUGCACUUUGCCCAUCACUUUGGAUACUUUAACACUUGAGCACUUGUGUUGGCACUCAAUCACCAAAAUACUUAGAAAUGGCCCAAGGGCACAUUUCCCUUUCAAUCUCCCCCUUUUUGGUGAUUUAUGCCAACACAACAUAAAGCAACUAGAACAAGUGCAAUAUCAAUGCAAAUGAAAACUCAAAAUUGUUUUGAUUCAGAUUUGGCAUAUGUGGAUCACUCUUUGCCGCCACUUGGUUUGUUUUUGCAAAUCAAACUCAAUUUCCUAUCUUUAAGUCAAAUUCAUUUGUAGAGACAUAAAGAGAGGUGUUCCAAUAGAAAUUGAUCACAGUAUCAAAAACUCCCCCUAUUUCCCAUAAUCAACCAUUCUCCCCACAAGAGACCAACUUUUGACAAAAAGAGCCAAUAAGAGUAUUUUGACAAAAAGCUCUAUUCUAUUAUUUUCAAAAUUCUCAAGUGGUAGCUGAUCCAUUUAUUGCUUUGGCCUUAUUUUCUCCCCCUUUGGCAUCAAGCACCAAAACGGGAUCAAUUUUGGCCCUAGAACCCCAUUGCCUCACCAAAAUCUUCAAAUAAGAAUACAAAGGCAAUGAGAUGAACUUGGAAUAAGUUACCCUCUCAUCGGAGUGCAGUGGAAGUCUUUUAUGGUCCAAGUCCACCUUUUCCCUUUCAGACCUCUUUUGAGACUAAAUCAAGCAAACUCAAGCACAUGGUUAGUCUCAAAGGGUCAAGUUGUAGCACAACUCCCCCUAAAUAUGUGCAUCACUUGCAAAAGGACUUGUGAGGUCCGGGGAGUGUUUGUACAACUUGAGCACCACAAGUAAACAACAAAAUGCAUAAGGAACAUGAUCAAAGGCAUAAACACAUGUAUGCUAUAAAUCAAUCCAAGUUCCGCGAAUCUAAGACAUUUAGCUCACUACGCAGCCUGCAAAAGGUCUUCUCAUCUAAAGGCUUGGUAAAGAUAUCGGCUAGCUGGUUCUCGGUGCUAACAUGAAACACUUCGAUAUCUCCCUUUUGCUGGUGGUCUCUCAAAAAGUGAUGCCGGAUGUCUAUGUGCUUUGUGCGUCUGUGUUCAACAGGAUUAUCGGCUAUGCGGAUAACACUCUCAUUAUCACAUAGGAGUGGGACUUUGCUCAGAUUGUAGCCAAAGUCCCUGAGGGUUUGCCUCAUCCAAAGUAGUUGCACGCAACACUGUCCUGCGACAACAUACUCGGCCUCAGCGGUGGAUAGGGCAACGGAAGUUUGUUUCUUAGAACUCCAUGACACCAGGGACCUUCCUAAGAAUUGGCACGUCCCCGAUGUACUCUUCCUAUCGACCUUACAUCCAGCAUAGUCGGAGUCUGAAUAUCCAAUCAAGUCAAAGGUAGACCCCUUUGGAUACCAGAUCCCGAAGCAAGGCGUAGCGACUAAAUAUCUAAGAAUUCGCUUCACAGCCACUAAGUGACACUCCCUUGAAUCAGAUUGAAAUCUAGCACACAUGCAUACGCUAAGCAUAAUAUCCGGUCUACUAGCACAUAAAUAAAGACCCUAUCAUAGACCGGUAUGCCUUUUGAUCAACAGACUUACCUCCUUUGUUGAGGUCGGUGUGUCCGUCGGUUCCCAUUGGAGUCUUUGCGAGCUUGGCGUCCUUCAUCCCAAACCGCUUGAUCAAGUCUUGCGUGUACUUUGUUUGGGAGAUGAAGGUCCCAUCCUUGAGUUGCUUCACUUGGAACCCAAGGAAGUAGCUUAACUCGCCCAUCGUCGACAUCUCAAACUUUUGAGUCAUCACCCUGCUAAACUCUUCACAAGACUUUUGGUUAGUAGAACCAAAUAUUAUGUCAUCGACAUAUAUUUGGCAUACAAAAAGAUCACCAUCACAUGUCUUAGUAAAAAGAGUUGGAUCGGCUUUCCCAACCUUGAAAGCAUUAGCAAUUAAAAAGUCUCUAAGGCAUUCAUACCAUACUCUUGGGGCUUGCUUAAGUCCAUAGAGCGCCUUAGAGAGCUUACACACGUGGUCGGGGUACCGUUCAUCCUCGAAGCCAGGGGGUUGCUCCACGUACACCUCCUCCUUGAUUGGCCCGUUGAGAAAAGCGCUCUUCACAUCCAUUUGAAACAACCUGAAAGAAUGAUGAGCGACAUAUGCUAGCAAAAUACGAAUAGAUUCUAGCCUAGCCAUAGGAGCAAAAGUCUCCUCAAAGUCCAAACCUGCGACUUGGGCAUAACCUUUUGCCACAAGUCGAGCCUUGUUCCUUGUCACCACCCCGUGCUCGUCUUGUUUGUUGCGGAACACCCACUUGGUUCCCACAACAUUUUGCUUGGGACGAGGCACCAGUGUCCAAACUUCAUUUCUCUUGAAGUUGUUGAGCUCCUCUUGCAUGGCCAACACCCAAUCCGGAUGUAGCAAGGCCUCCUCUACCCUGAAAGGCUCAAUAGAAGAGAUAAAGGAGUAAUGCUCACAAAAAUUAACUAAUCGAGACCGAGUAGUUACUCCCUUGCUAAUGUCGCCCAAAAUCUGGUCGACGGGAUGAUCCCUUUGAAUCAUCGCUCAAACUUGGGUUGGAGGUGCCUGUUGUGCUUCUUCCUCCAUUACAUGGUCAUCUUGUGCUCCCCCUUGAUCACACGCCUCUUCUUGAUGAACCUGUUCAUCGUCUUGAGUUGGGGAAUGCACCAUUAUUGAGGAAGAAGGUUGAUCUUGCUCCAAUUGUUCUUGUGGUCGCACAUCUCCAAUCGCCAUGGUGCGUAUUGCGGCCGUUGGAACAUCUUCUUCAUCUAUAUCAUCAACAUCAACAACUUGCUCUCUUGGAGAGCCAUUAGUCUCAUCAAAUACAACGUCGCUAGAGACUUCAACCAAACCCGAUGAUUUGUUGAAGACUCUAUACGCCUUUGUAUUUGAGUCAUAACCUAAUAAAAAACCUUCUACAGCUUUGGGAGAAAACUUAGAAUUUCUACCUUUCUUCACUAGAAUGUAGCAUUUGCUCCCAAAUACACGAAAGUAAGACACAUUGGGUUUGUUACCGGUUAGAAGCUCAUACGAGGUCUUCUUGAGGAGGCGAUGAAGGUAGACCCGGUUGAUGGCGUGGCAAGCCGUGUUCACGGCUUCCGACCAAAAGCGCUCAGGGGUCUUGAACUCUCCAAGCAUCGUCCUCGCCAUAUCGAUGAGCGUCCUGUUCUUCCUCUCUCCCACACCAUUUUGCUGUGGUGUGUAGGGAGCAAAGAACUCGUGCUUGAUCCCUUCCUCGUCAAGGAAUUCCUCCACUUGAAGGUUCUUGAACUCGGACCCAUUGUCGCUCCUUAUCUUCUUCACCUUGAGCUCAAACUCAUUUUGAGCUCUCCUUAGGAAGGGCUUGAGGGUCCCUUGGGUUUCAGAUUUAUUCUGCAAAAAGAAUACCCAAGUGAAGCGGGAAAAAUCAUCAACUAUAACAAGACCAUACUUACUUCCUCCUAUGCUUAGAUAGGCGACGGGUCCGAAGAGGUCCAUAUGAAGCAUCUCUAAAGGUCUUGAUGUGGUCAUCACAUUUUUGGUGUGAUGAGAGCUUCCCACCUGUUUGCCUGCUUGACAAGCUGCACAAGGUCUAUCUUUUUCGAAAUGCACAUUAGUUAGACCUAUCACGUGUUCUCCCUUUAGAAGCUUGUGAAGGUUCUUCAUCCCCACAUGUGCUAAACGGUGGUGCCACAGCCAGACCAUGCAAGUCUUAGCAAUUAAGCAUGCAUCUAGACUGGCCUCCUCUUUUGCAAAAUCAACCAAAUAAAGUUUGUCGUCUAGUACACCCUUAAAAGCUAAUGAACCAUCACUUCUUCUAAAGACAGACACAUCUACAUUUAUGAAUAAACAGUUAUAUCCCAUAUUACAAAGUUGACUCACAGACAACAAGUUAUAUCAAAGUGACUCAACUAAGAACACAUUAGAAAUAGAGUGCUCGGAUGAAAUAGCAAUUUUUCCUAACCCUUUCACCUUGCCUUGGUUCCCAUCACCGAAUAUGAUUGAAUCUUGGGGAUCCUUGUUCUUGACGUAGGAAAAGAACAUUUUCUUUUCCCCCGUCAUGUGGUUUGUGCAUCCGCUGUCGAUAAUCCAGCUUGAGCCCCCGGAUGCAUAAACCUGCAAGGCAAAUUUAGGCUUGGGUCUUAGGUACCCAACUCAUGUUGGGUCCUACAAGGUUAGUCACAAUGGUCUUAGGGACCCAAAUGCAAGUUUUAUCUCCUUUGCAUCUUGCCCCUAAUUUCCUAGCUAUUACCUUCUUAUCCUUUCUACAAAUGGUAAAUGAAGCAUUGCAAGCAUGAUAUAUUGUUGAAAGUUCAUUAAUUUUCCUAGGAACAUUAACAACAUUUCUCCUAGGCUUAUGAUGAACAACAUUUCUCCUAGACAUAUCUCUACCAUGCAUAUAGGAAGAACUAGAAUCAAACAUGGCAUGAGAAUCAAAAGCAUUAUAACUUCUAUAGGCAUUCCUAGAAUGUCUCCUAUCAUGAUACAUGUAAGCAUGGUUCUUUUUAGCACUACUAGCCAUAGGGGCCUUCCCUUUAUCCUUGGCGGAGAUGGGAGCCUUAUGGCUUGUUAAGUCCUUGGCUUCCCUCUUGAAGCCAAGUCCAUCCUUAAUUGAGGGGUGUCUACCAAUCGUGUAGGCAUCCCUUGCAAAUUUUAGCUUGUCAAAUUCACUUUUGCUAGUCUUAAGUUGGGCAUUAAGACUAGCCAAUUCAUCAUUCAAUUUGGAAAUUGAAACUAGGUGUUCACUACCAGCAUCAAUGUCAAAAUCUUUACACCUAUUGCAAAUCAUAACAUGUUCUACACAAGAGUUAGAUUUACUUGCUACUUCUAGUUUAGCAUUUAAAUUAUCAUUAACACCUUUUAAAGUAGAAAUGGUUUCAUGACAAGUAGAUAGUUCACAAGAAAGCAUUUCAUUCCUUUUAACUUCUAGAGCAAGUGAAUUUUGUGCACUAACAAAUUUAUCAUGCUCUUCAUAUAAAAGGUCCUCUUGUUUCUCUAAAAGUCUAUCCUUUUCAUUCAAGGCAUCAAUCAAUUCAUUAAUCUUAUCUAUUUUAGUUCUAUCCAAUCCCUUGAACAAACUAGAGUAAUCUAUUUCUUCAUCACUAGACUCAUCAUCACUAGAAGAAUCAUAAGUGGCAUUGUUUCGAGUACAUACCUUUUUCUCCUUCGCCAUGAGGCAUGUGUGACGCUCGUUGGGAAAGAGGGAUAACUUGUUGAAGGCGGUGGCGGCGAGUCCUUCAUUGUCGGAGUCGGAUGACGAACAAUCCGAGUCCCACUCCUUCCCAAGGUGUGCCUCGCCCUUAGCCUUCUUGUAUGCCUUCUUCUUUUCCCUCUUGUUCCCUUUUUCCUGGUCACUAUCAUUAUCGGGACAGUUAGCAAUAAAAUGACCAAUCUUACCACAUUUGAAGCAUGAGCGCUUCCCCUUUGUCUUGGUCUUGCUUGGUUGUCCCUUGUGACCCUUUAGCGUCGUCUUGAAGCGCUUGAUGAUGAGUGCCAUCUCUUCAUCAUUGAGCCUUGACGCCUCAACUUGUGCCACCUUGCUAGGUAGCGCCUCCUUGCUUCUCGUUGCCUUGAGAGCAACGGGUUGAGGUUCAUUGAUUGGACCAUUCAACGCGUCGUCCACGUAUCUCGCCUCCUUGAUCAUCAUUCGCCCGCUUACGAACUUCCCAAGAACUUAUUUGGGCGACAUCUUGGUGUACCUAGGAUUUUCACGAAUAUUGUUCACCAGAUGUGGAUCAAGUACAGUAAAGGACCUUAGCAUUAGGCGAACGACAUCAUGAUCCGUACAUCGCGUGCUUCCGUAGCUCCUUAUCUUGUUGAUGAGGGUCUUGAGCCAGUUGUAUGUUUGGGUUGGCUCCUCUCCCCUUAUCAUUGCAAAUCUCCCAAGCUCGCCCUCCACCAACUCCAUCUUGGUAAGCAUGGUGACGUCGUUCCCCUCAUGUGAGAUCCUGAGGGUGUCCCAGAUCUGCUUGGCAUUGUCUAAGCCGCUCACCUUAUUGUACUCUUCCCUGCACAAGGAUGCUAAAAGGACAGUAGUAGCUUGUGCAUUUUUAUGGAUUUGUUCAUUUAUAAACAUUGGACUAUCCGAGCUGUCAAAUUUCAUUCCACUUUCAACAAUCUCCCAUAUGCUUGGAUGUAGAGAGAACAAGUGACUACGCAUUUUGUGACUCCAAAAUCCGUAGUCCUCCCCAUCAAAGUGUGGAGGUUUGCCAAGAGGAAUGGAAAGCAAAUGUGUAUUUGAGCUAUGCGGAAUACGCGAAUAAUCGAAAGAGAAGUUUGAGUUAACCGUCUUUCUCUUGUCGUAGUCGUUGUUAUCGUUGUCCUUUUGGGAAGAAGUGGACUCGUCGCUGUCGUCGUAGUAGACGAUCUCCUUGAUGCGCCUUGUCUUCUUCUUCUUCCCAUCUUUACGUUUGUGGCCCGAGCCCGAGUCGUUAGGCUUGUCAUCCUUCGGCUCGUUGACGAAGGACUCCUUCUCCUUAUCGUUGAUCACGAUUCCCUUCCCCUUAGGAUCCAUCUCUUCGGGCGAUUAGUCCCUUCGUGAAGAGAACGACUCUGAUACCAAUUGAGAGCACCUAGAGGGAGGGGGGGUUGAAUAGGUGAUCCUGUGAAACUUGAAAACUUAAUGCCACAAAACUUGGUUAGGCGUUAGCACAAUAAUGCCAAGUGGCUAGAGAGGAGUCUCAACAAAACACAAUAACCACAAGAGAUCAACACAGAGAUGGCGCAGUGGUUUAUCCCGUGGUUCGGCCAAGACCAAUGCUUGCCUACUCCACGUUGUGGCGUCCCAAUGGACGAGGGUUGCAAUCAACCCCUCUCAAGCGGUCCAAAGACCCACUUGAAUACCACGGUGUUUUGCUUUGCUUUUCUUUAUCCCGCUUGCGAGGAAUCUCCACAACUUGGAGUCUCUCGCUCUUACACUUGAAGUUCACAAAGAAGCACGGAGUAAGGGAGGAAUGAGCAACUCACACAAGACACAAAGAUCACAGCAAGUACGCACAUACAAGACCCAGACUUGAGCUCAAGAGACUAUCACAAGUUUCUCACUAGAACGGAGCUCAAAUCACUAAGAAUGACGAACAAGUGCGCAAGAACGAAGUGUGAGUGAUCAACUAUGCUCAAGGAAUGCUUGGAUUUCUUCUCCAUGAGCCAAGGGGUCCCUUUUAUAGCCCCAAGGCAGCUAGGAGCCGUUGAGAGCAUUGUAGGAAGGCAAAUCUUGCCUUCUGUCGACUGGCGCACCGGACAGUCCGGUGCGGAUUUCCUUCCUUAUUUGGCGAAGCCGACUGUUGGAGUUUGAGAGCCGUUGGCGCACCGGACACUGUCCGGUGCACACCGGACAGUCCGGUGCCCCCUCCCGACUGUUGGCUCGGCCACGUGUCUUGCGCGGAUCGCGCGGCCGACCGUUGGCCCGACCGACCGUUGGCUCACCGGACAGUCCGGUGCACACCGGACAGUGCGGUGAAUUAUAGCCGUACGCCGUUAAUCACUUCCCGAGAGCAGCAAGUUCGCCUGAGCCAGCCUGGCGCACCGGACACUGUCCGGUGCACCACCGGACAGUCCAGUGCACCCAGACUGAGCAAACUUUGGCUGAACAAAGUCAUCUUUUCUCCAACUUGUUUUCUCUUGUUUCCAACACUUAGACACAAUACAUUAGUCCAUAAAACAAUGUACUAAGUCUAGAAACAUACCUUUACUUUUGAUUUGCACUUUGCCCAUCACUUUGGAUACUUUAACACUUGAGCACUUGUGUUGGCACUCAAUCACCAAAAUAUUUAGAAAUGGCCCAAGGGCACAUUUCCCUUUCAGUAUUCCCGUCGCGUAGAGGGAGGUGGAGAGGGAACCGCUGAACACUAUAGGGGGCGUCCGACGGCUACAGGGAUAGGGGAGGGGGAGGUCAGCGAGAACCGUUGAAAGCAGUCUAAGCGCUUCCAGCGGAUGUGUGGAAUCUUUGGUCAGGUUAGGGCUUGUUCGUUUCCGGCUGAAUUCACGUGGAUUGGACAGGAUUCUGUCGGUUUAAAUCUAUAGCAAGUCAAAAUUUCUACUAAUUUUUUCUAAUCUCAUCCAAUCCAUGUGGUAUAAGAAUAACCGAACAAGACCUUACAGGGUCGGGCCUAGGCAUGUGCGAGCCGUGCGCUCGCACAGGGCCUCCAAAAACUGAGGGCCCCAAAACUUAGCAGAUGUAUAUAUUUUAGUUUUAUAAUCUUCUACACAUGUUAAUAUGUAGCACAUAUUUUUCUCCCUACCAUACAUCUACGCUGAAGUGAAACUACCAAACGCUGCACUAAAGAAUAAAUCUUCAUAGAAUCUUAACAUAUCUGUCCGCGUGAACAAAGUUCUCUAAAUUAAAGCUACUAAAUUUAUAUUUGUGUUCUACUAUGAUAAAAAAAAGACGUAUUAUCUAGCCACAAUAACACUCGAGAGUGAAGCUUUGGAGAAGAUCGAAUAUAAGCAUAUUGUACAAGAUUUUCUUUAAAACCCACAAAAAAACAAUGUUAUUCAAAUAAAAUAGAAAUGUUUCUUUAGAUAUUAUAUUGCAAUAUAUAUUAUUGUAACUUGCAGAUUGUUAUUACUGAUUUUUAAUAAAAAUAUAUAUUACACUGCUUUAGAUUUGGCACAGGGUCUCAAAUUUCUCCGGCCCGGCCCUGAGACCUUACUAUAUUAGGUUCUCAGCAUCUAUUCUUCAAGACAUCACAAUCUAUUAUCCUUAUGCACCGGAGAGAUGGCAAUACGCUGCAGACUUGAGAGAGAUUUCAGAUCUGUUGACAGGGAAGCCUUUGAUCGCCGUCCCCGCCUCGUUCUUGCUUGCUAGGGGCUAAAACCACACGUGGUUGUUCGGUUAAGCCAAUCCAAAAAAAGAUCAGAGAGGAUUAAAUCCUCUCUUAGUUAAAAUUAAAUAGAGAGAGAUUUAAUUCCCUUUAAUUCCCUUCUCGAUCGGUCUAACCGAAUAAAUCCUGAACUAGUUACAUUCAUCGACUAGCAGCAAGCAUGUAUCACACCAGGCAUGUCCCCUACAAAGGUCACCGUGAACGAGCUCCAGCAUGUCCCCUCCGUGAUACUAGGCUGCCUUGGUGAAAUGAGCUUCCUCCCGCCAAACAUGUAGCACACCAUCUGCUACCUUGCCAUCCGCGCGAGCACAUCGAAGUUCAGGUGCUCCAAGUGGGCAUGCUGCAACAACUGCUCCUCGUUGUGCCACUGCCACGCCACCAAGCACACUGGCAGUGGCUGCACAAUGUUCAGAUCAACCAUGUACAGGUGUAAGAUGAUGCAGACUCCCUGCUUUCGAUGGAGGCUCAACAGGAGGUUGUGGACAAGAACGCAGGAAAUAGAAGUGGGAAGGGGCUGGUGGCGUUCCGGACGCUGGAGAGUUCCUCCAGUGCGCCCCAGGCAACCUCCUAGGACUAGGAUAUUUUCUUCUUUUGAUAAUCCCUAGUACAAACUACCUCUGGUCUCUUAUGGACUGAGCCUAGGUUAAUAUAGAAACAAAUCAUAUCACUCUCAACUUGCUAGAAAACAGACUGACUAAAUAUAGAAACUUAUCUGCUGUCUCUUUUAUUCCUUAUUUGCUGACUGACUAAAUAUAGAAACUUAUCUGUUGUCUCUUUUAUUCCUUAUCUCAUGUUUCCUUUAUUCCUGGAGAUUCCUUCUCUGGUAUACCUUUCCUACAAAUGCAUCGGUAUCAUUUCCCCCUCCCCCAAAAACAGGUCGUCCGCGACCUGGAGACCAGGAAAACGGCGACGAAAGUCCUCCAGCUGAACCCAGGUUGCAUCAGCUGCUGAUUGUCCUAGCCAUUGCACGAGCAGUUUCCACAUACCUCGGUUCUUGCGUGCCUUAGUAACCUUCUCAGGCUGAGGCAGGACUGCCAUGUAAUAUUGGGGGUAGAGGAACUAUUGCAGCCGAGGGAGCCCUCGUAUAUUUCUUUAGUAAAGAGACACAAAACACAUUAUGGAUGCGGGCGUGAGAUGGCAGGGCAAGCCUGUAAGAUACUGUCCCAAUUUCCUCCAGAACCUGAUAGGGACCAUAGAAGCGAGGCCCAAGCUUAGAGUAGGCGGCUGGUGUGAUUCCUAAAGCUGUACACUGUUGCAGUCGAACCCACACCCAAUCCCCGACAGUGAACUGCACUUCCCUUCGAGACUUAUCCUGGAAUUGUUUCAUUGUGAGCUGAGCCUGUAUGAGGCGUUCCUUGAUCUGAGCUAAAAAUUCAUCCCGAUCUUGUAACUGAGUGUCAAUAGCAGCUACAGGGGGAAGUCCCGGUUGGUAAGAGAUAAUAGCUGGAGGGUCUCGUCCAUACACAACCCGAAAUGGUGAACAGCGAAGGGUUGUUUGAAAUGAAGUGUUAUAAGUUAUAACAGUACUCCGCCUAGGACAACCACUGUAACCAUGUGCGUGGUCGAUCCCCAGCUAAGCAUCGCAAGUACAUAAAGAUGAUCCGGUUAGUAACUUCAGAUUGGCCAUCGGACUGUGGGUGGAACGCUGAACUCAUCUGCAACUUGACCCCUGUCCUGGUGAACACCUCAGUCCAAAAUGUACUAGUGAAAAUUGGAUCAUGAUCACUGACGAUGGAGCAAGGAAUACCAUGGUGAUGAACAAUAUGAUCAAAGAAAGCCUUAGCUACCGAAGAUGUUGUAUAGGGAUGGCUGAGAGGCAUGAAAUGAGCAUACUUUGAGAAGCGGUCCACCACGGUAAGAAUAACUGAUUUGCCUCCAACCUUUGGAAACCCCUCCACGAAAUCCAUGGCUAUAUCGCUCCAAACCCCUGAAGGAACCGGAAGUGGCUGUAACAAACCUGCCGGAUGAAGGUGUUCGGACUUAUUACGUUGACAGACUGAACAACCCUUGACAAAAUCUCUUAUGCGGCUGACAGCAAGGGGACUAUGGAAGGAAGCCCUCCAAAGGUUGAGGGACUUUUCGAUGCCCUCGUGGCCUUCUUCAUGAACUGAAGCUAACAACAGGGGCCACAUGGAUGAGGCAUAUAGCACAAAAAAAAUUCCCUUGAACAGUAAGAGACCAUCAACCUCGGACCACCCUUCCUUCGCAGUUCCAGCCACCAACUGCUGCCUGAGCGCAACCGCCUGUAAAUCAGAUCCCAUCUCAGCCCGUAGAGUGUCAAACAGAGCAAAUGUGGGGGUGGAAAUACUGUGUAGGUUCAGCAGGACUUCAUCUCUGCGAGACAACGCAUCAGCAGCUCCAUUGAGUUUGCCCGGCUUGUACUCAAUUGUCAUGUCAUACCCAAAUGAUUUGCUGACCCAUGUAUGUUGAGGGAUGGUGGAUAACCGUUGGUCUAGGAUGAAUUUCAAGCUGUAGUGAUCAGUCUGAACUGUGAACGGUCGCCCCCAGAGAUAUGGACGCCAAUACCUGACAGCUUUAACCAAGCCAAUCAAUUUUCGUUCAUAUGCUGGCAGCUUUUGAUGAUGAGGGGCUACUGGCCUACUGCAGAAAGCUAUGUUGCCCUCACCUUGAUGUAAGAUAGCCCCAAACCCAACUCCAGAAGCAUCACAAUCAACAAUAAAGCGACGAGUGAAGUCUGGCAUCUGCAGAAAUGGUGUUGUGAUGAGGGCUUGUUUGAGCAAUGUAAAAGCCUCGGCUGCUUCCGGUGUCCAACGAAAAGACUCCCUUUUCAAUAAGGCGGUGAGAGGUGUUGCUAUUGUUCCAUAUCCAGCAAUAAACUUCCGAUAAUAUCCGGUUAGUCCCAAAAAACCUCUGAGAGCUCGCAAACUAUUAGGAAGUGGUCAGGUUUCCACUGCAAAAACUUUGUCGGGAUCCAUGGCGACCCCUGUUGCAGAUAUGAUAUGUCCGAGAUAGGCUACUGUAGCAGCCCCGAACAAGCAUUUGGAGCGUUUCAGGACAAGUUCAUGGUCACGGAGGGUCUGUAGAACCAACUUGACAUGCUGCAGAUGGGUUGUCCAGCUAUUACUGUAAAUGAGGAUAUCAUCAAAAAAUACCAGCACGAACUUUCUGAUAAAUGGUUUCAAUAUGUCAUUCAUCAAGCUCUGAAAUGUAGAUGGGGCGUUAGUGAGCCCAAAGGGCAUGACUAGGAACUCAAAAUGGCCACGAUGGGUGCGGAACGCUGUUUUUUUCCACAUCUGCUGGGUACAUGCGUACUUGAUGGUAGCCACUUCUUAAAUCUAACUUGGUAAAGAAUACAGCACCACGGAGUUCAUCCAAUAAUUCAUCGACCACUAGAAUUGGAAAUUUGUCCUUUACUGUUUUGUCAUUAAGGGCGCGAUAAUCCACACAAAACCUCCAGGAACCAUCAGACUUUUUCACAAGAAGCACUGGGGAUGAAAAAGCGGAGGUGCAUUCUCUAAUGAUACCUUGCUGUAACAUAGCGUCACACUGUUGCUCUAUUUCAUCCUUCAACAAUUGAGGGUACCGAUAUGGUCAUACUGCCACAGGUGGAGUACCGGGCAGUAAUCUGAUCUUGUGGUCAUGGCGGCGAGAUGGAGGGAGGUCGUGAGGUUCUCUGAAAAUAUCCUCAAAGGAAUGGAGCAAAGCCUCCAUGAGAUCACCUCCUGAUGCUAAAGCUGCACACUGUGGUGGCAGAGCACCAAUUCCAGUCCACUGAAUGUUACUGCCUCGAUAUAAGAAUGACAUGGAGAGGGCCUCAAAAUUCCAUAAAAUUGGUCCGAGAGUGUGAAGCCAAUGGACACCUAAUACAAUGUCAAAUCCAUCCAAUGGUAGGGUAUAGAAGGAUAUUGAGAAAUCAGCUUCUCCAAUAACCAGAGGCAGUUGAGUGCACACACCCGCAGUAGUUACCCGAUCUCCGUUGGCCACCUUCACCGUCAGACCUUGACGAGGUUCAACUUGAAGCUGCAGCUGGCUGACCACAGAAUCAUUGAUGAAGGAAUGUGUCGAACCAGUGUCCACGAGGGCCACUAACUGACAGCCAUACAAACAAACAGACAGUUUCAUGGUAGUGCCAAUAUCAAUACCGAUGAGAGCAUGGAGAGAGAUGCCAACAUCAUCCAAUGUUUCACCACCCUCAUCAUCUUCUGUUAAUUCCAGCAAGAAAACCCCUUUGUUUGCACAUCUGUGAUCGGCAGUAUACUUUUCAGUACAAUGGUAGCACUCACCACUAGCCCGCUUUGCUGCUAAUUCUUCACUGGAAAGACGCUUGAACCGAGGGCGUUGGUUGCCAACAACUGAUUUAAUAGGCGUACUCACGCCACGGGCUGCAGGGUGCGCCGUGGAGUGUGUGCUUACAGCCAGCGCCAUGCGACGCUCAUAUGCUCGAGCAAGGUUGAUUGCUGACUGCAAAUUAGUUGGCCCUUGGAGUUCGACGUCUGUCCUCAAUGGCUCACCCAAGCCAGCGGUGAAGAGGUUGGUCUGUUGACGCUGCGAAAGAUUGUCACAACGGCAAAGCAGCAAGGAAAAUUGACGUGUAUAAUCAUCCACUGUUCUAGUGCGAUAGAGAUCCUUGAGGUUAGCGAGGCCAUUCAUGCGCAGUGGGGGGCCCAACCUAAGAUUGAUCAAUUCGGAGAAACGGCCCCGGGUAAUGUCGUCGUAGUCGCGCUCGAUGGUGUAGUACCAUUCAGCGGCAACUUCGUCGAGGUGCAGGGACGCCAUCCAGACCCGUUCCUCGCGUAGUGUCCUCAUGCCGCGGAAGUAGAUAUCACAUUUUGUCAGCCACGCCAGGGGGUCCGAUUCGCCGUCAUAGGACGGAAAAUUGGGUCUGGGCCGAUGUGAGCUGUCCUCCCGACGGAAGGGGGCAUCCCCGCCGCCGUCGCCACCGCCCAACCCCUCCUUGAAGCGGCCGCCGUCGUUGGGGGGUUUUGGAACCCCUAAAGAUUCUUCCUCCGUGGGUGGAAUUUCCACGCGGGCAAGUCGACGAUCAUGAGAUUCGAGGCGUGUGUUGAUGGUGGUGAUUUGGGCUAGCAUUUGGGUUUGGUGAUCAAGGAUUUGGCGUAGGGAGUCAGCGAGUCCACACCCAUCAGGAUUCUGUCCAGUGCCGGACUCGAAAGUCAUGGCGCUGGCUGCCUCUGAUACCAAAUGAUGUAGAUUCCCUGCUUUCGAUGGAGGCUCAGCAGGAGGUUGUGGACAAGAACGCAGGAAAUAGGAGUGGGAAGGGGGAGGAGGAUUCCUGGUGGCGUUCCGGACGCUGGAGAGUUCCUCCGGUGCACCCCAGGCAACCUCCUAGGACUAGGAGAUUUUCUUCUUUUGAUAAUCCCUAGUACAAACUACCCCUGGUCUCUUAUAGACUGAGCCCAGGUUAAUAUAGAAACAAAUCAUAUCACUCUCAACUUGCUAGAAAACAGAAUGACUAAAUAUACAAAUUUAGUUGCUGUCUCUUUUAUUCCUUAUCUGAUGUUUCCUUUAUUCGUGCCGAUUCCUUCUCUUGUAUACCUUUCCUACAAAUGCAUCGGUAUCAUAAGAACCCUCACAGCACCCUGAAUUGGUACUAGAGCGAGGAGAUGAACACGUCCUCGAGCUCCAUCCAUGCUGCACAAAUGUUGCUCAUCGUCCGCCAACGACGAAUCUCCAGAAACACUUGGAGAGAUCCCAUCGUUGUGAUGGUUCCGUAAAGCCCAAGCUCCUUACGCUCUCACCCACACUCAAUCCAUGGCUAGAGGUAGAAGAAGAGUUGAGAACAUAGCACUACACAAGCACAAGUGCAGGAAAAUGAACUGCCUUCUCUAUUGCAUUGCCUAGAGUAUUUAUACAAUACUAGUAACAACUAUAAGGUACACUAGUACAUGGGUGAUCUUAGACCGAACUACUCCUGUAUGGCUUGCUGAUGCAUGCCACUACAGCGAAAGGGCCUCUAGCCUAGUGGUUAAGAACUUCCGAGUAGCACCUCCAAGUCCUGGGUUCGAUUCCCCUCGGGAGCGAAUUUCAGGCUUGGUUAAAAAAAUCCCCUCGCUGUACCCCAUCCGCUCUCGGGUUACGAUGUCCUGUGCGCCACCCUCCGGUUGAGCCGUUGCAGAGUGGACAGUUGACGCUGGCCUGUUAGUGAUGGGGGCCAGGGUUCGGGGAUUUUCUCGGCCGGGACCAUUGUUUCGGUCUCUUCUUAAUUUAAUACCGGGAGGGCGGUCUUUCCCUCCCCGGCCGAGUUUUUUGAUGCAUGCCACUACAUAUAGAUCGGCCUGUUGCCAUACUACUACAGCACCCUGAAUGAACAACAAGAUAAUAAAUGCCAACUCCAUGCUACAGCAAAAUAAUCAAGGGGCGCAUCAAAUUUUCUCGAAUAUAAAUUGCAGUCAGAAAACAAAGUUCAGAAAAGAAAUUAGAUUGCAGUUACUCCAAGAAUCGAGAGCUCGGACCUAGAUGCCCAUCCUGUCUACAAACUACAGCAGACAGCUAGACACCAGUCCUCUCGGGCUUUCGGCAUACUUGUGGUUGAGGAAAAAAGAAUUUCCUGGAGCUUGAAGCUACAGAAGUAAAUAAAAAUGCAGACCACACAACAGAGCACUUAAGAAAGGUAUACCUGCCAGCGACAAGAAUAGGAUGGAAGCACAAAUUUAAUUUAGAAACAUAUCUUGCCCAAUAUUCUUACUUUCUUCUAAGAAAGAUAGUAAAGGUAUGAGACAUUCCGGACUCCAUUUCGCCUCACAUAGGACCAAUUGUCACAUGAAAAAUAAAAGCCAUAGCCACAGUUAGUUACUUCAUUCUGUCGGAGAAAUACACAUUGGCAAUUGUUUAACAAUCAAGGAAUGAUAUAACAAGUGAAAUAGCGAAGCAAAUGCAAGCGAACCGCGGGGACGACAGCAUUAGCUGACGCAUUGGCUUCUGACUUGGUCCUGAACUCUGGAGCUUCAAGAGGAGAGAGCGUCGCGUUGGGGUGACAUCGAGGUGCCUGUUUAGAACAUAAAAUGUUUUAAAUAUUGGGAAACUCAUCAAUUGUGCAGGAAAAUGAAUAAGUAGAACCUGUACCUUCUCAUUCAUUUCAAGUGGCAAGUCUAAAGAAGCAAGUUUGGUAUUAGUAGAUGUGCUUCCAGCGAAGGUGCGAAAUCUUUGGCCAGCUUUCCCCAUCAGGUUCUUGGCAGUUCUUCUUCAAGACGGGACAAUACCGUAUAGUUAUGCGCUUGAGGGAGGAUGGCAGAUCAGGUAAAGAUGCUAUGUUGGGGCAACACCCUAUAGAAAGACUCUCCAGACUUGAGAGGGAUUUUAGAUUUCUUGGUAGGGACUCCGUUUUGCAAUACCAAAAUUCCAGGCACUUGACAGAUGAGAGAUUUGCAGGCUCUUCAAAUGAAACCGAUGGCUCUUUGCAAUAUGAAAGAUCAAGAUUCAGUGGGACUAUAAACCCUUUAGCCAUUAGCAUGUGGUUGAGCAAUACAGAGCUACUAACCGUGAGCGAUUCCUGGACACGAAACUGUGAGAUGCACUUGGCAGUGAGGUUUGCAACAUCUACUAAACUUAGGUGCUUAAGGUGCAGGGAAGACAAGCCUUCAACAAAGCAAAGAUCAGGGAGACCAUUUAGACAUAAUGAUUCAAGGGAGGUCAGGUGGCCAAUCGAUAAGGAUGGGGAGCUUCUGCAGACAUUAAUGUAAAGACGUUUCAGGUGUGGCAAGCCAUUAAUGAAUGAAUCAACUGCAAGAAUGCAGCCACAGAUUCUGAGAUCGCUAGCAAGGUUCAACGGCAUUAGUUCUGAUCCACGUGCUAGCUCUAAAGAAGGACAAUCCAAACAGUGAAGAUAGGAAAGAGAUGGAGCAGCAUGUAAGCCCCCCAGUGAUUUGAGACACAAACAACCUAUUACAACCAACCUGACAAGCUUUGUCAAAUGCUCAAACACCUUUUCUGAUGGAAGUGUAGUUAAUGCCAUAUUAUAUUUCAAUUUUAAAUUCCUCAAUGAAAUGAGGCCACCAAGGCAAAUAGCUAAAGCUUCAUCUGUAAUACUGCAUGAAGAAAGAGAAAGUUCACAGAGUCCUGACGGUAGAACUAAUGGCAUCUCCAUGGUCCUUCCAUAAAUGAAUCUUAUCCUCUGUUCAUGGCAAAAGAGCCAUGCCUUGAUGAUGUUUUCAUUCAUCCAUACUUUAUCUUCUCUUUCCUCCAGACCACUUUCAAUGAUUUGAAGAUGCUUUGAUAUAUCAUCAUCCAUCAUCAAUGUCAUCAACUGCUUCAGAGAUGAAUAGUCUUUCGACAGUAUACUCCUAACUUUUUUUCCUGAAUCCACCUCCCACAUCAAUGUAAGUUUAGAUGCCAGGUCGUCUGCCUUGAUUAUUAUAUUUUCCCUCAAGUCAUGCUGUCCUAGCUCAUUGAUAAACAUAAGCAGUGGGCACCAAUCAAUUGAUAAAUCUGUAAGGCCUGCUGGAAGAUUAGAUAGUUCCUUCAAAUUUGGAACAAAGUUUAUACGCAACCUAGAGCAAUUCCGAAGGAGCUCUGUAUCUGGUGGUAGGCCUUCUAGCAAACUGCAAUUACUAAGCUCAAAACUUUCCAAAUUCUCAAAAUAGGAUCGCUCUAGUAACCACCCAGGAUAUGUAUCAGAUCUGUAACCUUUGAUUCUGAGCUUACUCAGUUGGGGUGGCGGUCUCAGACCUUCUAGAAUAUCCAUUGCAUCCAUGCCAUUCUCGGAACUCCACUCAAAUGCCAACUCUUUAAGGCGACUUUUCAGAUAUAGCUUCGACUCUACGGCUUCAUCCUUUCCAAUGACAUUCUCAAGAUUUUUCACUUUUAAACUGCCACCAAGCUCAUUCAAGUCCUUCAACUGUCGCAACUCAUAGCCUUGCUUCUUCUGUACAUAAAAGACAUAAAUGUGUUGUAGCGACGUUAACUUACCUAUAUUCAGAAUUUGGCAAAUAGGCUUUUCAGUCGCGAAAUCAUUCACGUACGCUCCUAGAUGUCGUAGCUUUCUUAAAUUGCAUAGUUUGUCAGGCAAAUUCUCCACCAUGUGGUUUAACCAAAGUAAUUGUAAGUGGUAGAGAGUACAUAAUGAUGUAGGCAAUUCAGAAACUAACGUCCUGAUGAGGUUCAAAUACCGGAGGUGCUUCAGCUCACCAAUAGAUUCUGGCAACUUGCUGCUGUUGUAAAAUGAUAGAGACAAUACACGCAGUUUUCUUUGGUUCCGUAGCAUGCCAUCAAAAAUAUCACUUGGGCCAUCCAUUAGCGGAUCGAUGCAGAUAAAAGUGCGUAAAUGAUAUAGCUUGCAGAUAAUUUGCUUAUGCUUUUGCAUACUUUGAACAUGAACAGAUAGAUGUCGAACAGUGCAUGGUAUUUCUGUCACAUUAUCAUCUUCUAAUCUUUUUUAGAUAAUGGAAACCAGGUUCUGGCUUUGUCCUCUAUAAAAGGAGGGUACAACCUUACAAACAAACUAACAUCAAAAGAUCAACACUCCCAACAUAGAGUGCAAUCUUACACCACAAACAUUAAAAUAAACAUGACACCCAACAGACAUAAUAUAACCUCAAUAUGUAAUCCUGUUCGUAAAACUCCAACCAAAAUAAGAAAAAAAUUGCAUAGAUGCGACUUCGAUCCGUCGACACGUCUCCUUGAUUAUCUCCUGGUCUUCAACCCUCUGCAAAUAUCCCCAAAACCUAAGCCUAUGGGUCGCCCGAAAUAGAACCUGCAAAUAAGUAACCAUCGGUGUUUUGUUAAACACUAAGUCAUUCCGACUUAUCCAGAUAGCCCAACAUAAAGCUGCAACACCUGUAAUAAUCAAAUUUUUAACUUUGAGGUGCACCCCAUGCAACCAAGAUCCAAAAAUAUGUUUAAAUGAUCUCGGGGUACUUAAACCAAAACAACAAUAUAAAAGCCUCCAAAAGAAUCUAGCGUAAUGACAUUUAAAAACAAGUGUUGUAUAGAUUCAUUCGAAUCACAUAACACACAUUUUUUACUUCCCUGCCAUCUACUCUUAGCUAGAUUGUCUUUCGUGAGAGCUACCCCUCUAAUAAGAUACCACAUAAAGAUCUUAUUCAGAGGUAUUUUCAACUUCCAGAGCGGUUUGAAAUAGAAAAUCUUGGCAUUAUUAUUAAGAGCAUUGUACAUCGAACGGACCGUAAAAAGCCUCGAGGUUGACAAAUUCCAUUUGAACUCAUCUCUCCCAGUGGAUAGAUGAGUAUGAGCAAUACUCAAGACCAAUCUAUUCCAACAUAAAAGAUUACCACCCACUAGAGCUCUGCGGAAAGAGAUGUUUAGAGGAAUCCUAUUAAAAACAUUCGCUACCGUAUCACUUUUUUUACGAGCUAUAUUAUAUAAGGACGGAAAUUUUAUCAUUAGAGGUUGUUUACCCGUCCACGUGUCCUCCCAAAAUCUAAUCUGCUUCCCAUCUUUAAGAAUAAAGGAACCAAGACCAAAGAAUUGGUCUUUAACUUUCAGUAGCCCAGACCAAAAAUGAGAGUCACCAGGUUUUCUACCUACCUUUGACAAGGUACAAGAUUUGAGGUAUUUGUUCCUAAGUAAAUUCUGCCAUAGACCGUCCUCAUUAAUCAAUUUAAAUAACCAUUUACCAAGCAAACACUUAUUUUGAACCUCUAUGUUCUGAAUACCUAGACCCCCUUGGUCUUUUGGUUGACAAAGAAUAUCCCAACGUGCAAGUCUAUACUUUUUUUAUGAUGAUCUCCUUGCCAGAAGAACCUAGAGCGAUAGUAGUUUAUUUUUUCCAGUACACCCUUAGGCACUUCAAAAAAAGACAACAUAAACAUAACUAAGCUUGUGAGAACAGAAUAAAUCAAGACUAACCGGCCACCUACCGACAUAAGUUUUCCCUUCCAGCUGCUCAAUUUCUUUUCAAACUUUAUCUCUAUGGUUUUCCAAUCACUAUUACUUAACUUUCUAUAAUGCACUGGGAUCCCCAAGUAUCUGAAAGGAAAGCCGCCUUUUGGCAUCUAAAUAGAGAGAGAUAGAGUGUUUCUUCCUCCUCAGUCAAACCAAAACCAAAAAGCUCACUUUUAUGAUAAUUUAUCUUUAACCCUGAAACUUGUUCGAAAGUUAUCAAUAAGAGCUUUAAAUUUGCCGCUUUUGCUAAGUCAUGUUGCAAAAAAAGGACGGUGUCAUCCGCAUAUUGCAGAAUGGAUAAACCUCCAUCCACUAAAUGCGGGAUGAGUCCUUCGAAUUGACCCUCCUCUUUUGCUCUAUUUACCAAAAUAGCAAGCAUGUCUGCAACUAUAUUGAAUAAAAUAGGAGAAAGAGGGUCCCCCUGGCGUAAACCUUUAUAAGUCUGGAAACUUGCACCAAUAUGGUCAUUCAUUUUAAUGCCAACAUGACCACCUGUUGUGACUUAAUUAAUCCAGGAACACCACUUUUCGGAAAAACCUUUCAUACGUAAUGUUUGUUGUACAAAAGGCCAUUUGAUCUUAUCAUAAGCUUUCUCAAAGUAAAUCUUCAAAAUCACCCCACAAUCCUUUUUUCUACGCAGCUCGUGAAUAGUCUCAUGUAGAACCACUACCCCUUCCAUGAUAUUCCUGCCUGGUAUAAAAGUUGUCUGGGAAGGGCCUAUUACCUUACUUGCUACCCCCGAUACUCGAUUUGUAAGUACUUUGGUAAAGAUCUUAAAACUAACAUUUAGUAAACAAAUAGGUCUAUAAUGUUGAAUAGACAUAGCAUCUUUACUUUAAUGCACGAGAAUAAUGUGGCCAAAAUUAAGUCUAAAAAGAGGUAACUCCCCCUUAUGGAAAGCAUCAAACAAAGCCAACAAAUCAUUUUUUAUAACAUUCCAGAACACCUGAUAAAAUUCCGCCGGAAAGCCAUCUGGCCCCGGGGCCUUAUUGUGUUCCAUCUGGAAAAUUGCUUCUCUAAUGUCGUUUUCAGUAAACACUGUCGUUAGAUAUGAAUUCUCAUCCAGAGAUACUUGCGGGAUAUCAUUCAUUACAGACGAGUCAAAAGACGCCCAGAUGCUUCAGGUGGACCAAAAAGACCUUUAUAGUAGGAAGUGAUAUGCUCUUUCAAAAGUGCAUUACAUUCUAUAACCUGGUCCCCAUUUUUAAGAUGAUAAAUUCUCGACUUUCUAUGUUUACCACUUGCCACUAAGUGAAAAUAUUUUGUAUUAGCAUCACCUUGUAACAAACCCUUAGUAUUGGCUCUUUGAUACCAUUUAACCUCCUCUUCUCUUAGUAAUUCUGCAAGUCUAUUUUGCAAGAAUUGUUUUAAGUCAAGCUCUUGCGCUGACAAAACAGAUACUUCUGCUUUUUUAUCCAACACAUCCAAACUGUUCAAAAUUCCUUUCUUUUCUUUUUUGUACGCCCCACUUACAUUUUUUGCCCACCCUCUUAAGUGAUGCCUAAGCUUCCUAAUUUUAGCUUGCCAAUUCUCCAUAGGUGUCUGACCCCUAGACUCGUAUGACCGAAGUUCUCUAACCAUAUCGUAGAACUCGACCCUCAGAAGCCAAACAAGCUCGAACUUAAAAGAAUGUUGGGAGGAACUAGAGUUUGGUUCCCCAGAAUUCAGUAAUAGAGGAGUAUGGUCGGAAAUGUCACGGCUUAGGGCCCUCACAGAAGACAAAGGAUAUUUUUGAUCCCACUCUGUGGUUACCAGGAUUCUAUCCAACUUUUCAUACUUAGGUCUUUCGAGGUUAUUUGCCCAAGUGAAUUGGCGACCAGUCAUCUCUAGUUCCUUAAGACAUAGACCAUCAAUAACGACAUUAAAAAGAAAUGACCACCGAUGAUCAAAAUUGUCUUUAUUUUUUUCGCUAGAGAAUCUUAAGAUAUUAAAAUCACCACCAAUCACAAGAGGCAGUGUCUCAUGGUUGCCCAUGCGAACCAAUUCAGAUAAAAACAUCUCUUUUUUCUAAUUGAGCCGGGCCAUAGACCAAUGUCAAAGCCCACUUGAAGCAAUCAUUUUUAUUGCACAAAGUGAAUUUAACAAAAAAAUCUCCUUCUUCUAUAGCCCCAAUAUCAUAAAUGUCCAAAUCAACACCCAAUAACAAACCACCAGAGCGUCCCUCAGGUUGUUUAUAGUGCCACAAAAAAAAUUUACCUCCACAUAAAUUGCGAAGGGAAGGUUCGGUGAACGAUUUACGUACUGUCUCCGAAAUCGCAAUAAAAGAGAGGUUCAGUUCUUUAGACAAAUCUGAAAUGAACCUAAAUUUCUUGGGGUCUCUAAACCCAUUGCUGUUCCAAAAAUGUCACACCCGGCUUUAAGGAACAAAGCCAGGUGCAUCUCAUACAUGCGUCAAGAAGACAACAUAUAUAAUAACAGAGUGUAUAGAAAUAAAUGUCAUAAAACAUCAGAGUACUUAUUACAUAGCGGAAGACUUAUUACAAAAUAAAAUAAUAAAUAUAAAACGAACUAAGGAUCGUCGGCGCCAAUGUCAACUGAGAAACGCCACCUAGAUCAGAUCAUACUCCUCGCCUUGUGGCUCCUCCUGAACCACUUGUUCUUCUCCUGUGGGGGGUGUGAGACAGCAAGAGUGAGCUCACAUACGUUCAUCGCUCAACAAGUCGUGGGGAAUAAUGUGACAUGAACUCAUCAAAGGUGGGAGCUCAUGGAGUGUAAGGCUUAUCAAAGAGAAUGGUUAAAGCUGAGCAUUGCUUUUAAAUAGUUGGUCAAAAUUUUAUUAACAAUUACUAAGUGUAAGUAAAUACCAAACCAUAAUAAAAUAAUAGAGAACAAAAUUAAUAAUAAACCCAUGCAAAUGCAAAUGACAAAUUGAGUUUAGGUUCCAUAAUUUAAUCAUCAGAGAGUCCUGAGCUGCUCAUGACCGUGAGCUCGGCUAGUAUACCAGUUUUACACUCUGUAGAGGUGGUACCCUUUACCCACAAGUCAUGUUACCCAUCUGCCAAGGGAUCGCGACUUCCCAUACACCUCUACCGAGGAGGCGAGGCAGGGUAACACUACGAGGCCUUUACAAAGUUCCACUAGCUUCAGAAAACCCGCUACAGUUUAUAGGAAGCUCCAAUGCAGGGUUCUUGCCUGACCGCCAUCGCAGCAAAAUCAACCAAGGACCUCCCUACACUGACCACUCCCCUACUGCCCUUGCCCCUUUCGGGUAAGGUAGUCCUCCACUAGCUUUCCUAAUUAAUCAGCCAAGGACGUCCAUAAACCCUUGUGGUGGCACGUGUUUCUCAAGUUAAGCUCUAUGUUCCAAUUAACAUUAAUGAUCUUGACAUGAACAUAAAUAGAAUAACAAAAUAACUGGAACAUAGAUAUGAUAAAUAAUUAUCCCAAAUCCAUGUAAAGCAAUAGCAAACUACCCAAGUGAUUCAGGGGUAAACAAGGUAAUGAGAUAAACAGUCUAGGGUAACCUAUUGGGUCCCAUCAAAAUUAACCUAUGCAUGAAUAAAUGAUAUUAAAGAACAUUAUUGGGUAAAAGUGGUCAAGGGCACAACUUGCCUUCAAUGAGCUCCUGCUCAGCUACUUCUAUCUGCUGCUCACCGGGAUCCUCAGCAACGGGCUCUUCUACUCGCCACAAUACAAACAAGCACAAUAUACAGGGGGAAAUUAACAUCACACCAAGCAUGUGAACAAAAUACACAACAAUAUUCUACAUAUUAAAAUAAAAUCCUACGAACAGGAAUCAUAAUUUUUGGAGUUAUAGAUUUUAAGUUAUGAAUUUUCAAAGGUUUUAUAUGUUUAAAAUGGAUUAAGUGAGAGAUUAAAUUUCUUACUGUUUUCAUGACAAAACAGAGGCUCUAAGUGAUAGAUAAUAAAAUUACAAAAUUUUAGAAAGUGGAAUUGAUUAAUUUGGACCAGAGAUGAAUUUUCUAUCAAUUUUAUAAGUUCUAGCAAUUCUUUUUCUCAUAAAAAUCAUUUUUAGAUUUUAUUUAUCCAUUUAUUAUGAACUCUGGCCUGGGCGCACUAAAUCUGAGAAAGGCAGGGGCCUCGGGGUAAAAUUCCUAAGGCUCAGGGAACAGCGCAUAGGACGGCGGGUUGAUAUUCUGAAAUUUCAGGGGCUCUUUAAUAAAACUCCAGGGCUGAAGGGGUAUCAAGCGAUCUGAGCCACCCGAUCUGAAACCUGGGGUCCAGAUUAGAUCUCCAUAAGCGAAACGGUACGCGAUCAUUCACCGCACGAUCAGCUAUCUACGGUGGAGAUCUUAAAAUACGUGACAACCCAUUUCCUCCACCCAUCUACGGAUCUGCGGUUCAGAUUGUUUCAAAGUGAAACGCUAUCCAUCUCCUAAUCGGGGCCGCGCAAAGUGCAUCCAAUGGUCCACGGUAACCUCCCCAAUCACUCUGCCAGCGACGGCGGUGCCGCCCGAAAUCACGGCGAUCUCUCGCCGGAGAGGGGCAAUCCGACGCCGUGUCACACGAUCCUAACCCCGGAUAGGUGCUACAUCGAGCUGGCAACCAAUAGAAGCUAUCUGGAGGUCGUACCAGUGAAUCGGUCGGCGGUAGGGGGUUCCCCACCACGAAUGGCGGCCCGGCGGCGAAGUUUUGGCCGCGACGAUCGAAUCCCCACUUCCUUUCCGCACUACGCCAAUUCCUUCGUCUCACAGGGUCGCCCGAUGAAUCCCAGAGAUGCUCCGUGCCAAGUCGUCGUGGCAACACUCUUCUUCAACAGCUACGGUCCCGACCAACUUGGUAGCGACGGUGACGCUUUUCUCUCACUUGGGGACGCCGCGUGGGUGGUCUGGGGGAAGGAGAGAAAGAGGAGUCGGGUUCCCGGGUCUUAUGGCCGGGUCACGAACGUGGGGGAGGGAUAAGGAUGUAGCCCGCGUCUUCUCCGGGGAGCGAAGCCGCGCAAUCCGCGGACUCCAUUGACGCACGGACGGGGAUGACUAAAGGGGCCGGCCUGUUAGUCACCAGAGAGUAGCGCUCGUUGUUAUGGUGUGACUGACCACUGGGGCCCACGUAGCAGAGAGUUGCCAGCGCGCGCGAGAUCGCAGGUAGGGUGGGCCGCGCAGAGCGAUUCUGUGGGUGGGCCAAAAGCGAGGCUAGCGGCUCAGCAGCAGUUUUCUUUUUUUCUUUUUUUUUUCAUUUUCUUUUCUUUUCACUUUUAAAUCUCCAUUUUGAAUUCAAACUUGUUUGUGAGCUUCAUACCUGAGUUUGAAUUCAAACUUAUUUUCUCUAUUUUGUAUAAUCUUUUCCUUCUCUCUUUUCUUAAUUCUAGGAUUAUUUUAGGAUUUAAAUCCCCAUUUGGAUAUUUAACAUAUUUCUUUUUACAUUAUUAUAAUAUUGUCACAAAAAUGCACACACAAAUAAAAUAUUCAGCAUGAUGCAAUGAUUUAGUAGCGUAUCUUUUUAUUAUUAAUUAUCUGUUUUUUUAAUUAUGGUGUUCACAUGUGAUGAUAGAUAGAGAUAACACACAUAUAUAAAGGAAAUAACUUCUCUCUCUUUUUUUAUAUAUUAUUUCUUACAAAUUACAAGUUGGGUAUUACAAAUCCUACCCCCUUAAAAAUAAUCUCGUCCUCGAGAUUUAGGAAGAACGAGGGAAAAGGUGGGGAAAAUCUAUGCGAAGCUCUUCUUCUCUUUCCCAUGUUGCUUCAUCUUCGCCAUGGUGACUCCAUUGUACUUUGCACAUCUUUAUUACCUUAUUUCUUGUAACUCGAGUCAAAGUAUCAAGAAUCUUGAUCGGAUACUCCGUGUAAGUCAAAUCACCUUGAACACUGAGCUCUUCCAUUGGUAACUGUUCCUCAGGGACACGGAGACACUUCUUAAGUUGAGAUACGUGGAACACGUUAUGCACAUCCGAUAGACUAGCAGGUAGCUCGAGUUGGUAUGCCAUCUCACCAACUCGCCUAAAGAUCAAGAAUGGUCCAAUAUAGUGAGGUGACAAUUCGCCCUUUACUUUGAAUCUCCUCAUUCCACGAAGUGGUGACACCUUGAGGUACACAUAAUCUCCUUCCUCAAAUUCCAGUGGUCUUCUUCUAUUAUCUGCGUAGCUCUUUUGCCUGGUUUGAGCUACCCUCAAAUUCUCCCGAAUUAUACGGACUUGUUCUUCUGCUUCUUGAAUCAAUUCAGGCCCAAAGAACUGUCUUUUUCCAGUCUGAUCCCAAUAUAGAGGAGUCAUGCACUUCCUCCCAUAUAAAGCCUCAAAAGGUGACAUCUUCAGACUGGCCUGAUAGCUAUUGUUAUAUGAAAACUCAGCAUAAGGUAGACUUUUAUCCCAACUUCCUCCAUGCUGAAGGGCACAAGCUCUCAACAUAUCUUCCAAUACUUGAUUAGUCCUUUCAGUCUGUCCAUCAGUCUGAGGGUGAUAGGCUGAACUAAAUUUCAACUUCAUAUCCAUUUACUCAUGAAAACUUUUCCAAAAUCUGGGGUAAACUGUGAUCUUCUUAUCCAAAACGAUCUUCUUUGGUACUCCAUGUAAACACACAAUACGAGUCAUAUAUAACUCUACCAAUUGAGAUCCCUUAUAAGUAGUCUUGACUGGAAUGAAAUGAGCCACUUUGGUCUGUCUAUCCACAAUCACCCAUAUCGAAUCAUGUCCUUUCGGGGUGCGAGACAAUCCAGUAAUGAAAUCAAUACCAAUCUCUUCCAACUUCCAGUCGAGUACCUUUAUUGGAUGCGGUAGUCCAGCUGGCCUCUGGUGUUCAGCUUUAACUCUUUGACACACAUCACACUUAACCACAUGUAGCCACAUCUCUCUUUAAUCCAUACCACCAAUACUUCCUUUUCAAAUCCUGAUACAUCUAGGUACUACCAGGAUGAAUAGAAUAAUCCGAGUCAUAGGCCUCCUUUAAAACAGUCUCACAAAGGCUUUCAAUAUCAGGAACACAUAUCCUAUCCUUGAACCACACAGUGCCUUGUUCAUCUUCCGUGAAUUCCGGACCUCGACCUCAAGUAAUUAGAUCCUUAAUCUCUUAUAUCUUAGCAUCACCAAUUUGUUCGUUGCAGAUUUCUUGCUCCAAGGUAGGUUCCACAUCAAUAAUAACUCCUUCAGUGUGAGCAACUAUCCCCAAGUUAAGUCUCCUGAAAUCCUCAACAAUCUUAUCGGGUAGCUAGGCAACAACAGCUGAAUGAACAUGCUCCUUUUGACUCAAGGCAUCUGCAACCAAAUUUGCCUUGCCCGGGUGAUAGGGAAUAUCCAAAUCAUAAUCCUUAAUAAACUCCAACCAAUGGCGUUGCCUAAGGAUGCGGUCCUUCCGAGUGAAUAUAUACUUCAAACACUUAUGAUCCGUGUAUACUUGACACUUGGUCCCCAUGAUAUAAUGCCUCCAUAUCUUAAGCGCAUGCACUACGCAUGCUAGUUCUAAGUCAUGAGUGGGGUAGUUCAAUUCAUUUUUGCGCAACUGACAAGAAGCAUAGGCAAUCACAUGUCCUUCCUGCAUGAUCACACAUACUAAGCCUUGGCCACAUGCAUCACAAUAAAUAUCAAAUCCCUUCUGUAGAUCUGGCAUAACCAAUACUGGUGGCGACAUCAAUCUUUCCUUCAAUUGAUCAAAGCUGUCUUGGCACUUCUCGUCCCACUUAAAUUCUUGGCCCUUCUCCAGAAGCGAGGUCAUAGGCUUAGUGAUCUUAGAAAAUCCUUCAAUAAAUCUUCGAUAAUAUCCUGCAAGUCCCAAGAAACUCUGAAUCUCUAUAACUGUAGUGGGUAUACUCCACGCCACUAUCUCCUUAACUUUAGCAGGAUCCACUAAUAUCCCUCCAUUCGAAUUGAUAUGUCCAAGGAAUGGCACCUUGUCAAUCCAAAACUCGCAUUUACUGUACUUGGCGUAGAGUUGAUUAUCUCACAACUUCCGUAGUACCAAUCACAGAUGUUCCUCAUGAUCACUAUCACUCUUGGAAUAAAUAAGAAUAUCGUCGAUGAACACUACGACGAAUUUGUCCAUAUUAUGAACACCUUAUUCUUCAGAUCCAUAAAAUAGCUGGUGCAUUAGUUAGUCCAACUGACAUAACGAUGAACUCAUAUAAACCAUAUCGGGUCGAGAAAUUCGUCUUGGGAAUAUCCGAUGGCCUAAUCUUCAUUUGAUGAUAACUCGAUCGGAGAUCAAUCUUCGAGAAUACUCUUGCACCUCUUAUCUGAUCAAAUAAAUCUUCAAGGCGGGGUAAUGAAUACUUGUUCUCCACAGUGACAUCGUUAAGGGACCUAUAAUCCACACACAUCCCUUGCGAUCCUUCUUUCUUCUGUAUAAAUAGAACUGGUGCUCCCCCAAGGUGAGGAACUCGGACGAAUGUACCCAGUCUCUUGUAACUCUGUUAAUUGCUUCUUAAAUUCCUUUAGUUCUUCUACGGACAUCUUGUAUGGCCGUUUAGAAAUAGGAGCAGUCCCAGGUAAGAGAUCAAUGACCAACUCAACUUCCAUAUCUAGUGGCAUCUCUGAUAACUCUUCUCGGAAGACAUCCAGAAAAUCUCUCACCACACGAAUGUUGACACCAACAACUUCCCAUCUACUAAGAAUGACGCUAUUCUGGUGGCGGUAGUUACUGCAAUUCCAACUUCAAAUCUUUCUCCUUUGGAACUGGUGAGUUCUAUGGUUCCUUUAGCACAGUGUAUAAACUGCCUUUGCCUUUCUUAACCAUGACAUACCAAGGAUCACGUCUAUAGUGCUCUCUUCUAACACUAUAGGGGUAGCCCAUCUGGGUUAGAAAUACAGGGUAAGAAAGGAAGGCUGUAGACAAGGCAUGUAAUUACGAAUCAUGUUACUUUGCAGGAUUUAUUAGCUAAGUAGAUUAGUGUGUCACCUACUAACGCUAAUACAUUAUCUUAUGGUGGUACAUGCUAAGAUGCCCGACUAUAAUGUUUCAAUCAAUCAAAGAAGCAAAUCAAGCAUUUAUCAUCAGAACAAUCAACCAACAUUUUUUUAAUAGAGAAAAUAGUUUUUUUAUUUUUGUCUUAGGUCCCCUAUCUCUUAAAGAGUUCGUAGAUGUAGGAUUCCAUGGUGUGAAAUCCAUCUUGUCUUAGAGUAGAAAAGGUAAGAAUGAUCAGAGUAGAACAGUAGAAGGUGAGAUAGGAUCAAGAUAAGAUAAGUAUAGAAUGAAUCAGAGUAAGGUAAGUAGGUAAGGGUUUGUCCAUUUCUAUCUAGGUUUCGUCCUACAGUCAACAUUUCCUCUGAUACCACUUCUGUCACACCCGGCUUUAAGGAACAAAGCCAGGUGCAUCUCAUACAUGCGCCAAGAAGACAACAUAUAUAAUAACAGAGUGUAUAGAGAUAAAUGUCAUAAAACAUCAGAGUACUCAUUACAUAGCGGAAGACUUAUUACAAAAUAAAAUAAUAAAUAUAAAACGAACUAAGGAUCGUCGGCGCCAAUGUCAACUGAGAAACGCCACCUAGAUCAGAUCAUACUCCUCGCCUUGUGGCUCCUCCUGAACCACUUGUUCUUCUCCUGUGGGGGGGGUGAGACAGCAAGAGUGAGCUCACAUACGUUCAUCGCUCAACAAGUCGUGGGGAAUAAUGUGACAUGAACUCAUCAAAGGUGGGAGCUCAUGGAGUGUAAGGCUUAUCAAAGAGAAUGGUUAAAGCUGAGCAUUGCUUUUAAGUAGUUGGUCAAAAUUUUAUUAGCAAUUACUAAGUGUAAGUAAAUACCAAACCAUAAUAAAAUAAUAGAGAACAAAAUUAAUAAUAAACCCAUGCAAAUGCAAAUGACAAAUUGAGUUUAGGUUCCAUAAUUUAAUCAUCAGAGAGUCCUGAGCUGCUCAUGACCGUGAGCUCGGCUAGUAUACCAGUUUUACACUCUGCAGAGGUGGUACCCUUUACCCACAAGUCAUGUUACUCAUCUGCCAAGGGAUCGCGACUUCCCAUACACCUCUACCGAGGAGGCGAGACAGGGUAACACUACGAGGCUUUACAAAGUUCCACUAGCUUCAGAAAACCCACUACAGUUUAUAGGAAGCUCCAAUGCAGGGUUCUUGCCUGACCGCCAUCGCAGCAAAAUCAACCAAGGACCUCCCUACACUGGCCACUCCCCUACUGCCCUUGCCCCUUUCGGGUAAGGUAGUCCUCCACUAGCUUUCCUAAUUAAUCAGCCAAGGGCGUCCAUAAACCCUUGUGGUGGCACGUGUUUCUCAAGUUAAGCUCUAUGUUCCAAUUAACAUUAAUGAUCUUGACAUGAACAUAAAUAGAAUAACAAAAUAACUGGAACAUAGAUAUGAUAAAUAAUUAUCCCAAAUCCAUGUAAAGCAAUAGCAAACUACCCAAGUGAUUCAGGGGUAAACAAGGUAAUGAGAUAAACAGUCUAGGGUAACCUAUUGGGUCCCAUCAAAAUUAACCUAUACUUGAAUAAAUGAUAUUAAAGAACAUUAUUGGGUAAAAAGUGGUCAAGGGCACAACUUGCCUUCAAUGAGCUCCUGCUCAGCUACUUCUAUCUGCUACUCACCAGGAUCCUCAGCAACGGGCUCUUCUACUCGCCACAAUACAAACAAGCACAAUAUACAGGGGAAAAUUAACAUCACACCAAGCAUGUGAACAAAAUACACAGCAAUAUUCUACAUAUUAAAAUAAAAUCCUACGAACAGGAAUCAUAAUUUUUGGAGUUAUAGAUUUUAAGUUAUGAAUUUUCAAAGGUUUUAUAUGUUUAAAAUGGAUUAAGUGAGUGAUUAAAUUUCUUACUGUUUUCAUGACAAAACAGAGGCUCUAAGUGAUAGAUAAUAAAAUUAAAAAAAUUUAGAAAGUGGAAUGGAUUAAUUUGGACCAGAGAUGAAUUUUCUAUCAAUUUUAUAAGUUCUAGCAAUUCUUUUUCUCAUAAAAAUCAUUUUCAGAUUUUAUUUAUCCAUUUAUUAUGAACUCUGGCCUGGGCGCACUAAAUCUGAGAAAGGCAGGGGCCUCUGGGUAAAAUUCCUAAGGCUCAAGGAACAGCGCAUAGGACGGCGGGUUGAUAUUCUGAAAUUUCAGGGGCUCUUUAAUAAAACUCCAGGGCUGAAGGGGUAUCAAGCGAUCUGAGCCACCCGAUCUGAAACCUGGGGUCCAGAUUAGAUCUCCAUAAGCGAAAGGUACGCGAUCAUUCACCGCACGAUCAGCUAUCUACGGUGGAGAUCUUAAAAUACGUGACAACCCAUUUCCUCCACCCAUCUACGGAUCUGCGGUUCAGAUUGUUUCAAAGUGAAACGCAAUCCAUCUCCUAAUCGGGGCCGCGCAAAGUGCAUCCAAUGGUCCACGGUAACCUCCCCAAUCACUCCGCCAGCGACGGCGGUGCCGCCCGAAAUCACGGCGAUCUCUCGCCGGAGAGGGGCAAUCCGACGCCGUGUCACACGAUCCUAACCCCGGAUAGGUGCUACAUCGAGCUGGCAACCAAUAGAAGCUAUCUGGAGGUCGUACCAGUGAAUCGGUCGGCGGUAGGGGGUUCCCCACCACGAAUGGCGGCCCGGCGGCGAAGUUUUGGCCGCGACGAUCGAAUCCCCACUUCCUUUCCGCACUACGCCAAUUCCUUCGUCUCACAGGGUCGCCCGAUGAAUCCCAGAGAUGCUCCGUGCCAACUCGUCGCGACAACACUCUUCUUCAACAGCUACGGUCCCGGCCAACUUGGUAGCGAAGGUGACGCUUUUCUCUCACUUGGGGACGCCGCGUGGGUGGUCUGGGGGAAGGAGAGAAAGAGGAGCCAGGUUCCCGGGUCUUAUGGUCGGGUCACGAACGUGGAGGAGGGAUAAGGAUGUAGCCCGCGUCUUCUCCGGGGAGCGAAGCCGCGCAAUCCGCGGACUCCGUUGACGCACGGACGGGGAUGACUAAAGGGGUCGGCCUGUUAGUCACCAGAGAGUAGCGCUCGUUGUUAUGGUGUGACUGACCACUGGGGCCCACGUGGCAGAGAGUUGCCAGCGCGCGCGAGAUCGCAGGUAGGGUGGGCCGCGCAGAGCGAUUCUGUGGGUGGGCCAAAAGCGAGGCUAGCGGCCCAGCAGCAGUUUUCUUUUUUUUUCUUUUUUUCUUUUUCUUUUCUUUUCACUUUUAAAUCUCCAUUUUGAAUUUAAACUUGUUUGUGAGCUUCAUACCUGAGUUUGAAUUCAAACUUAUUUUCUCUAUUUUGUAUAAUCUUUUCCUUCUCUCUUUUCUUAAUUCUAGGAUUAUUUUAGGAUUUAAAUCCCCAUUUGGAUAUUUAACAUAUUUAUUUUUACAUUAUUAUAAUAUUGUCACAAAAAUCACACACAAAUAAAAUAUUCAGCAUGAUGCAAUGAUUUAGUAGUGUAUCUUUUUAUUAUUAAUUAUCUGUUUUUUUAAUUAUGGUGUUCACAUGUGAUGAUAGAUAGAGAUAACACACAUAUAUAAAGGAAAUAACUUCUCUCUUUUUUUAUAUAUUAUUUCUUAUAAAUUCCAAGUUGGGUAUUACAAAAAAACACCCUUCAUUUUGAAACAGAGCGAGAUUUUUUCCUACCUUUUCUUUUCUUUUUAUGAGAUACUUCAGUACGAGCCCGAAUAAACUGCUCACUGGUUGUAUCCAUAACUUCUUCUAGGAUGUCACUACACAGGCUGCUUAACAUAAAUUUUUCUAAUUCCUUCUCCUCAUAAAACUCCUUUUCCUCUUUAGCAAUAGCCCUAUCUAUCACAUUUGUGUCACUCGGUACUAAAGCAUAGGAAUUUACAGAAUUAGAAAGAAAAUCCACAAACUUCUGUAAGUCACUAGAGCAAUCAGAAAAUUUGAAAGCGAUAUGUCUAAGGUUGGAAAGGAUUUUCUCACUAGGCAAGAAACAAGAGGGUGCAACAUGUUGCGUACCUUCAGUAAAAGAUUUAUCCAAGUUCCUAGCAGCCUUCAUCUUGGUAGCUCGCUCAAUAGAAUCCCCAGUGCUUAAAUUUGCUUUUCUUUUGCUUCUUUUCGAUACCGCAUUGCCAAGAAGACUCUCUGGGACAGCAACCAACAUCGAAGCUUUAGGUGUCAAGACCACAGCCAUCUCCCUGAUCACUGAGGCCAACAAAGACACGGUCUUGUUUCUCUGUUGCGGCACAAAGGGGAUGUAGUAGAAACCUAAACCAUCCACGGCGUAACCGCAGGUUAAGGCACUAGGUUUGUCCCCCCUGAACUUCGGACACCUUUCCGUGUUGUGGGCAUCAGCACGACAGAUGUCACAAAACAGCUUAGCAGUACAACCUUUCGUGGCAUGUCCCUUAGUCAAACAACGAUAGCAGUACGGCUGUUUACUAGAAGUUUCUUUCACCACUGGAUAAUCAUCCAUAUCUACAGCCACACCUUUGCCCUUGUCCGAUGCAAUAUUUGAAGGACCAGCACCCAGCUGAAGAGCAGCACAGUUAGUCACCGGAGCUGACUUCUGCCCGAUCAUACCAAUAGAAGAUGCAGAUGGGUCCGACACAGCCGCUAAUCUAAAGCAGUCUUCUCUAGAGAGUGACUCUGCAAGAUCAUGAAGGAUAUCAUGCAUGACAUAGUAACAACCACUACCGGAAUCCGGUAGUGAACAGUACCUUUGGAAGAAUGAUCCAGAGACCAUAUCAUUGAAGUAAUCCAUCCCAACCUCUUCCAAUGUUCUCCUACUCAAAUUGCAUGAACCAACAAAUCCUUCUGCCACCCAGAGGUGAACCAACUGAUGAGGUUUAUAUCUAUGACCUUUUGGAAACAAGCUGCAAUACAAGAAGCACCUCUGCAGACGUGGAUCUAACUUCUCGUAACUCCACAACAGAGAUGUGAAGGGAUCACUUAAAUCUCCAAUCUUUAGAGCAGCUUUCCAUUCAGCAAUAUCCUUUUUCCUGCACAAUCGAGAACCCAGAACUUUUGCUGCCAAAGGACAUUGUCCAAGCCUUUUAGCAAUCUCCUCUGCAGUGUCUUCCAGCUUCGUGCGUAACAGUUGGUCUUUGAUUUCUGCUCCAGAGAAAGCAUGGUGUUUAAAAAGAGCCAAAAACUCAGUAUCAUACAUGUUUUCCAAAUGAAUGACAUGUUGUUGUACACAACAAAUAGCGGCCGGAAGUGUUUCACUUCGAGAAGUCACCAAAACUUUGCUCCCUGACUGUUUAGAGACUAAUGGAGCAAGGAAUAACUCCCACUCUGUCUCAUUAUGAGAUUUUUCAAACCAAACAUCAUCCAAGACAAGCAGGAAUUUCUGUGACUCUUGUAGUAUAUCACGUAAUUUGCACCGGAGAGUAUCGAGAUUAUCAACACGUGGGCACUCCCCCUUUUUUGCGGACUCAAUGAUCUCCCUUGUGUGACGAUGCACAUCAAGUUUGCGCGAGAUACAGAUCCACAUCCUGACAUCAAAGCAUUCUUUAAUCCUCUUGUCAUUAUAGACAUAUUGUGCUAAGGUAGACUUCCCCGUUCCUCCCAAUCCAACAAUGGCCAAACCGGAGUACUUAGUUGAGCUUGCCUCAGCAGUUGUUGUCUUGCCGAGAAGAAAUUUUACUAUGCGAUAACGAUCCCUGUGCCGACCGAAAACCUUGGAAGUGGGAAGUGAUGUGGUUGUGGGAACACUGGUAGGUGCUGCAGCUGGCCACUCGACGGUAUUGCCAUGUGGCAAGCCAAGAAGAUCUCGAAGUUGUUGGGCUUCUGUCAGGAUUGCUUUGAGCUCGUUCAUCUUGCUAAUUAGCCUUCUGUUUUGAGGGAGCAAGUUCCGCGCCCUGCUCAUGGCAGCAUGAAAAGGCUUCAUGACAGUAGUUGCAGUGGAGGAGCUUCCAUGCUCUCCCAGCAGGAGACUUUUUCCGCUCUUGGCCUUGCCUUCAAGGACAUUGUACUCAUGCUCGUCCAACAAGUCCUUGGCAUCAUAGUAGGCUUCUUUGAGACGCCGGAGCCAUGCCUCCAGUAUGCCCCUGUGGGGGCUCUUCUGGGCCGCUUGAAUCACCAGCUCGAACUGUGGCAGGACAGUGGCUUCUAGUCGUUGGAUCUCACGCACCAUGUCCACACUGAGGUAAGCUGAAGCUUUAGUAAGAAGCUCGUUGACAAUCGGCGAUGCUGCCCACCUUAAGCCGGCGAGCGCCAAGUCGGCCAUGAAAUUCAGUAAGAAGCUAUUUUUUUUCUUUUUUCUCUGCAGACACAUAAAAUUAAUGAAUCUGAAUGAAAAAACUGAAGCACAAACCAAUUAUUUUUCUUUCUCGCCAGAUCCAGCAACACAAAGGGGAAAUAGCAGCUAACACAGCAAGCGAAAAAAUGGAGAUUGGAGAUCUUACACGAAGUAAAAUAAAUCAAGGGCGUAUGGAGUAGAAUCUGGAACAAGCACAGCACAGCAAGGAGGGAAGCAGCUCCGUCGGGCAGGGAACGGAGGAAUACCGGAUGGUGUUGCUGAUUGCUGGUGAUAGAUGGUUUGUUUUUUUAUGUAGAGGAGACCGAAGGUGCCGUAGACUGCUGAGGGUCUACUGCUCGCUGGGAAAGGAAGCAGCAUGGAAAGAGAGGUGAACAAGCGGAGUAGACUAGUCUAUGGAUUAGGACUGCUCUGAAUUGUUAUGAAUUAUUCACUCGAAAGGUGCAGUUCGAGUGAAUAAACACAGACAAAGAAAGCUUUUGGAGCUUUCCUUGGAGUCCUCCCCUAUUUUUUUUAGACAUGGUUGUACGUUGCAAGAGGAGCUGAGCUUGAUAUGAAAGUAGAAGACGAGAUCUCCCAUGAGUUGGACCAACAAUUCAUCUGGCCAUAAAAAUUGAGAGCUUCCAGUACAGACCAAAAUCCUAAAAAAAACUAUCUCUUUCAUUUCCAAUUUGCAUCCAGUCCUUAAGGCAUAGCAGUUCCUCUGCGCUUUCGGUCCUAUUUGGUUCCACUUUUCUAGAAUGAUAGAGAUACACUCAAUACUAGGAACCUUCUGAUGAGGAAAAACAAGGCACUGGAUGAUUACAGUUGUGUUCCGUGUAAUAGUGGCUGUGUGGAAACAAGCCUCCACGUUUCCUUUGAAUGCAGUUUUGGCUUACUAUUUUGUGCGUUUGACCAUCUUUCGGGUCUCAAAAUAAAUUUUCAUAAGAGCCAACUUUUCUGUUAUGAUACUGCUAAAGAACGAGAAUUGGAAUACUCAGAAAUUUUUGGAUGUAAUAAAGGGCAUUAUCCUUUCAAAUAUCUGGGUAUUCCAAUACAUCACAGAAAGCUUAGUAAUGAAGAUUGGAAUGAUAUCAUAGAAAGAUUUAAGAAAAGAGUUAGUGGGUGGAAAGGGAAAAUAUUGUCUGUUGGUGGUCGACUAGUGCUAAUUAACUCCAUCUUAACAAGUCUUACGAUGUUUAUUGUCGGCGUUUCGAGACCGGGGGUCCCUGGACCGACGAGUGAAUUGUCGCCGCGUGCCCCAGCCCAGAUGGGUCGGCGCGAGACGGAGCGCGAAGGGGGAGGCAGCCGGAGGGAGACGGGCGUGAGAGGUGGAAAUCCCGCGGCCUUCGUGUUUGUCCCGCGCUCAGGUCGGGUGCGCUUGCAGUAGGGGGUUACAAGCGUCCACGCGGGAGGGAGCGAGCGGCCUCACGCGAGCGCCGUCCCGUCCUUCCCCGCGCGGCCCACCCUCUGUAAGAGGGCCCUGGUCCUUCCUUUUAUAGGCGCAAGGAGAGGAUCCAGGUGUACAAUGGAGGGUGUAGCAGUGUGCUAACGUGUCUAGCGGAGGAGAGCUAGCACCCUAAGUACAUGCCAUCGUGGCAGCCAGAGAGGUUUUGGCACCCGGUUCGUGUGGUGUCGUGGCCGUCGGAGGAGCGCUGGAGCCUGGCGGAAGGACAGCUGUCGGGGCUGUCGAGUCCUGAAAGUCGCCUAGAGGGGGGGUGAAUAGGGCGAAACUGAAAUUCUCAAAAAUAAUCACAACUACAAGCCGGGUUAGCGUUAGAAAUAUAAUUAAGUUCGCGAGAGAGGCCGCAAAACAAAUCGCAAGCGAAUAAUGAAGUGAGACACGUGGAUUUGUUUUACCGAGGUUCGGUUCUCUCAAACCUACUCCCCGUUGAGGAGGCCACAAAGGCCGGGUCUCUUUCAACCCUUCCCUCUCUCAAACGGUCCCUCGGACCGAGUGAGCUUCUCUUCUCAAAUCACUUGGGAAUCAAACUUCCCGCAAGGACCACCACACAAUUGGUGUCUCUUGCCUCAAUUACAAGUGAGUGUUUGUUCACAAGAAAGAAUGAAAGAGAGAAAGCAAUCCAAGCGCAAGAGCUCAAAUGAACACGGCAAAUCACUCUCACUAGUCACUUAGGCUUUGUAUGGAAUUGGAGAGGAUUUGAUCUCUUUGGGUGUGUCUAGAAUUGAAUGCCUAGCUCUUGUAGGUAGUUGAGAAGUGGAAAACUUGGAUGCAAUGAAUGGUGGGGUGGUUGGGGUAUUUAUAGCCCCAACCACCAAACUAGCCGUUUGGUGAGGCUGUCUGUUCGAUGGCGCACCGGACAGUCCGGUGCACACCGGACAUGUCCGGUGCGACAGCCACGUCACCAAAUAGCCGUUGGGUCGACCGUUGGAGUUCUGACUUCGGGGCCCGCCUUGAUGUCCGGUGGCGCACCGAACAUGCACUGUAGAGUGUCCGGUGCGCCUGCUCCCGCGUGCCUGACGACUGUGCGCUUCUGGCGCGCAUUAAAUGCGCCUGCAGGUGACCGUUGGCGCGAAGUAGCCGUUGCCCCGAGGUUGCACCGGACAGUCCGGUGCACACCGGACAUGUCCGGUGAAUUAUAGCGGAGCAGCCUUCGCGAAUUCCCGAGACUGGCAAGUUCCUGAGCCGCGACUCAAAUGAGCACCGGACACUGUCCGGUGUACACCGGGCAGUCCGGUGAAUUAUAGCGUGCUAGCUCUGGAAAUUUCCCGAGGGCGACGAGUUUGAGCUGAAGUCCUCUGGUGCACCGGACACUGUCCGGUGGCACACUGGACAGUCCGGUGCGCCAGACCAGAGAAGCCUUUGGUUGCUCCUUUGCCCUUUUGUUGAACCCAACACUUGGUCAAUUUAUUGGCUAAGUGUGAACCUUUUGCACCUGUAUGACUUAUAAACUAGAGCAAACUAGUUAGUCCAAAGAUUUGUGUUGGGCAAUUCAACCACCAAAAUUAUUUAGGAACUAGGUGUAAGCCUAAUUCUCUUUCAAUCUCCCCCUUUUUGGUGAUUGAUGCCAACACAAACCAAAGCAAAUAUAAAAGUGCAUAAUUGAACUAGUUUGCAUAAUGUAAGUGCAAAGGUUGCUUGGAAUUGAGCCAAUAUAAAUACUUACUUGAUGCGCAAGGAUUGUUUCUUUGUUUUUGACAUAUUGGACCACAUUUGCACCAUAAGUUUUGUUUUGCAAAAUCUUUUGUAAAUUCUUUUCAAGAACUUUUUUUGCAAGAUAGUCAAAGAUAAAUGAGUAAGAUUUUUUGCAAAGCAUUUUUGAAAUUCUCUCCUCUUGUUCCAAAUGCUUUUCCUUUGACUAAACAAAACUCCCCCUCAAAUAAAUUCUCCUCUUAGUGUUCAAGAGGGUUUUAAGAUAUCAAGUUUUGAAAAUACUACUUGCUCCCCCUUUAGAACACAAAGAGAUACUAAUUUUGAAUUUUUCCAACCAAUUGAAAAUCAUAUGUUAAAAUUAGGGUGGUGGUGCGGUCCUUUUGCUUUAGGCUCAUAUUUUCUCCCCCUUUGGCAAGAAUCGCCAAAAACGGAAUCAUUAGAGCCCAACGAAGUACUUUCUCCUCCUUUGGUCAUAAAAGAAAUGAGUGAAGAUUAUACCAAAGUUGGAGAGUGAUGCGGAGCGACGGCGAAGGAUGAGUAGUGGAGUGGAGUGGAAGCCUUUGUCUUCGCUGAAGACUCCAAUUCCCUUUCAAUAUACCUAUGACUUGGUUUGAAAUACACUUGAAAACACAUUAGUCAUAGCAUAUAUAAAAGAGAUAUGAUCAAAGGUAUACUUGUGUGCUAUGUGUGCAAAUUUAGCAAAAGAAGUUCCUGGAAUCAAGAAUGUUGAGCUCAUGCCUAAGUCUGGUAAAAGAUUGUUCAUCAAGUGGCUUGGUAAAGAUAUCGGCUAAUUGAUCUUUAGUGUUAAUGUAUGAAAUCUCGAUAUCCCCCUUUUGUUGGUGAUCCCUAAGAAAAUGAUACCGAAUGGCUAUGUGUUUAGUGCGGCUAUGCUCAACGGGAUUAUCCGCCAUGCGGAUUGCACUCUCAUUAUCACAUAGAAGAGGAACUUUGGUUAGUUUGUAACCGUAGUCCCGCAGGGUUUGCCUCAUCCAAAGCAAUUGCGCGCAACAAUGGCCUGCGGCAAUGUACUCGGCUUCGGCGGUAGAAAGAGCGACUGAAUUUUGCUUCUUUGAAGCCCAAGACACCAAGGAUCUUCCCAAGAACUGGCAAGUCCCCGAUGUGCUCUUCCUAUUAAUCUUACACCCCGCCCAAUCGGCAUCCGAAUAACCAAUCAAAUCAAAAGUGGAUCCCCGAGGGUACCAAAGCCCAAACUUAGGAGUAUAAGCCAAAUAUCUCAAGAUUCGUUUUACGGCCGUAAGGUGUGAUUCCUUAGGGUCGGCUUGGAAUCUUGCACACAUGCAAAUGGAAAGCAUAAUGUCUGGUCGAGAUGCACAUAAAUAAAGCAAUGAGCCAAUCAUCGACCGGUAUACCUUUUGAUCCACGGACUUACCUCCCGUGUCGAGGUCGAGAUGCCCAUUUGUUCCCAUGGGAGUCUUGAUGGGCUUGGCAUCCUUCAUUCCAAACUUGCUUAAAAUGUCUUGAGUAUACUUCGUUUGGCAAAUGAAAGUGCCCUCUUGGAGUUGCUUGACUUGAAAUCCUAGAAAAUACUUCAACUCCCCCAUCAUAGACAUCUCGAAUUUCUUUGUCAUGAUCCUACUAAAUUCUUCACAUGUAGAUUCGUUAGUAGACCCAAAUAUAAUAUCAUCAACAUAAAUUUGGCAUACAAACAAAUCAUUGUCAAGAGUUUUAGUGAAUAAAGUAGGAUCGGCUUUGCCGACUUUGAAGCCAUUUGCAAUAAGGAAAUCUCUAAGGCAUUCAUACCAUGCUCUUGGGGCUUGCUUGAGCCCAUAAAGCGCCUUAGAGAGCCUAUAAACAUGGUUAGGGUACUCACUGUCUUCAAAGCCGGGAGGUUGCUCAACAUAGACCUCCUCCUUGAUUGGUCCAUUGAGGAAAGCACUCUUCACAUCCAUUUGAUAAAGCUUGAAGCCAUGGUAAGUAGCAUAGGCUAAUAAUAUGCGAAUUGAUUCAAGCCUAGCUACGGGUGCAUAGGUUUCACCAAAAUCCAAACCUUCGACUUGUGAAUACCCCUUGGCCACGAGUCGAGCUUUGUUCCUUGUCACCACACCAUGCUCGUCUUGCUUGUUGCGGAAGACCCACUUGGUUCCUACAACAUUUUGAUUAGGACGUGGAACUAAAUGCCAUACCUCAUUCCUUGUGAAAUUGUUGAGCUCCUCUUGCAUCGCCAUCACCCAAUCCGCAUCUUGGAGUGCUUCCUCUACCCUGUGUGGCUCAAUAGAGGAAACAAAAGAGUAAUGCUCACAAAAAUGUGCAACCCGAGAUCGAGUAGUUACCCCCUUAUGAAUGUCGCCGAGGAUGGUGUCGACGGGGUGAUCUCGUUGUAUUGCUUGGUGGACUCUUGGGUGUGGCGGCUUUGGUUGUUCAUCCUCCUUGUCUUCAUCAUUUGCAUCUCCCCCUUGAUCGUUGCCGUCAUUUUGAGGUGGCUCAUCUUCUUGAUCUUCUUGUUCAACAUCUUGAGCCUCAUCCUCAAUUUGAGUUGGUGGAGAUGCUUGCAUGGAGGAGGAUGGUUGAUCUUGUGCAUGUGGAGGCUCUUUGGAUUCCUUAGGACACACAUCCCCAAUGGACAUGUUCCUUGGCGCUAUGCAUGGAGCCUGUUCUUCACCUAUCUCAUCAAGAUCAACUUGCUCUACUUGAGAGCCGUUAGUCUCAUCAAACACAACGUCACAAGAAACUUCAACAAGUCCUGAGGACUUGUUAAAGACUCUAUAUGCCCUUGUGUUUGAGUCAUAUCCUAGUAAAAAGCCUUCUACAGUUUUAGGAGCAAAUUUAGAUUUUCUACCUCUUUUAACAAGUAUAAAACAUUUGCUACCAAAAACUCUAAAAUAUGAAAUAUUGGGCUUUUUACCGGUUAGGAGUUCAUAGGAUGUCUUCUUGAGGAUUCGGUGAAGAUAUAACCGGUUGAUGGCGUAGCAGGCAGUGUUGACCGCCUCGGCCCAAAACCGAUCCGGUGUCUUGUACUCAUCAAGCAUGGUUCUCGCCAUGUCCAAUAGAGUUCGAUUCUUCCUCUCCACUACACCAUUUUGUUGUGGAGUGUAGGGAGAAGAGAACUCAUGCUUGAUGCCCUCCUCCUCAAGGAAGCCUUCUAUUUGAGAGUUCUUGAACUCCGUCCCGUUGUCGCUUCUGAUUUUCUUGAUCCUUAAGGCGAACUCAUUUUGAGCUUGUCUCAAGAAUCCCUUUAAGGUCUCUUGGGUAUGAGAUUUUUCCUGCAAAAAGAACACCCAAGUGAAGCGAGAAUAAUCAUCCACAAUAACUAAACAGUACUUACUCCCGCCGAUGCUUAUGUAAGCAAUCGGGCCGAAUAAAUCCAUGUGUAGGAGCUCCAGUGGCCUGUCACUAGUCAUGAUGUUCUUGUGUGGAUGAUGAGUGCCAACUUGCUUCCCGGCCUGGCAUGCACUACAAAUCCUGUCUUUCUCAAAAUGAACAUUGGUUAGUCCUAAAAUGUGUUCCCCCUUUAGAAGCUUAUGAAGAUUCUUCAUUCCAACAUGGGCUAGUCGGCGGUGCCAGAGCCAACCCAAGUUAGUCUUAGCAACUAAGCAAGUGUCGAGUUCAGCUCUAUCAAAAUCUACCAAGUAUAGCUGACCCUCUAACACUCCCUUAAAUGCUAUUGAAUCAUCACUUCUUCUAAAGACAGUAACACCUACAUUAGUAAAUAGACAGUUGUAGCCCAUUUGACAUAAUUGGGAUACGAAAAGCAAAUUGUAAUCUAAUGAAUCAACAAGAAAAAGAUUUGAAAUGGAAUGGUCAGGAGAUAUAGCAAUUUUACCCAAUCCUUUGACCAAACCUUGAUUUCCAUCCCCGAAUGUGAUAGCUCGUUGGGGAUCUUGGUUUUUCUCAUAUGAGGAGAACAUCUUCUUCUCCCCUGUCAUGUGGUUUGUGCACCCGUUGUCGAGUAUCCAACUUGAGCCCCCGGAUGCAUAAACCUACAAAACAAUUUUAGUUCUUGACUUUAGGUACCCAAAUGGUUUUGGGUCCUUUGGCAUUAGACACAAGAACUUUGGGUACCCAAACACAAGUCUUUGACCCCUUGUGUUUGCCCCCAACAUACUUGGCAACGACCUUGCCAGAUUUGUUAGUCAAAACAUAGGAUGCAUCAAAAGUUUUAAAUGAAAUGUUAUGUUCAUUUGAUGCAUUUGGAGUUUUCUUUCUAGGCAACUUAGCACGGGUUGGUUGCCUAGAGCUAGAUGUCUCACCCUUAUACAUAAAAGCAUGAUUAGGGCCAGAGUGAGACUUCCUAGAAUGAGUUCUCCUAAUUUUGCUCUCAGGAUAGCUGGCAGGGUACAAAAUGUAACCCUCGUUAUCCUGAGGCAUGGGAGCCUUGCCCUUAACAAAGUUAGAUAAAUUCUUUGGAGGGGCAUUAAGUUUGACAUUGUCUCCCUUUUGGAAGCCAAUGCCAUCCUUGAUGCCAGGGCGUCUCCCACUAUAGAGCAUACUUCUAGCAAAUUUAAACUUUUCAUUUUCUAAGUUAUGCUCGGCAAUUUUAGCAUCUAAUUUAGCUAUAUGAUCAUUUUGUUGUUUAAUUAAAGACAUGUGAUCAUGAAUAGCAUUAAUAUCAACAUCUCUACAUCUAACACAAAUAGAAGUGUGCUCAACGGUAGAUGUAGAGGGUUUGCAAGAUUUUAGUUCUACAACCUUAGCAUGCAAUAUUUCAUUCUUACUUCUAAGGUCGGAAAUAGUAGCAUUGCAAACAUCAAAAUCUUUAGUCUUAGCAAUCAAAUUUUCAUUUUCUAAUCUAAGACUAGCAAGAGAAAUGUUCAAUUCUUCAAUCCUAGCAAGCAAAUCAUCAUUAUCAUUUCUAGGGUUGGGAAUUGAAACAUUGCAAACAUGAAAAUCAACCUUAGCUAACAAAUUAGCAUUUUCAUUUCUAAGGUUGUCUAUUGUUUCAUGGCAAGUACUUAGCUCACUAGAUAAUUUUUGACAUUUCUCAGUUUCUAGAGCAUAAGCAUUUUUAACCUUAACAUGCUUCUUAUUUUCUUUAAUAAGGAAGUCCUCUUGGGUGUCCAAGAGAUUAUCCUUUUCAUGGAUGGCACUAAUCAAUUCAUUAAGUUUUUCUUUUUGUUGCAUGUUGAGGUUGGCAAAAAGGGUACGCAAAUUAUCUUCCUCAUCACUAGCAUUAUCAUCACUAGAGGAUUCAUAUUUAGUGGAGGAUUUAGAUUUAACCUUCUUUUGCCAUCCUUUGCCAUGAGGCACUUGUGGUCGACGUUGGGGAAGAGAAGCCCUUUGGUGACGGCGAUGUUGGCGGCGUCCUCGUCGGAGGAAGACUCGGUGGAGCUCUCGUCGGAGUCCCAUUCCCGGCAAACAUGGGCAUCGCCGCCCUUCUUCUUGUAGUACUUCUUCUUUUCUCUCCUCUUUCCCUUCUUGUCGUCGCCCCUGUCACUAUCACUAGACAUAGGACAUUUUGCAAUAAAAUGACCGGGCUUACCACAUUUGUAGCACACUUUCUUGGAGCGAGGUUUGUAGUCCUUCCCCUUCCGUUGCUUGAGGAUUUGGCGAAAGCUUUUGAUGAUUAAAGCCAUCUCCUCAUUGUCGAGCUUGGAGGGGUCAAUUGGUUGUCUACUUGGUGUAGACUCCUCCUUCUUCUCCUCCAUCGCCUUAAAUGCCACCGGUUGCGCCUCGGACGUGGAGGGUUCGUCAAGCUCGUUGAUCUUCCUUGAGCCCUUGAUCAUACAUUCAAAGCUCACAAAAUUCCCGAUAACUUCCUCGGGGGUCAUUUGAGUAUAUCUAGGAUUACCACGAAUUAAUUGAACUUGAGUGGGGUUAAGGAAAAUAAGUGAUCUCAAAAUAACCUUAACCACCUCGUGGUCAUCCCAUUUCUUGCUCCCGAGGUUGCGCACUUGGUUCACCAAGGUUUUGAGCCGGUUGUACAUAUCUUGUGGCUCCUCCCCUGGGCGAAGACGAAAGCGACCGAGCUCCCCCUCGAUCGUUUCCCGCUUGGUGAUCUUGGUGAGUUCAUCACCCUCGUGCGCGGUCUUGAGUAGGUCCCAAAUCUCCUUUGCAUUCUUCAACCCUUGCACUUUGUUGUAUUCCUCCUUGCUUAGAGAGGCGAGGAGAAUGGUUGUGGCUUGGGAGUUGAAGUGCUCGAUUUGGGCCACUUCAUCCAUAUCAUAGUCUUCAUCCCCUACGGAUGGUACCUGUACACCAAACUCAACAACAUCCCAUAUACUUUUGUGGAGUGAGGUUAGAUGAAAUCGCAUUAAAUCACUCCACAUAGCAUAAUCUUCACCAUUAAAAGUUGGUGGUUUGCCUAAUGGGACGGAAAGCAAAGGUGUAUGUUUAGGAAUGCGGGGUAGCGUAGGGGGAUCUUACUAUACUUCUUACGCUCUUGGCGCUUAGAAGUGACGGAUGCCGCGUCGGAGCCGGAGGUGGAUGUUGAUGAAGAAUCGGUCUCGUAGUAGACCACCUUCCUCAUCCUCUUCUUCUUGUCGCCACUCCGAUGCGGCUUGUGGGAAGAGGACUUUUCUUUCUUCUCUUUGUGAUGUGAAGAAGAUACUUUCUCCUUUCCUUUGGAGGAGUCCUUCUUCUUUUCUUCGUGGUGCGAAGAAGAUCUUUUCUCCUUCCCUUUGGAGGAGACCUUCCUCUUCUCCCUCCUUUUGGUGUGGGACUCUUCCGAUGAAGUGCUCCCUUGGCUUGUAGUGGGCUUGUCGCCGGUCUCCAUCUCCCUCUUGGUGUGAUCUCCCGUCAUCACUUCGAGCGGUUAGGCUCUAAUGAAGUACCGGGCUCUGAUACCAAUUGAAAGUCGCCUAGAGGGGGGGGUGAAUAGGGCGAAACUAAAAUUCUCAAAAAUAAUCACAACUACAAGCCGGGUUAGCGUUAGAAAUAUAAUUAAGUUCGCGAGAGAGGCCGCAAAACAAAUCACAAGCGAAUAAUGAAGUGAGACACGUGGAUUUGUUUUACCGAGGUUCAGUUCUCUCAAACCUACUCCCCGUUGAGGAGGCCACAAAGGCCGGGUCUCUUUCAACCCUUCCCUCUCUCAAACGGUCCCUCGGACCGAGUGAGCUUCUCUUCUCAAAUCACUUGGGAAUCAAACUUCCCGCAAGGACCACCACACAAUUGGUGUCUCUUGCCUCAAUUACAAGUGAGUGUUUGUUCACAAGAAAGAAUGAAAGAGAGAAAGCAAUCCAAGCGCAAGAGCUCAAAUGAACACGGCAAAUCACUCUCACUAGUCACUUAGGCUUUGUAUGGAAUUGGAGAGGAUUUGAUCUCUUUGGGUGUGUCUAGAAUUGAAUGCCUAGCUCUUGUAGGUAGUUGAGAAGUGGAAAACUUGGAUGCAAUGAAUGGUGGGGUGGUUGGGGUAUUUAUAGCCCCAACCACCAAACUAGCCGUUUGGUGAGGCUGUCUGUUCGAUGGCGCACCGGACAGUCCGGUGCACACCGGACAUGUCCGGUGCGACAGCCACGUCACCAAAUAGCCGUUGGGUCGACCGUUGGAGUUCUGACUUCGGGGCCCGCCUUGAUGUCCGGUGGCGCACCAGACAUGCACUGUAGAGUGUCCGGUGCGCCUGCUCCCGCGUGCCUGACGACUGUGCGCUUCUGGCGCGCAUUAAAUGCGCCUGCAGGUGACCGUUGGCGCGAAGUAGCCGUUGCCCCGAGGUUGCACCGGACAGUCCGGUGCACACCGGACAUGUCCGGUGAAUUAUAGCGGAGCAGCCUUCGCGAAUUCCCGAGACUGGUGAGUUCCUGAGCCGCGACUCAAAUGAGCACCGGACACUGUCCGGUGUACACCGGACAGUCCGGUGAAUUAUAGCGCGCUAGCUCUAGAAAUUUCCCGAGGGCGACGUGUUUGAGCUGAAGUCCUCUGGUGCACCGGACACUGUCCGGUGGCACACCGGACAGUCCGGUGCGCCAGACCAGAGAAGCCUUUGGUUGCUCCUUUGCCCUUUUGUUGAACCCAACACUUGGUCAAUUUAUUGGCUAAGUGUGAACCUUUUGCACCUGUAUGACUUAUAAACUAGAGCAAACUAGUUAGUCCAAAGAUUUGUGUUGGGCAAUUCAACCACCAAAAUUAUUUAGGAACUAGGUGUAAGCCUAAUUCCCUUUCAAGUCCUUGCUGACGUCCUCUUGCUUCCGUAAGGGGGCUGAGAGCCGCCGUCGUCAUAGGGCAUGCGGGGCGCCAUCAUUACUUGUCUGGCGGAGCGAGCCAGAUGGGACGCCAGUCUUGUUCCCCGUAGCCUGAGUCAGCUUGGGGUAGGGUAAUGAUGGCGCCUCCUGUUGAUGUGGUCGGUCCGUGCCCUAGGUUGGGCGAUGUGGAGGCUCCUCCGAGGUCGAGGUCGAGUCUGUUCUUCCGAGGCCGAGGUCGAGUCCGAGCCCCUGGGUCGGGCGAGGCGGAGACUGUCGGCUGAGGCCAGGGCUGAGUCCGAGCCCUGGGGUCGGGCGAAGCGGAGUUCGUCGUCUUUCGGUGCUGAGCCCGAGUCCGAGCCCUGGGGUCGGGCGAAGCGGAGUUCGUCGUCUUCCGGGGCUGAGCCCGAGUCCGAGCCCUGGGGUCGGGCGGAGCGGAGUUCGUCGUCUUCCGGGGCUGAGCCCGAGUCCGAGCCCUGGGGUCGGGCGGAGCGGAGUUCGUCGUCUUCUGGGGCUGAGCCCGAGUCCGAGCCCUGGGGUCGGGCGGAGCGGAGUUCGUCGUCUUCCGGGGCUGAGCCCGAGUCCGAGCCCUGGGGUCGGGCGAAGCGGAGUUCGUCGUCUUCCGGGGCUGAGCCCGAGUCCGAGCCCUGGGGUCGGGCGAAGCGGAGUUUCCUAUGGCGCCUGAGGCCGGGCCUGGCUGCUGUCAGCCUCACUCUGUCGAGUGGCACAGCAGUCGGAGCGGCGCAGGCGGCGCUGUCCUCUUGUCAGACCAGUCAGUGGAGCGGCGAAGUGACUACGGUCACUUCGGCUCUGUCGACUGGAGGGCGCGCGUCAGGAUAAAGGUGUCAGGCCACCUUUGCAUUAAAUGCCCCUGCGAUUUGGUCGGUUGGCGUGGCGAUUUGGCCAAGGUUGCUUCUUGGUGAAGACUGGGCCUUGGGUGAGCCGAGGGUGUGUCCGUUGCUGGAGGGGGGUCUCGGGCGAGACGUAGAUCCUCCGGGGUCGGCUGCCCUUGCCCGAGGCUGGACUCGGGCGAGGCGUGAUCGCGUCCCUCGAAUGGACCGAUCCUUGACUUAGUCGCACCCAUCAGGCCUUUGCAGCUUUGUGCUGAUGGGGGUUACCAGCUGAGAUUUAGGAGCCUUGAGGGUACCCCUAAUUAUGGUCCCCGACAGUAGCCCCCGAGCCUCGAAGGGAGUGUUAAUACUCGCUUGGAGGCUUUUGUCGCACUUUUUUGCAAGGGGACCAGCCUUUCUCGGUUGCGUUUUGUUCUGGUGGGUGCGCGCGAGCGCACCCGCCGGGUGUAGCCCCCGAGGCCUCGGAGGAGUGGUUUGACUCCUCCGAGGUCUUAAUGCCUCGCGCAAUGCUUCGGCCAGUCUGGUUGUUCCCUCAUGCGAGCUGGCCGUAGCCCGGGUGCACGGUCGGGUCCCAAGUUCUCGGGCUGGUAUGUUGACGCUGUCAACGGUUUGGCCGGAGCCGGGUUUGCGAGAGCAGCCCCCGAGCCUCUGCACAGGGCGAGAGGACGGUCAAGGACAUACUCGACUUUUUUACAUACGCCCCUGCGUCGCCUUUCCGCAAGGAGGAGGGGGGGAAAGCGCCAUGUUGCCCUCGGAGGGCGCCGAACAUGGUGUCUCCGGUGAGCUGCUGGCGGGUAAUCCGAGUGGACGCCCGUGCCCCAUUUGUUAGGGGUCGGCUAGAGGCCCGGAGGCGCGCUUAAAAGUACCUACGGGUGAUCUGCCGGACUUGGUCCCCUUUCGACGGGGUCCGAGGGCUCGAUGCCUCCCUCUGAUGGGAUUCGUUACAAGAUCGUUCCCGCUGGUCUUGGAAAUGUCCUAGGGUACCUCGGGAGCGUAGCCCGAGCCUUGGUUAUGUAUCGAACGUACCCAGGGUCAUCCCUCACUCUGUGUCUGAGGCGGCUGUGAACCCUUCGAGGGCCAGCCUACGAACCCCUGAUCAGUAGUGGGCGCGGAGCCCGAGUGGCCUGAGGCGGCCGUUGAACCCUUCCGAGGGGCCGGCCUUCGAACCUCUGACCAGUAGUGGGUGCAGAGCCCACACGCUCUGAGGCGGCUGUUACACCCCUCCGAGGGGCCAGCCUUUGAACCUCUGAUCAGUAGGGAGGCUCGGGGCCUGUUUCCUUCAUGGAGAAGGAUCCUUUUCGGGGUAUCCCUCUUUCCCGGUCCCUGUUGUAAGAGAGAGAAAUAGGAAAAGGAAAAGGAUACGAAAUCGAAUGAUGUGGUGUACCUUUUUUGACGCGGUCGUUAUGGCGAAGGCGAAACGUCGCUUGCUUCCCCUGCCAGAGGCGCCGCCUGUCCCGCCGCGGAGUUAAUGCGACGGGGCGAGUGGUUCGCGAGGUGGCCGUUGCGCGUGCGCGAGCCGUUCGAGGAACGGAACAUGGGUGCGUCGUCUUCACGCCGUGAGAGAGGGUUCUCUCGCUGCCCCUGGAUGGGACGUAAGCUUGGCUGAUGACGUGACCGCUGCUCCUGCCCGCCUGCCACCGCCAUUACUGCCGGCCCAUUUUUGGCCGUAUUGACCGUCGCGCCUGGCUGGCACUACUGGGUCGUACGCAGGGUUGCCUCGAGUCGCGGUACUGGUUCCGCAGUCGAGGAGGCGUGGUAGUGGUGCGAGCGGCGGUGCAGUUGCUCGCACGUAGCAACCGGCGCGCCGGUUGCAUGACGCGUGGGCCUGGGCCUCCAUGCUGGGUGCAUUGGAAGUCGGAGGGGUGCGCCCACUUGGCGCGGUUGCAUGCCGCCUGCAUGGCUGCCCGCCCUUUCACCCGCUGGUCUGGGCGAAAGUGGAGGAAUGCUCGUAACCGCUGGGCAGUUACAUGCACCGCGCGCGGCGGUUCGGCUUCUUCUGCCCUGGCCAGUCUGCAUGACGCAUGGGACCCAGCCCUUGCGCCGUAGGGGGAGGACCUUGGAGCGUGGUGGCAGCUGGGGGAAGCUUCCCCACCGUCGAGGCCGUCAGUGCCGCCUACGGGCCGGCCUCCGGCUCUUUGGCUUUGAUGUCUGGUUCGCGUCCCUUGAGCGGGGACGCGAACGAGAGCCUUCCGGUGGCCGCGUCCGUCCUGGGACCAUAGCUGCUGCUGCAGAGGUCGCUGGCGAGUCGCCCGGAACUUGUCGCCCCGCAGGAUCCCCGGUGUGGAGGUUGUUCAUACCCGCGGGGACGGAACCGGAGUUCCGUUUGUAAUGGCACCUUGAAUGCUGGUCUUUUGUUCAUUGUGGCUGUCGGGGCCUGAACAUGUAUGUAUUUUUGGCGCGGAGCCGUGUUUUUUCCUCAUUUUCGAGCACUAAGACUCGCCUGUUGGUUAUCUGAACCGCUUCACCAAGCGUGAGUCACCCCGUGCAAAGGUGACGAGUGAGGUAUCCGUGUCCCGGAGGCGUAGGAGUCCCUCGGCUCGGUCGGCCCUGCUGUCCGAGGCUUCUCUUGCUUAGUUAAAGGAACCCCUCGGCUGCUCUUCGAUGAGCCGAAGCCAGGGGUAGCGGUGUCAGCACGGACAGAGGCAGAGUUGGCUCGAAAAGAAGACUUGGUCGGCCGGAGCCUGGCUGGGUCGUCCACUGGCGGGACCGACGCCGGAAUUGAGUUGCCGAGGCCUCGGGCCGGGCUGAUGUCUUCAGGGGACAGCUGGCCGAGGCCUCGGGGUGAUCGGCCGAGCCGUCUGCUCGAGCCGGAUUCCUGGAGAAGACCCUGGCGGCGAAGGCCUGGGCGUGGUGAUGAUGUCGUCCUUCAGAGUGGAGAUCCUCGGUCCGCGUCGCCGUCCGAGGCUAGGUCGGACCUCGCCGAAGGUGUAGUUGACGCCGAGGGUGCUGCUGCUCCCUUCAACUGUCAAGAUCCGAGCCUGCAGGAUCAGAUUAUCUUGUAGCGUGUGUUUUCUGCGGCCGCCGAGGCCCAAACACACCAUCGUCGUGUUGUAAAGCUGCGCUUCUUUUCCUCUUGUUUCGAGUAUCUGGACUUUUUCGUCGGUAACAGAAUUGUCUGUGCGAGCAAGAGUUGCUUUUCACGGAAGGUUAUGAGUGAGGUAUCCGUAUCCCGGAGGCGUAGGAAUCCCUCGGCUCGGUUGGCCUUGCCGCUUACGCGCACUCUUGCCCGUCCAUAGGGUUCUGUCACCGACGCAGUCGAGAAGGCCCGAAGAAUCGCUUCGGCAGAGGAGCUUUCGAGCGUGAAGACUUGUUCGGUCCGCGGAAUCACUUAUCCGAACGCGAGUUACUUAUCGCAGAAGGUGAUGAGUGAGGUAUCUGUAUCCCAGAGGCGUAGGAGUCCUCAGCUGCUUACGUGUACUCCGUCGUUUUCAGGAUCCACUUUCGAAGUAGUCGAAAAGCGCGAAAGACAUUCUGGCAGAAAGGAUCUUUUUUUGAGGAAAAUUUCGACGCAGAGGGGGUUCCCCCCUUUUAGCCCCCGAGGGAGGGUCGGGCUUUGCCGAGGCAAGGCUGACCCUUCCUUGAUGACUAAACUUUGCGUGGGAACGAGGUAUACGAACAACUUGAAAGCAUCUUAAGGGUAGAAGCGACGUAGUUGUUGGAUGUUCCAAGCGUUGCUGUAGACCUCGCCUUGACUGUUGGCCAGCUUGUACGUUCCGGGCUUCAGAACUUUGGCGAUGACGAACGGCCCUUCCCAGGGAGGCGUGAGCUUGUGCCGCCCUCGGGCGUCUUGUCGCAGCCGAAGCACCAGGUCGCCCACCUGGAGGUAUCGGGACCAGACCCCUCGGGCGUGGUAGCGUCGCAGGGACUGCUGGUACCGCGCCGAGUGUAGUAAGGCCAUGUCCCGAGCCUCUUCCAGCUGGUCCAGCGAGUCUUCUCGAUUAGCUUGGUUGCUUUGGUCGGCGUAGGCCCUCGUCCUCGGGGAACCGUAUUCUAAGUCUGUGGGCAAGAUGGCCUCGGCCCCAUAGACUAGAAAGAACGGCGUGAAGCCCGUGGCUCGGCUCGGCGUUGUCCUCAGACUCCAGACCACCGAGGGGAGUUCCUUCAUCCAUCGCUUGCCGAACUUGUUGAGGUCGUUGUAGAUCCGAGGCUUGAGUCCUUGUAGAAUCAUGCCGUUGGCACGCUCUACUUGCCCAUUCGUCAUGGGGUGAGCCACGGCGGCCCAGUCCACCCGGAUGUGGUGAUCUUCGCAGAAGUCCAGGAACUUUCUGCCGGUGAACUGGGUGCCAUUGUCGGUGAUGAUGGAGUUCGGGACCCCAAAGCGAUGGAUGAUGUUGGUGAAGAACGCCACCGCCUGUUCGGACCUGAUGCUGUUUAGGGGUCAGACCUCGAUCCACUUGGAGAAUUUGUCGAUGGCGACCAACAGGUGCGUAUAGCCCCCGGGUGCCUUCUGCAAGGGGCCAACGAGGUCCAGACCCCACACAGCAAAAGGCCAGGUGAUGGGUAUCGUCUGCAGGGUCUGAGCGGGCAGGUGGGUCUGCCUUGCGUAGAACUGACACCCUUCGCAGGUGCGGACAAUUCUAGUGGUGUCGGCCACCGCCGUCGGCCAGUAGAAACCUUGUCGGAAGGCGUUUCCAACAAGGGCUCGAGGUGCUGCGUGAUGGCCGCAAGCCCCCGAGUGUAUCUCUUGUAGGAGCUCCUGACCUUCGGCGAUGGGGAUGCAUCGCUGGAGGAUGCCUGAGGGGCUGCGGUGGUAGAGCUCCUUCCCAUCUCCCAGCAAGACGAACGACUUGGCGCGCUGCGCCAACCGCCGAGCUUCGGCUCGGUCGAGGGGUAGCUCUCCUCGGUGGAGAUAUUGCAGGUACGGGGUCUGCCAGUUUCGAUUAGGCGUGACCCCGCUUCACUCCUCCUCGAUGCGCAGUGCCUCACCCUCGGGGGCCGAGGGUACCUCGGGCCGAACCGAGGGUGCCUCGGGCUGGGCCGAGGGUGCCUCGGGCCGAGCCGAGGGUACCUCGGACUGAGCCGAGGGUGCCUCAGGCUCAGCCGAGGCCUUCUCGGGCUCGGGCGUGUCGUCGGUCUUGACGGAGGGUUGAUGCAGGUCUCGGGAGAAGACGUCCGGGGGAACCAUUGUUCGCCCCGAGGCUAUUUUAGCCAGCUCGUCCGCAGUCUCGUUGUAGCGUCGGGCGAUGUGGUUGAGCUCGAGCCCGUAGAACUUGUCUUCCAGGCGCCGAACCUCAUCGCAGUAGGCUUCCAUCUUCGGGUCGCGGCAGUGGGAGUUCUUCAUGACUUGGUCGAUGACGAGUUGCGAGUCACCGCGAGCGUCGAGGCGUCGGACCCCUAGCUCGAUGGCGAUGCACAACCCGUUGACUAGAGCCUCGUACUCAGCCACAUUGUUGGACACCGGGAAGUGGAGGCGUAGCACGUAGCGUAGGUGCUUCCCAAGGGGCGAGAUGAAGAGCAGGCCUGCGCCUGCUCCUGUCUUCAUCAGCGACCCGUCGAAGAACAAGGUCCAGAGUUCCGGUUGGAUCGGAACUGUUGGGAGGCUUUCCUCGUCUUGCCUAUGAUGUCAUCGACGUAGGCCUCGACCGCCCGGCCAAUGUGUUCGCCGAACACAUGGUUCAUGCACCGUUGGUACGUCGCACCCGCAUUCCUCAAGCCGAACGGCAUGGUGACAUAGCAGUACAUGCCGAAGGGUGUGAUGAAAGAAGUCGCGAGCUGGUCGGACUCUUUCAUCCUGAUUUGGUGAUACCCUGAGUAGGCAUCAAGGAAAGACAGGGUUUCGCACCCAGCAGUGGAAUCCACGAUUUGGUCGAUGCGAGGCAGAGGGUAGGGAACCUUCGGACAUGCUUUGUUUAGACCAGUGUAGUCUACACACAUCCACCAUUUCCCUCCUUUUUUUCUCACAAGCACAGGGUUGGCAAGCCAUUCGGGAUGGAAUACCUCUUUGAUGAACCCUGCCGCCAUUAGCUUGUGGAUCUCCUCGCCUAUGGCUCUGCGCUUUUCUUCGUCGAAUCGGCGCAGAGGCUGCUUCACGGGUCGGGCUCCAGCUCGGAUAUCCAGCGAGUGCUCGGCGACAUCCCUCGGUAUGCCGGGCAUGUCCGAGGGACUCCACGCGAAAACGUCGACGUUCGCGCGGAGAAAGUCGACGAGCACUGCUUCCUAUUUGGGAUCGAGCUUGGAGCCGAUCCGGAUCUGCUUGGAGGCGUCGCCGCUGGGGUCGAGGGGGGCGGACUUAACCGUCUCCGCUGGCUCGAAGUUGCCGGCGUGGCGCUUCACGUCUGGCACCUCCUUAGAGAGGCUCUCCAGGUCGGCGAUGAGGGCCUCGGAUUCGCGAGGGCCUCGACGUACUCCACGCACUCCACGUCGCAUUCGAACGCGUGUCGGUAUGUGGGGCCGACGGUGAUGACCCCGUUGGGGCCCGACAUCUUGAGCUUGAGGUAGGUGUAGUUGGGGACGGCCAUGAACUUCGCGUAGCAUGGCCUCCCCAGUACUGCGUGGUAGGUUCCUCGGAACCCGACCACCUCGAACGUGAGGGUCUCCCUUCGGAAGUUGGAGGGCAUCCCAAAGCAGACGGGAAGAUCGAGUUGUCCGAGGGGCUGGACGCGCUUCCCGGGGAUGAUCCCGUGGAAAGGCGCAGCGCCUGCCCGGACCGAAGACAGAUCAACACGCAGGAGCCCGAGGGUCUCGGUGUAGAUGAUGUUGAGGCUGCUGCCUCCGUCCAUGAGGACCUUGGUGAGCCUUACGUCGCCGAUGACGGGGUCGACAACGAGCGGGUAUUUCCUCGGGCUCGGCACGCGGUCGGGGUGGUUGGCUUGGUCGAAGGUGAUGGGCUUGUCGGACCAGUCUAGGUAGACUGGCGCCGCCACCUUUACCGAACAGACCUCCCGACGCUCUUGCUUGCGGUGCCGAGCCGAGGCGUUCGCCGCUUGCCCACCGUAGAUCAUGAAGCAGUCGCGGACCUCGGGGAACUCUCCUGCCUGGUGAUCUUCCUUCUUAUCGUCGUCGCGAGCCCUGCCACCCUCCGCGGGUGGCCCGGCCUUGUGAAAGUGGCGCCGAAGCAUGGCGCACUCCUCAAGGGUGUGCUUGACGGGCCCCUGAUGAUAGGGGCACGGCUCCUUGAGCAUCUUGUCGAAGAGGUUGGCACCUCCGGGGGGUUUCCGAGGGUUCUUGUACUCGGCGGCGGCGACAAGGUCCGCGUCGGCGGCGUCGCGUUUCGCUUGCGACUUCUUCUUGCCUUUCUUCUUGGCGACGCGCUGAGUUGACGCCUCGGGGGCAUCUUCCGGUGGGCGGCCCUGGGGCUGCUUGUCCUUCCGAAAGAUAGCCUCAACCGCCUCCUGGCUAGAGGCGAACUUGGUGGUGAUGUCCAUCAGCUCGCUCGCCCUGGUGGGGGUCUUGCGACCCAGCUUGCUCACCAGGUCGCGGUAGGUGGUGCCAGCGAGGAACGCGCUGAUGACAUCUGAAUCAGUGAUGUUGAGCAGCUCGGUGCGCUGCUUCGAGAAUCGCCGGAUGUAGUCCCGGUGAGACUCUCCCGGCUGCUGUCGGCAGCUUUGGAGGUCCUAGGAGUUUCCAGGGCGCACGUACGUGCCCUGGAAAUUGCCGGCGAAGGCUUGGACCAGGUCGUCCCAGUUGGAGAUCUGCCCCAGAGGCAGGUGCUCCAACCAGGCGCGAGCGGUGUCGGAGAGGAACAGGGGGAGGUUGCGGAUGAUGGGGUUUCAUCGUCCGUUCCACCUAGUUGGCAGGCCAGCCGGUAGUCUGCGAGCCACAAUUCUGGUCUCGUCUCCCCCGAGUACUUUGUGAUAGUAGUCGGGGUUCGGAACCGGGUCGGGAACGGCGCCCGUCGUAUGGCGCGGCUAAAAGCCUGCGGACCGGGUGGUUCGGGCAAGGGACUCCGAUCCUCCCCGCUGUCGUAGCGUCCCCCACGCCUGGGGUGGUAGCCUCGGCGCACCCUCUCGUCGAGGUGGGCCCGACGGUUGCGGUGAUGGUGCUCGUUGCCGAGGCGACCCGGGGCCACAGGCGCUGUGUUGCGCGUGCGCCCGGUGUGGACCGAGGCUUCCCGCAUGAAUCGGGAAGUUGCGGCGCGAUGUUUCGAGGGGUACCCCUGCCUUCGGGAGGCGGAGCUUUCGGCCCGUCGGACCGCGGCGUCUUCUUGAGCUCUCCCUGGAUACGCCGCCCCUCGGUGGUUGAUGGCUCCGGCAUCGCGCGGAGGAGCAUUGCCGCUGCAGCCAGGUUCUGGCCGACUCCACUAGAAGCGGGUGGCGGCCUCAUCCUGACAUCGUCGGCGAUGCGGUGCUGGAAGACCUGGGGGAGAUGACGCACUUCUCCGGCCGGAGGUUGGCCCGCCCAAUCCUGCCCGACGUCCCGGCGGAUCGGCUCAAGUGUGCCUGCUCCCUCGUUGAGCCUGGCCUGCACCCCGCGGAUUUGCUCGAGCUGUGGGUCAUGACCCCCCGCCGGAACAGGGACCACAGCUAGCUCCCGUAGGAUGUCAACGCGAGGCACAGGCCUAGGGAGGUCACCGUUUUCUGGCAUACCAAGAUGGUUGCCUUCGGAGGGACCCCCUAGAUCGACGUGGAAACAUUCACUACUUGGGCCGCAGUCCUCAUCGCCGAGGCUGCGGCUACCGUCGGAACAGUCGGAAAGGCAGUAGUCACACGCGGUCAUAAAGUCCCGCAUGGCACUGGGGUCACCAAGUCCGGAGAAAUCCCAACAGAAGUCGGCCUCGUCAUCUUCCUCGGACCCCGAGGGUCCGUAGGUCAAGACGUCCGUCAGCCGGUCCCAGGGUGACCGCAUACGAUACCCUAGAGGGUUUGGACUCGCCUCUACGAGAGCGCCCACAAAAGCGAAGUCGCUUGGCGGGUCGAGGCUGAAUCCGAAAGGCGUGAGAUGGGAAUCGGUGGGUACCUCUUGGUCGACGGGCGGUGACGAAGUCACGUCAGGGACUGACUGCACCGUCGUCUCAGGUACGAGGGUGACGCCCAGCAAGUCCUUCGCGAGCGUGCUGGCGUCAUCCGUUUGCUUGGGAUUGGCGUGUUGCGGGGAGAGGGCGCUCGUCUUCGUCUCAGACGCGGGGUCGAUGCCCGACGUGCCCCCCGUUGGGGCGCCGGUGUAACACCCGGUUUUAAGGAACAAAGCCGGGUGUAUCUCAUACAUGCGCCAAGAAGACAACAUAUAUAAUAACAGAGUGUAUAGAGAUAAAUGUCACAAUAACAUCAAAGUAUUCAUUACAUAGCGGAAGACUUAUUACAAAAUAAGGAAUAACCAUAAAACAAACUAAGGAUCGUUGGCGCCAAUGUCAACUGAGAAACGCCACCUAGAUCAGAUCAUACUCCUCGCCUUGUGGCUCCUCCUGAACCACCUGUUCUUCUCCUGUGGGGGGUGUGAGACAGCAAGAGUGAGCUCACAUACGUUCAUCGCUCAACAAGUUGUGGGGAAUAAUGUGGCAUGAACUCACCAAAGGUGGGAGUUCAUGAAGUGUAAGGCUGAUCAAUGAAAUAAAGGCUGAGGCUGAGCAUUGCUUUUAUAAGUUGGUCAAAAUUUUAUUAGCAAUUACUAAGUGUAAGUAAAUACCAAUCCUUAAUAAUAAUAAAGGAAAGUAAUAGUAAAAUAAUCCUAAAUGCGAUGCAAAUGUCAAAUUAAAUUUAAGUUCCAUAAAUUAAUCAUGUGAGGGUCCGAGCCGCUCAUGACCGUGAGCACGGCUAGUAUACCAGUUUUACACUCUGCAGAGGUUGCGCAUCUUUACCCACAAGUCAUGUUACCCAUCUGCCAAGAGAUGGCCAAUCCCAUACACCUCUACCGAGGAGGCGAGGCAGGGUAACACUACGAGGCCUUUACAAAGUUCCACUAGCUUCAGAAAUCCCGCUACAGUUUAUAGGAAGCUCCAGUGCAGGGUUCUUGCCUGACCGCCAUCGCAGCAAAAUCAACCAAGGACCUCCCUACACUGACCACUCCCCUACUGCCCUUGCCCCUUUCGGGUAAGGAAGACCUCCACUAGCUUUCCUAGUUAAUCAGCCAAGGGCGUCCCAUUAUACCCUUGUGGUAGCACUGUUUUCCCGGGUGGUCGCUCCAUGUUCCCAUUAACAUAAUGAUCUUAACAUGAACAGUAAUAAUAAAAUAGAAUAAAAGAGUAAUUAUGAAUAAAGUAUCUUCAUACCCAAAUCCACAUAAAGCAAUAGCAGGUACUACCCAAAGAAAUAUUUCAGUGGUAAACAAGGUAUAAAGAUAGCCAAAACUAGGGUAACCUAUUGGGUCCCAUCAAAAUUAUCCUAUGCAGAUCAUUAUAAUUAAUAAGAACAUGGCUGGGAAAAAGUAAGUGAUCAAGGGCACAACUUGCCUUCAAUGAGCUCCUGCUCAGCUAUCUCUACUUGUUGAACCUCAGUUUCCACAGUGGCUUGCUCGUCUAUUCGCAUCAACACAAUACAUACAUAGUAUAGCCAAAAUCAACAUCACACCAAACAGAUGAAUAAAAUAUACAGUAAAAAUCUACACAUUAAAAUGAAAUCAUAGGAACUGGAAUCACUAAAUUUGGAGUUAUAGAUUUCAAGUUAUGGAUUUCCUAAGAUUUAAUGUGUUUGAAAUAGGGUUAAAUGAUAAAUAUUUUUUUCUAACAAGUUCAUGUCAAAACAGAGACACUAAAUGGUAGAGAAUAUUAUUACAAAAUUUUAGAAAUUGGAAUGGCUCAAUUUGGACUAAAAAUGGAUUUUCUAUGAUUUAUACAAGUUCUAGGGUUUAUUUUCAUAUUAAAAAUCCAAUUUCUAAUUCAUUUAAUUGUUUUAAAACAGUUCUGGAUCGGGCCUCAAUUACUGGUAAGUUCAGGGGCUAUGGCGUAAAUUUUCCGAGACUCAGUGAAUAAAGUUCUGUGGAUGGCGGGUUAAUUUGUUAAAAGGUGAGGGGUUCUUUAAUAAAUCUGACCCGCGAAGGGGUAUUGGUGAAUCUGAGCCGUUCGUUCAAAUCUGGGCGCACAGGAUUAGAUCCCAUACGCACCGAACCGGUAUGCAGUGAGGACCGCGCGAUCGACUAUCUACGGCCUAGAUUUAAUACGGCGAAGGGUUAUGGGAUAACCCAAUCGCGACCGUCGAUCCAAACGCUUGCGGCCCAGAUCCAAUGCCCAACACGGCCACACUAAGGCUCACUCGGAGCCGUUCAUCAAUAGAUGGACGCUCACCCUUCCCCCCCCCAAACACCAGUAGCUGAGCGCGGCGGCGCCCAAGCUACACGGCGGCGCAUCACCGGCGCAGAAGCGGCCCAGCGGUCGAGUGCUAGAUCCACCCCGCGCAUGGUGAUUCAGAGCGAGAUCACAAGGGUGACACAACUCGGUUCUCUGCUAAGGUGAUUGAUGGAGCAGAAUGCUCCACCCACAAUGGCGGACGACGCCGAACCCGAGCCAUGGCCGACCAUCACCCACAUUUAGAAAUUCCGUCCCUAAUUCGCAACUAACGUAUAAUUUGCAGAGAAGAGGAGUGGGCGAACCAUACCGAGGGUGUUCUUACCGGAGUUAGGGCGAUUGUGAUAGGCGAGCGGCGGGGCAAGGCGGAACCGGGGCGGAGUACCUCUCCGGUGAGAGAUUCACAACGCCACCAUUGUCCACUGCGCAAUUACUUGCCGGUACCAACUCCGCCACGCUCCAACACCCACCAGCGUGCCCGAAAUGACCGAGGCACCCCACCGUUAGACGCCCGCGGCGAUUCUCUCGUCAACACAAAGCUCAGCGGACACUGCAAUGGCGGACGAUUCUAGAAGAGGUGGAGGGUUGCGGCGCGAUUUGGUUUGGGUGGAGGAUGAUGUGAGGGAUGGUUUAAUACGGCCGCGCAUGGUAGCCAGGUAGAGGGGAAACGGUUGAGUUGGAGCAUGCGGCGGCGGAGAAGUCGGCCGCGCAGUGCGGGCUGAUUCGUUUUCGGCCGGAUAACAGGGACACACCCGACAUGCGGGGGCCACACACCAGUGUAACAGACACGCGCGGGAGCGGAUGACCGGUGUGGCCCACAGGUCAGCAGCACGGCGCGCGCGACGACUGGCCAGCGAGGUUGAGGGAGCGCGGUGAUGGGCUGGGCAGGAGCAAAAUGGAAGUGGGCCAAAUUCGGAGUUGGCGGCACACUUAGCUAGUUUUCCUUUUUCUUUUUAUUUUCUGUUUCAUUUCGUUUUUAAAUCUCCAUUUUGAAUUCAAACUUGUUUGUGAGCUUCAUAACUGAGUUAAGUACCUAAAUUAAAAUAUUAGUAGGAACAAAAUGUAUUCUUUCAUAUAUUUAUUUUCCUCUAUUUUGUAUAAUCUCUCCCUUCUCUCUUUUCUUAAUUCUAGGAUUAUUUUAGGAUUUAAAUCCCCAUUUGGAUAUUUAACAUAUUUCUUUUUUGCAUUAUUAUAAUAUUGUCACAAAAAUGCACACACAAAUAAAAUAUUCAGCAUGAUGCAAUGAUUUAGUAGCAUAUCUCUUUAUUAAUUGUUUUUGGACAUGGUGUUCACAUAUGAUGAUGCAUAAAGAUCAAACUCACAUAAAGAGAAAUUGUUUCUCUAUUGGUAUUAUCUCUAACAAUUUACAAAGUGGGUGUUACAAAUCCUACCCCCCUUAAAAAUAAUCUCGUCCUCGAGAUUUAGGAAGAUCUAGGGAAAAGGUGGGGAAAAUCUAUACGAAGCUCUUCUUCUCUUUCCCAAGUUGCUUCAUCUUCACCGUGGUGGCUCCAUUGCACUUUGCACAUCUUUAUAACCUUAUUCCUCGUAACCUGAGUCAAAGUAUCCAAAAUCUUGAUCGGGUACUCCGUAUAAGUCAAAUCUCCUUGAACACGGAGUUCUUCCAUUGGUAAUUGUUCCUCAGGGACACGAAGACACUUCUUAAGUCAAGACACAUGAAACACAUUAUACACAUCAGAUAGAUCAUCAGGUAGCUCGAGUUGAUAGGCCAUCUCUCCAACUCGCCUAAAGAACUCAAAAUGGUCCAAUAUAGUGAGGGGACAACUUUCCUUUGACUUUAAACCUUCUCAUACCCCGGAGUGGUGACAUCUUGAGGUGCACAUAAUCUCCUUCCUCAAAUUCCAGUGGUCUUCUUCUGUUAUCAGCGUAGCUCUUUUGCCUGGUCUGAGCUACCCUCAAAUUCUCUCGAAUUAUACGAACUUGUUCUUCUGCCUCUUGAAAAAGUUCAGGUCUAAAGAUUUGUUUUCCUCUAGUCUGAUCCAAUAUAGAGGAGUCCUGCAUUUCCUGCCAUAUAGAGCCUCGAACGGUGACAUCUUCAGACUGGCCUGUUAUCUAUUAUAUGAGAACUCAGCAUAAGGUAGACUCUUGUCCCAACUACUACCAUGCUGAAGGGCACAAGCUCUCAACAUGUCUUUCAAUACUUGAUUAGUCCUUUUAGUUUGUCCAUCAGUAUGAGGUAGGCCAAACUAAAAUUCAACUUCGCAUCCAUAUUCUCAUGAAAACUUAUCCAAAAUCUGGGGGUAAACUGUGAUUCUUUAUCCAAAACAAUCUUCUUCGGUACAUCGUGUAGAGACAUAAUCCGAGCCAUAUAUAACUCUGCCAAUUGAGAUACCUUAUAAGUAGUCUUGACCGGAAUGAAAUAAGCCACUUUGGUCAGUCUAUCCACAAUAACCCAUAUAGCAUCAUAUCCUUUCGAGGUGCGAGGCAAUCCAGUAAUGAAAUUCAUACCAAUCUCUUCCCACUUCCACUCGGGUAUCUUCAGUGGAUGUAACAAUCCAGCUGGCCUCUGGUGUUCAGCCUUAACUCUCUGACAUACAUCGCACAUAGCCACAUGUGCAGCCACAUCUCUUUUCAAUCCAUACCACCAAUACUUCCGCUUCAAAUCCUGAUACAUCUUAGUACUACCAGGAUGAAUAGAAUAAUUCGAGUCAUGGGCUUCCUUUAGUAUAGUCUCUCGAAGGCUUUCAAUAUCACGAACACAUACCUUGUCCUUGAUCCAUAUGGUGCCUUGCUCAUCCUCUAUAAACUCUGGACAUCUACCUUCCGUAAUAAGAUCCUUGAUCUCUUGUAACCUAGCAUCGCCAGCCUGUCCUUUGCGGAUUUCUUGCUCCAAGGUAGGUUCCACAUCAAUAAUAACUCCUUUAGUGUGAGCAACUAUCCCUAGGUUAAUUCUCUUGAAAUCCUCAACAAUCUCAUUAGGUAGCUCAGCCACAAUAGCUGAAUGAAUGUGUUCCUUUCGACUCAAGGCAUUUGCAACUAAUUUGCCUUGCCCGGAUGAUAGUGAAUCUCCAAAUCAUAAUCCUUAAUAAGCUCCAACCAACGACGUUGCCUAAGGUUGAGAUCCUUCUAAAUGAAUAUAUACUUCAAACUCUUAUAAUCCGUGUAUACUUGACACUUGGUUCCCAUGACAUAAUGUCUCCAAAUCUUAAGCGCAUGCACAACGGCUACCAGUUUUAAGUCUUGAGUGGGGUAGUUCAAUUCGUGUUUCCGCAAUUGACGAGACGCGUAGGCGAUCACAUGUCCUUCUUGCAUGAGCACACAUCCUAAGUCUUGGCCACAUGCAUCACAAUAGAUAUCAAAUCAUUUCUGUAGGUCUGGCAUAACCAGUACUGGAGGCGACAUCAAUCUUUUCUUCAAUUGGUCAAAGCUGUCUUGGCACUUCUCGUCCCACUUGAAUUCUCUUCCUUUCUCCAAAAGCGAUGUCAUAGGCUUAGCAAUCUUAGAGAACCCUUCAAUAAAUCUCCGAUAAUAUCCUGCGAGUCCCAAGAAACUCCGAAUCUCAGUAACUGUAGUGGGCACUCUCCACUCCAUUAUCUCCUUCACUUUAGCAGGAUCCACUGCUAUUCCUCAAUUAGAAAUAAUAUGACCAAGGAAUGGCACCUUGUCAAUCCAAAACUCGCACUUGCUGAACUUAGCGUAGAGUUGAUUAUCUCGUAACUUUUGUAGCACCAACCUUAGAUGUUGUUCAUGAUCACUUUCAUUCUUAGAAUAGAUAAGAAUAUCGUGAUGAAUACCACGACGAAUCUGUCCAAAUACUCCAUAAACACCUUAUUCAUCAAAUUCAUGAAGUAAGCUAGUGCAUUGGUUAAUCCAAAUGACAUAAAAGUGAACUCAUAUAAACCAUAUCGGGUCGAGAAAGCCGUCUUAGAAAUAUCUGAUGGUCUAAUCUUCAUUUGAUGGUAUCCCGAUCGGAGAUCAAUCUUCGAGAAUACCCUAGCACCUCUCAUUUGAUCAAAUAAAUUCUCAAUGCGGUGCAACGGAUACUUGUUCUUCAUGAUAACAUCAUUAAGAGAUCUAUAAUCCACACACAUCCGCUGUGAUCCGUCCUUCUUUUGUACAAACAGAACCGGCGCUCCCCCAAGGUGAGGAAUUCGAACGAAUGUACGCAGACUCUUGUAACUCCUCUGGAAAGACAUCCAAAAAAAAUCCCUAACUUCACGGAUGUUGCCACCCACAAACUUCUCAUCUACUAAGAAUGCUGCUAAUCUAGUGGCGGUAGUUACUGCAACUUCAACUUCAAACCUUUCUUCUUUGGGACUGGUGAGUUCUACGGUUCACUUAGCAUAGUGUAUAUACUGCCUUUGCCUUUCUUAACCAUGACAUACCAAGGAUCAUGUCUAUAGUGCUCUCUUCUAACACUAUAGGGGUAGCCCAUCUGGGUUAGAAACACAGGGUACGAAAGAAUGGAUUGUAGACAAGGCGAGUAAUUACGAGACAUGUUACUGCGGGGGAUUUAUUAGCUAAGUAGAUUAGUGUGUUAUCCACUAAAGCUAAUACAUUACCUUAUGGUGGUACAUGCAAAGAUGCCCAACUAUAAUGUUGCAAUCAACCAAAGAAGCAAAUCAAACAUUUAUCAUCAGAACAAUCAACCAACUUUUUUUAAUAGGGAAAAUAGUUUUAAUUUUGUCUUGGGUUUCCUAUCUCAAAAAAAAUUCAUAAAGGUAGGAUUCCAAGGUGUGAAAUCCAUCUUGUCUUGAAGUAGAAAAGGUAAGAAUCAUCAGAGUAGAACAGUAGAAGGUGAGACAGGAUCAAGAUAAGUAUAGAGAGAAUCAGAGUAAGGUAAGUAUAGAAUGAAUCAGAAGAAGGUAAGUAGGGAAGAGUUUUGUCCAUUUCUAUCUAGGUUUCGUCCUACAGUCAACAUUUCCUCUGAUACCACUUCUGUAACACCCGGUUUUAAGGAACAAAGCCGGGUGUAUCUCAUACAUGCGCCAAGAAGACAACAUAUAUAAUAACAGAGUGUAUAGAGAUAAAUGUCACAAUAACAUCAGAGUAAUUAUUACAUAGCGGAAGACUUAUUACAAAAUAAGGAAUAACCAUAAAACGAACUAAGGAUCGUCGGCGCCAAUGUCAACUGAGAAACACCACCUAGAUCAGAUCAAACUCCUCGCCUUGAGGCUCCUCCUGAACCACCUGUUCUUCUCCUGUGGGGGGUGUGAGACAGCAAGAGUGAGCUCACAUACGUUCAUCGCUCAACAAGUUGUGGGGAAUAAUGUGGCAUGAACUCACCAAAGGUGGGAGUUCAUGAAGUGUAAGGCUGAUCAAUGAAAUAAAGGCUGAGGCUGAGCAUUGCUUUUAUAAGUUGGUCAAAAUUUUAUUAGCAAUUACUAAGUGUAAGUAAAUACCAAUCCUUAAUAAUAAUAAAGGAAAGUAAUAGUAAAAUAAUCCCAAAUGCGAUGCAAAUGUCAAAUUAAAUUUAAGUUCCAUAAAUUAAUCAUGUGAGGGUCCGAGCCGCUCAUGACCGUGAGCACUGCUAGUAUACCAGUUUUACACUCUACAGAGGUUGCGCAUCUUUACCCACAAGUCAUGUUACCCAUCUGCCAAGAGAUGGCCAAUCCCAUACACCUCUACCGAGGAGGCGAGGCAGGGUAACACUACGAGGCCUUUACAAAGUUCCACUAGCUUCAGAAAUCCCGCUACAGUUUAUAGGAAGCUCCAGUGCAGGGUUCUUGCCUGACCGCCAUCGCAGCAAAAUCAACCAAGGACCUCCCUACACUGACCACUCCCCUACUGCCCUUGCCCCUUUCGGGUAAGGAAGACCUCCACUAGCUUUCCUAGUUAAUCAGCCAAGGGCGUCCCAUUAUACACUUGUGGUAGCACUGUUUUCCCGGGUGGUCGCUCCAUAUUCCCAUUAACAUAAUGAUCUUAACAUGAACAGUAAUAAUAAAAUAGAAUAAAAGAGUAAUUAUGAAUAAAGUAUCUUCAUACCCAAAUCCACAUAAAGCAAUAGCAGGUACUACCCAAAGAAAUAUUUCAGUGGUAAACAAGGUAUAAAGAUAGCCAAAACUAGGGUAACCUAUUGGGUCCCAUCAAAAUUAUCCUAUGCAGAUCAUUAUAAUUAAUAAGAACAUGGCUGGGAAAAAGUAAGUGAUCAAGGGCACAACUUGCCUUCAAUGAGCUCCUGCUCAGCUAUCUCUACUUGUUGAACCUCAGUUUCCACAGUGGCUUGCUCGUCUAUUCGCAUCAACACAAUACAUACAUAGUAUAGCCAAAAUCAACAUCACACCAAACAGAUGAAUAAAAUAUACAGUAAAAAUCUACACAUUAAAAUGAAAUCAUACGAACUGGAAUCACUAAAUUUGGAGUUAUAGAUUUCAAGUUAUGGAUUUCCUAAGAUUUAAUGUGUUUGAAAUAGGGUUAAAUGAUAAAUAUUUUUUUCUAACAAGUUCAUGUCAAAACAGAGACACUAAAUGGUAGAGAAUAUUAUUACAAAAUUUUAGAAAUUGGAAUGGCUCAAUUUGGACUAAAAAUGGAUUUUCUAUGAUUUAUACAAGUUCUAGGGUUUAUUUUCAUAUUAAAAAUCCAAUUUCUAAUUCAUUUAAUUGUUUUAAAACAGUUCUGGAUCGGGCCUCAAUUACUGGUAAGUUCAGGGGCUAUGGCGUAAAUUUUCCGAGACUCAGUGAAUAAAGUUCUGUGGAUGGCGGGUUAAUUUGUUAAAAGGUGAGGGGUUCUUUAAUAAAUCUGACCCGCGAAGGGGUAUUGGUGAAUCUGAGCCGUUCGUUCAAAUCUGGGCGCACAGGAUUAGAUCCCAUACGCACCGAACCGGUAUGCAGUGAGGACCGCGCGAUCGACUAUCUACGGCCUAGAUUUAAUACGGCGAAGGGUUAUGGGAUAACCCAAUCGCGACCGUCGAUCCAAACGCUUGCGGCCCAGAUCCAAUGCCCAACACGGCCACACUAAGGCUCACUCGGAGCCGUUCAUCAAUAGAUGGAUGCUCACCCUUCCCCCCCCCCCAAACACCAGUAGCUGAGCGCGGCGGCGCCCAAGCUACACGGCGGCGCAUCACCGGCGCAGAAGCGGCCCAGCGGUCCGAGUGCUAGAUCCACCCCGCGCAUGGUGAUUCAGAGUGAGAUCACAAGGGUGACACAACUCGGUUCUCUGCUAAGGUGAUUGAUGGAGCAGAAUGCUCCACCCACAAUGGCGGACGACGCCGAACCCGAGCCAUGGCCGACCAUCACCCACAUUUAGAAAUUCCGCCCCCAAUUCGCAACUAACGUAUAAUUUGCAGAGAAGAGGAGUGGGCGAACCAUACCGAGGUUGUUCUUACCGGAGUUAGGGCGAUUGUGAUAGGCGAGCGGCGGGGCAAGGCGGAACCGGGGCGGAGUACCUCUCCGGUGAGAGAUUCACAACGCCACCAUUGUCCACUGCGCAAUUACUUGCCGGUACCAACUCCGCCACGCUCCAACACCCACGAGCAUGCCCGAAAUCGACCGAGGCACCCCACCGUUAGACGCCCGCGGCGAUUCUCUCGUCAACACAAAGCUCAGCGGACACUGCAAUGGCGAACGGUUCUAGAAGAGGUGGAGGGUUGCGGCGCGACUUGGUUUGGGUGGAGGAUGAUGUGAGGGAUGGUUUAAUACGGCCGCGCAUGGUAGCCAGGUAGAGGGGAAACAGUUGAGUUGGAGCAUGCGGCGGCGGAGAAGUUGUCACACCCGGAUUUUAGGGAUCCAAAACCCGGGCGCGAACAUAAUCACCAGGUGUGCUGGGACCAAGUCUCACACAUAUGAUGAUUCAUGGCACAGGAUCGAAUGUCACAUCUUUACUAUAUAACAGGAGUUCUAUACAAAAUGAAUAAAUAAUUACAUCAAAAGGAGACAACGGUCCAGCAACCCAAAGUUGACUGGGAGACGACGACCUAGACCUCUCACGAACACAUCGCAGCAUCCUCCAUGCGCCUCAUCCUGUGGUACCUGUUCUUGACCUGUGGGGGUGUGAGACAGCAAGAGUGAGCUCACAUACGUUCAUCGCUCAACAAGUUGUGGGGAAUAAGGUAUAUGAACUCGCCAAAGGUGGGAGCUCAUGUGAAGUGUAAGGCUUACCAAAGAGAAUGGUUAGAGCUGAGCAUUGCUUUUAAAGUUGGUCAAAAUUUUAUUAGCAAUUACUAAGUAUAAGUAAAUACCAACCCAAUUAAGUAGUAGAGCAAAAGUAACAACAUCACCUGCGAUGCAAUGCAUAUGACAAAUUGAAUUUAGUUCCAUAAAUUAAUCAUGUGAGGGUCCGAGCUGCUCAUGACCGUGAGCACGGCUAGUAUACCAGUUUUACACUCUGCAGAGGUUGCGCAUCUUUACCCACAAGUCAUGUUACCCAUCUGCCAAGGGAUCGCGACUUCCCAUACACCUCUACCGAGGAGGCGAGGCAGGGUAACACUACGAGGCCUUUACAAAGUUCCACUAGCUUCAGAAAACCCGCUACAGUUUAUAGGAAGCUCCAAUGCAGGAAUCCCUUGCAGGACCGCCAUCGCAGCAAAAUCCUCCCGAGGGCCUCCCUACACUGACCACUCCCCUACUGCCCUUGCCCCUUUCGGGUAAGGUAGUCUUCCACUAGCUUUCCUAAUUAAUCAGCCAAGGGGUCCCAUUCCUCCCUUGUGGUAGCACUGUUUUCCCGGGUGGUCGCUCCAUGUUCCAAUUAACAUAAUGAUCUUAUCAUGAACAGUGAUAAUAAACAGAUAAUAAAAUGUGAUCAUGAAUAAUGUAUCUUUAUACCCAAAACCACAUAAAGCACUAGCAAGUACUACCCAAAAAGUUCAGUGGUAAACAAGGUAUAAAGAUAAUCAAACUAGGGUAACCUAUUGGGUCCCAUCAAAAUUAACCUAUGCAGAUCAUUAUGAUUAAUUAGAACAUGAGUGGGUAAAAAGAAGUGAUCAAGGGCACAACUUGCCUGGGCCUUGAGAAUCCAGGUACCAGGAUGAUCCUUAGGUGACUCGUGACCUCACGCUAGUCGUAGCAAUACGAACAAGCAGUGUAUAGGCAAAAUUAACAUCACACCAAACAUGUAAACAAAAUACAUAAUAAUAAUCUACACAUUAAAAUAAAAUUCUAGGAACAGAAAUCAUCAAUUUUGGAGUUACAGAUUCUAAGUUAUGAAUUUCUGAAGUUAAUAAGCAUCUAGAAUAAAUUAAUCCAAAUGAAUAAUUUUAAUUUAAGUUUUAUGGUUAAACAAUGUUACUAAUUGAUAGACAAUGUUAAUGCAAAAUUAUUGCAACAGGAAUUACUCAAUUUGGAGUUAAAAUGAAUUAACUAUGAAUUUCACAAGUUUUUGGCAUUUAUUCUCACAUUAAAAAUCAUUUUCUGAUAUUAUUUAUUCAAUUCCUAUGACCUCUGGACUGCGCGCAUAUUAAACAGAAACGAAGGGGGCUCGGUGCAAGAAGUCCUAAGACUCAGUGCACAACAGAACGGGACGGCGGGUUGAUUACGAAAAAGGGCAGGGGCUCUUUAGAAAAACGACCAGGGCCGAAGGGGUAUCUUUAAUUUCCAGCCGUCUGAUCAGAAUCCCACGAUCCAGAUUAGAUCCGGGCCUAAGUGAACCGGUAUGACAUCCGGCCCUUUGGAUCCGGAAUCGAUGGUAGCGAUUCAAAAUAGCGAAACUCGAUACGGAUCGUGGAUUCGAAGAUCAACGACACAGAUUAAAUGACGCGAAGCGGUAUGGGAGUCCUGAUCCGGGUCGUCCAUCUUCGCAUCAACGGCCGACAGCACUCUUCCACACGCCCGUCCCCCAAACGUUGGUCAGCGGCGGCGCUGGCAAACCGCGCGGCGGCGCUCGCCGACGAGCAGCGCAUCCAGGGUUACAGAGCCCAAAUCCUAGAAUAGAUUGGCGCAAAACGUAGAGGGGCAGCUAGCGGAGUUAUCCGGUGGACACAUACCGGCGAUUGAAGAAGUCGCGAGCCUGCCCACGGAGGAGAGCGGAUCCGCGACGGAGAUCGAACCACGGCGAGCAAUUCGAGUCGCCCCAAGGCCACGCAGUUCAAAUUGAAGGCGCGGACAGCUUCACGGGUCCCCGGAGAACGCCCCCACCCGCACGCGCGGACCCGUGCGCGAGCACAGAGGAGAAUCACCGGCGACGGCUGUUGGCGAGAUGGUCUGCGCGGCGCGUUGCCGUGCAUGAUGGGGUCUCAUGUCCAGUUCUUAUGGCCGACCGCGAGCGUGGGUAGGCACAUGCCCCGCGAUUUCUUCGGGCAGCGGCGCCGGUCAAUCCGCGCGGACCGCGGACUCCGUUGGCGGCGCGCCCACCAAGCUCGGAGCGGUCUGUUACGAGAGGUGGAAGACAUCUGCCAUGCGGGUCCCGCUAGUAAGAGACAGUGCGCGCGCAAGGUGACUGCCGGUGGACCCCACGCGUCAGCGGAAGGGAAGAUGGCUGGUGAGCGCGUGCGUGACUGUCAUGUAGGGCCCGCCUGUCGGCGCCAUCACCAGGAGCUGGGCCGCGCGGGAGGUUAAGGGUUAAUGGGCCAGAACUGAGGCUGUCGGCCCAUGAAGGUCUUCUAUUCUUUUUUUUUCUUUUUAUCUUUUCUCCCUAUAUUUCAAACUCUAGUAGUUGAAUUUCAAAUUUGUUUGUGAUUUCAAACCCAGGUUAAAUUCCCAAAUAAUGUUCCAGAGGAAGAAUUAUAAGCACUCAUAUAUAUUUUUCUUUGCAUAUUAUUUUCCUUGUUAUUUACUCAUGGAAGGAAUUCCUUUCUAUUUUCUCUUCUAUGUUUUCAUUUGAAAUUUUGAGGUCAAGUUUAAACUAUGAUUCUUUAUUCCAAUAAAAUGUAUCACAACAAUUUCUUCAGUGUGAUAUGUAUUUUUCUUUAUUUAUUUAUUGGUUAUUUAACUAUUAUUAUCUGAUUUAUGAAAAGAAAAGGAAACUAAUAAAUCUUCAAAGGUUUCAAAAGUAAAAUUCCCAAAACACUAACCUGAAUGUAUUUAUUUAUUUAUAUCAUUAUUUAUUUUUUUUCUAAUGUAAAAUUUUGGGCAUUACAAAUCCUACCCCCUUAAAAAUAAUCUCGUCCCCGAGAUUACUAAGAAGAGGAACAUAGUUAGUUGGGUUUGCUUCAAAUUGGUUACAGUACCAAUUUCCUUUUUUUCAAGUUCUUUAAUGGGUAUCUCUUAUGUCUAGCCCUCUACUUGGCAAGAUGAGAGAUGGUUAUGAUAAGAAAGACUAGGUGUAAGAAAGACUCCAUCCUUCUUGUCGAUGUGGAUCUCCUUCUUCUUGAGUCUGAUUUAGGAACCAUCGGUCUUGGUGUUAGAUACUAUCAUCCGAGUUGGGAUAACAAUUGUGGGUACAUGGGGUAGGUAGGUUAAACAGAGUUUUGCUUUGCUUUUGAGAUAAAUGGGUUGGGAAACCUAUAACAUAGGUUAGGUCGUGAUUUCACGGACGAGUUGGUCUAAGACACCAAUUUAGGUUUAAAACCCAUUUAUAGGAAUAUGGUCUAAUCUAUGUUACUAGUAUUAACGAAAUUGUUUAAGUAACUCCUUUUAGAUUAAAUCAUAUUAUAUUAGGUAGGAUCUAGAUUAGAUUGGAUAUAACUAGAUUAGACUAGUUAAGAUCUAAUUAAUUUAUUUUGGACUAGAUCAUGGUUGUUACUCUAGAGUGGGAUAUAUAUGCUUAUUAGGGCAAGAUGAAUCCAUAAGGAUAAGGUAGUAUCUUUUGAGAUCAGUUAGAUCUAUUAAAAUGAGAUAAAAUCUUUUUAAGAUAAGAUGAAUCUAUUAAGAUAAGAUGGAUCUAUGAGGCUUGAUAUAUUCUAGUGGUGGUAUUCUUAAUUUGUGCCAUCAUCUUAUAAUUUUUAUUUAUUUAUAUUUAUGUCUAUAUGUAUAUGCAGAUGUAAUUGUGGACAUUACUCCACAAUUCAUCACACUCAAUCAAAGAUCCAAAUCAAACAAGUAUCAUAAGAACAAACACUCAAGCAUACCAAUAUCUACAAAAAUAGUUUUGCUUUUGUCCCUAAGAUUAGGUCUCCUAUUCCUAAAGGUCACUUUAGGCACGGGAUUUCAAAGUGUGAAAUCCACAUUUGUCGUUAGAAUGAAAAGGUAAGAAUAUUCAGCGUAAAGCGGAAAUAGAUGAGAAUAGAUUAAGAAAAGUUUAGAAAAGAAUCAGAGUAGCAAAGGUAAGUAGAUAAUGGUUGUCCAGUUCUAUCUAGGUUUCAUCCUACAGUCAACAUUGCUCUGAUACCACUUCUGUCACACCCGGAUUUUAGGGAUCCAAAACCCGGGCGCGAACAUAAUCACCAGGUGUGCUGGGACCAAGUCUCACACAUAUGAUGAUUCAUGGCACAGGAUCGAAUGUCACAUCUUUACUAUAUAACAGGAGUUCUAUACAAAAUGAAUAAAUAAUUACAUCAAAAGGAGACAACGGUCCAGCAACCCAAAGUUGACUGGGAGACGACGACCUAGACCUCUCACGAACACAUCGCAGCAUCCUCCAUGCGCCUCAUCCUGUGGUACCUGUUCUUGACCUGUGGGGGUGUGAGACAGCAAGAGUGAGCUCACAUACGUUCAUCGCUCAACAAGUUGUGGGGAAUAAGGUAUAUGAACUCGCCAAAGGUGGGAGCUCAUGUGAAGUGUAAGGCUUACCAAAGAGAAUGGUUAGAGCUGAGCAUUGCUUUUAAAGUUGGUCAAAAUUUUAUUAGCAAUUACUAAGUAUAAGUAAAUACCAACCCAAUUAAGUAGUAGAGCAAAAGUAACAACAUCACCUGCGAUGCAAUGCAUAUGACAAAUUGAAUUUAGUUCCAUAAAUUAAUCAUGUGAGGGUCCGAGCUGCUCAUGACCGUGAGCACGGCUAGUAUACCAGUUUUACACUCUGCAGAGGUUGCGCAUCUUUACCCACAAGUCAUGUUACCCAUCUGCCAAGGGAUCGCGACUUCCCAUACACCUCUACCGAGGAGGCGAGGCAGGGUAACACUACGAGGCCUUUACAAAGUUCCACUAGCUUCAGAAAACCCGCUACAGUUUAUAGGAAGCUCCAAUGCAGGAAUCCCUUGCAGGACCGCCAUCGCAGCAAAAUCCUCCCGAGGGCCUCCCUACACUGACCACUCCCCUACUGCCCUUGCCCCUUUCGGGUAAGGUAGUCUUCCACUAGCUUUCCUAAUUAAUCAGCCAAGGGGUCCCAUUCCUCCCUUGUGGUAGCACUGUUUUCCCGGGUGGUCGCUCCAUGUUCCAAUUAACAUAAUGAUCUUAUCAUGAACAGUGAUAAUAAACAGAUAAUAAAAGUGUGAUCAUGAAUAAUGUAUCUUUAUACCCAAAACCACAUAAAGCACUAGCAAGUACUACCCAAAAAGUUCAGUGGUAAACAAGGUAUAAAGAUAAUCAAACUAGGGUAACCUAUUGGGUCCCAUCAAAAUUAACCUAUGCAGAUCAUUAUGAUUAAUUAGAACAUGAGUGGGUAAAAAGAAGUGAUCAAGGGCACAACUUGCCUGGGCCUUGAGAAUCCAGGUACCAGGAUGAUCCUUAGGUGACUCGUGACCUCACGCUAGUCGUAGCAAUACGAACAAGCAGUGUAUAGGCAAAAUUAACAUCACACCAAACAUGUAAACAAAAUACAUAAUAAUAAUCUACACAUUAAAAUAAAAUUCUAGGAACAGAAAUCAUCAAUUUUGGAGUUACAGAUUCUAAGUUAUGAAUUUCUGAAGUUAAUAAGCAUCUAGAAUAAAUUAAUCCAAAUGAAUAAUUUUAAUUUAAGUUUUAUGGUUAAACAAUGUUACUAAUUGAUAGACAAUGUUAAUGCAAAAUUAUUGCAACAGGAAUUACUCAAUUUGGAGUUAAAAUGAAUUAACUAUGAAUUUCACAAGUUUUUGGCAUUUAUUCUCACAUUAAAAAUCAUUUUCUGAUAUUAUUUAUUCAAUUCCUAUGACCUCUGGACUGCGCGCAUAUUAAACAGAAACGAAGGGGGCUCGGUGCAAGAAGUCCUAAGACUCAGUGCACAACAGAACGGGACGGCGGGUUGAUUACGAAAAAGGGCAGGGGCUCUUUAGAAAAACGACCAGGGCCGAAGGGGUAUCUUUAAUUUCCAGCCGUCUGAUCAGAAUCCCACGAUCCAGAUUAGAUCCGGGCCUAAGUGAACCGGUAUGACAUCCGGCCCUUUGGAUCCGGAAUCGAUGGUAGCGAUUCAAAAUAGCGAAACUCGAUACGGAUCGUGGAUUCGAAGAUCAACGACACAGAUUAAAUGACGCGAAGCGGUAUGGGAGUCCUGAUCCGGGUCGUCCAUCUUCGCAUCAACGGCCGACAGCACUCUUCCACACGCCCGUCCCCCAAACGUUGGUCAGCGGCGGCGCUGGCAAACCGCGCGGCGGCGCUCGCCGACGAGCAGCGCAUCCAGGGUUACAGAGCCCAAAUCCUAGAAUAGAUUGGCGCAAAACGUAGAGGGGCAGCUAGCGGAGUUAUCCGGUGGACACAUACCGGCGAUUGAAGAAGUCGCGAGCCUGCCCACGGAGGAGAGCGGAUCCGCGACGGAGAUCGAACCACGGCGAGCAAUUCGAGUCGCCCCAAGGCCACGCAGUUCAAAUUGAAGGCGCGGACAGCUUCACGGGUCCCCGGAGAACGCCCCCACCCGCACGCGCUGUCGGUGUUUUGGGUCCGACCGCACACCCGGGGUUGCCCCUCAAGGUGUUUUUAGGAGUAGGACGGUGUCAACGACUGUAGCAAAAUGGUUCGUGCCGAUCGCACGAGGGACAAUGGACAAGAUUUACAGGUUCGGGCCGCUUAGAAGUGCGUAACACCCUACGUCCUGGUGAGUAUGUGAGCGUGGUUACAAGAGGAUUCUCUGGAUAGAGGGCGCAGAGAGUCUUUGUGGGUGGCUAAGUAGAACAGGGGCGAUCGAUCUGAAGGGGUGCCCCCUAGGCCUUAUAUACUCGACCGUGGGGCAGUACAUGUGAUAUGAUAACAACAAGUAGCUAAAAGAUGGUGAACCUCUUGAGUUUAUCCCUACGUAACCUCCGCCGACUUAUCCUCGCAUGGCUCCGUUGCAUGGGGGCUUCAGCGCGGGAAAGUCGGGUCUCUGUUUAUGAUUCAUUCGUUCGACGUUGUGGGCCGCCUGUGUUUGCACUAAUCAGUCCCACGUCUUCUUUAUUGGUUGUCUUUCCCUAGGCCCACGAAAGAAUGACCUUACGAAUUAUUGGGCCCUUGGGCUUUUCGUGAGGCCUUUUACUUCUUUAGUGGACCCAGGGGAUAUCUAUCCCCCACAAGCCCCCGAUCUUUGAGUUAAUUUAGAAGUAAUCAACUCAAAGAUCCAAGGUCCCGAAAAUGACUUCCUGCUGCCUCCUCUGGCUCUGAUCACUCGUUCGACCAAAGUUUGAUUUUGUGCUUGUGCCUUAGAGGUCGGCAUUUUGGAUUGCAAGACUCUGGACUUCAUUGGGUGCACCGGAGGUGCACCCAAUGGGUGUAGCCCCCGACCUUUGAGUAGAUUUUAGAAGAUAAUCUACUCGAAGGUCUCCUUCCAAAGGUUAUCUCCAUUCGCGCUCCUGCAUCUCGGUUGAAGACUGGUCUUUUCAAUGUUGCUCUUAUGCCUUAGAAGUCGCGCCAUGUUGGUUUAGAAUAAUACUCCAUGGGGUGCACCGGAGGUGCACCCAAUGGGUGUAGCCCCCGACCUUCAAGUGGAUUUUUGAGGAUAAUCCACUCGAAGGUCUUCCUUCUGUGUCCUUUUUUUUGCUGAAAAUUAUCCUUUCUGCUUGUAAAAAAUUGGCAUGAUGUCAUCCGCGCUAUGUCAUCAGUAUUAUGCUUCAGAGGUCAGCAUGUAUUUUGUCUUUUGUAGCCGAGUUUGCAAUCCAUCCAUAUCUCGCUAGGUAGUGUAAUUUAUUUGCUCUGUGACUGAUUGGACAGUUGAUGGACGUUCUCUGUCUAGCCUUCAAGUCGCUUCUGCCGGCCAUAUCUUGUACUUUGCUGACUAUAUUUGGCUUUCCUCUGAUCUUUACUGAUAUCUCAUUUUUGUCUUGAGGUAUUCACUGCAUGCCCUGCACGGAUGUGACCGUUUUUUUUAAAAUAUACUGAUAAUUCCUGGGCGUCCCCCCCCAAUGGGUGUGGGCAAGGGACGGCUUGGUACGCUGAGUGUUUUAGCCGAUUUCCUCUGAGUAGUAAUGCGAUGGGACGGCUAGUGUAAUCAUAUCUUUUGCACUGUUGACUGGAGUCCCAAUGGGUGUAGUGUUGCAUGAAACGGCGUCCGUCGUCUGACGUGUCUUCAGGUGGGUGGAAGUGUUUUAUUGAAUGCCUUGCGACUGUUCAGUGACCGCGGUUAGAAGUGAACGGUUGCCUUUCCCUUCUAUAAAUAACCCCUUUGCUUCUCUGGUUUCUUCACAUCUCUUCGCUGCUCCUUACUUCCUCUUCCCUUUCUUCUCUCCCAAAACUUUAACCAUGGGCAAGAACAACAAGCGUAAGCGUGAGCCGACUCCUCCAUCGGAGGAGUUUGGUGACUCAGAAUACUCGGAGGAGGAGUUCUCCUCCGAGGCUGAGGGGUCCCCGGCUCCCGCCUCUCCCCCGGCGUCGUCCGAUGACUCAGACGACUCCCAGGGGAUAGCCGCGGAGGUCUGGACAUAUAUCCGGGCCGUCGAGCGCGCCGGGCUCGAAGGCUCGGAUGAGUCGGAGUGCUCCUCGGAUGAGGAGGACUCGGACGGCGGCGACGAGGGUGAAGACGACGACGACGACGACGACGACGACGACGACGGCUGGGGUGGCGGCGACGGCAGCAGGGACAGCACCAAGGGCAGCAGCAGGGGCAGCACCAAGGGCGGCGGCGGCGGCAGCAGGGACAGCACCAAGGGCAGCAGCAGGGGCAGCACCAAAGGCGGCGGCGGCGGUGGGGGCAGGGGCAGGGCCAGUGGCUAGACGCCACUGGUCUUCUUAGAUAUUAGUAUAGUUUAGUAUAGCUAGAAUAAUGUAGUAGUAAUUAGUGUAGUUUAGUAGUAGUGGUAAUGUAAAGUAGAAUUAGGGAUGUACCAACUCAUAAAGAGUUGGUUUGUAAGUUCAUCAACUUCCCUUUAAUGAAGUAUAUCGUUUUAUCCCCUCUUUUUGAUGACUUGCCACUGCUUUUGCUGAAUGCUGAACUGGUUCUUUUUGAUAUAGUAGAAACAGCGCCGAGUGAUGUGAAGAUUGACAUCAGCGUUUUAGAAGUAGCACUGAGCAAUCGAACACAAGACCAGCGUUUUAGAGGCAAUGCCGAAUGAUAGAAGGUCGGCAUCGGCAUUUUAGAAGUAAUGCCAAGCGACAAAAUACGGGGCCAGCAUUUUAGAGGCAGCGCCGAGUGAUAGAAUAUCGGCAUCAGCAUUUUAGAAGUAAUGCUGAGCGUUUGAACACGUGGUCGGCGUUUUAGAGGCAGCGUCGAGUGAUUGAAGGUCGGCGUCGGUAUUUUAGAAGUAAUGCCGAGCGAUUGAUCACGUGGUCGGCGUUUUAGAGGCAGCCCGAGUGAUAGAAUAUCGGCAUCAGCAUUUUAGAAGUAAUGCUGAGCGUUUGAACACGUGGUCGGCGUUUUAGAGGCAACGCCGAGUGAUAGCCAGCUUCUUCAAGUUUCUUUGAGGAAAAUGGCCGAGUGAUGAGGUGGCACAUCGGCUUUCUUGGAAAUAACUGUUAGAUAUCCACGUGGCAUGCUGGGAUUUCGGAGAUGACCGCCGGGUGAUGACUGGGCACUUUUGAAAAGGUAUCUGGCUCAAGAAUAUCCCUUAAGUGUCGCGCUUUCAGCCGCCUUUGCUUUCCGUGCCCUAGUUCUUGCAUUUCUGCAUCUGAGUCUUCUCUGCCACUCGCCUCCUGCUCUGUUUCGCCGCGGGAAGCAAGAUGGCGCCCAAGAGGAAGACCGCGAACUCGUCUGCUGCAGUGAUCCCCGCCAUCGAUCCCAACAGUCAGUUACCCUUCGCAGGUAACCAUAUGUCUGUGAUUUCUGAAGUUGAGCUUCUCCGCCUUGUUUCCAUCGGGGUUCUCCCUCCACGGGAACUCUGUUCUUGGCGCUCUUGCCAUGGGACUACUGUCCCAACCGAAGAUACCCACGAAUCAGUGGUUUACACUCCUUUCCUUCUUCGCGGCCUCGGCCUUCCCAUAUCUCCUUUUUUCCGUGGCAUCCUUGAUUUUUAUCACAUCAACCUGACUCACUUGAACCCUAACUCCAUUCUCCAAAUCUCUAUUUUCGUUCACCUUUGCGAAGCUUAUCUUGGCGUGCUGCCGCAUUUUGGCUUAUGGAAGUAUCUGUAUCACUGCCGUCCUGGGAUGGCCGGGGGGCAACAUCAAUUGGUCGGAGGUGCCAGCUUAGAGAUGCGUCGGGGGCGGAAAACUGAGUAUCUCGAGAUACCCCUUAAAGACAGCAUUAAAGGUUGGCGUCUGGAGUGGUUUAUAAUGGAUAAUUAUGGAAAUUCUCUCCCUUCCCGCUCGGGAAGACAGGCAGACGUUCGUACUCCGAGUUGGACUGAAUCUCCCACGGACCAAGAAGUAGCCGAAGCGGGCGUGUUGCUUACUGAAGUUGGAUUACUGAAAGAGAGAGGUCUGACUGCCGAAACCGUGGUCACAGAUUUUGUUUUCAAGAACAUUCAGCCGCUGAAGGACAGGGCCUAUCCGGCAUAUCUUUACCGAGGGCUGGCCGACUCAACCCGAGUUACCAAUAGGAGAAUUCCUUCUGUUGAUUUGGUGAGCCGACUCGAGAUGAUCCUCAGGGGUAAAGUUUCAAACGUUGGAGCUCCAGUAGCAUACUCGGCUUGGAACCUGUCUUCUCCCAAAGAUUUCACUCUUUUUGUGUCCAAUCCGCCCAUGACAGAUAACAACUUGGGUCUUAGAGUGCGACCUUCUGCUGAGGAGGUCCGUUCCUUAGUUGCUUCGCUCGGGGAGAUACCUGAUGAUGAACGGCAGAUUUAUUUUGAAGUGCCCCUGAACCCUAGUGACGCGACAUAAAUGACAUGCUCGAUCUGCUAGCUGAGGAUUCAUCUGAUACUGUUCCUGAUGGUACAUUGGCGGUGGUGCCGCUUCCAGAGGUUGAUGUGGCCUUGGACGUCUCGAAACCUGUCAGUACUCGCCCGAGGCGCCCCAGCCGAACCAGUCAGCCCGAGCCUUCUGCUGAUGAGCAGAGGAAGAAAAGAAGACGCCUCCGGCGAGUGUCUAGCUUUGAUGAGGAUGCCAGCACCUUAGUUCCUGCUGCUGAAGAAAUGACUGCAACUGGCCUAGCUGACAUUGAUCCCAAUGGGUGUGCUCCGCCUGCUGCUGACCCUAAUGAGGGGGCUGUUUGUGCUGUCGCUGUGGAAGAUGAAGAGGAAGAGAACGAAACUCCAUUAACUCGGAAAAACAGUCGGCAGUUCGUUGCUAGCGGUGGUAGUAGUGGGGUUCCUUCUCCUGCCUUGUCUGCUCUUAUUGGUCUGCAAGAACUGUCCAUGGCCAAUUUUGAUCAAGCUCUAGAGGAUAUGGUCCCUGAGAACUUGCUGUUGGAAACUGCAGACGCUGAUGCAACAGAAACUUGUGCAGCCGUGCCAGAUGCUGGGUUGAGGUCGUCCCGUGCCUCGUCGACCUUAGAGCACGAUCUCGAGGGCCGGGAUGAUGACUGGGAUCGUCCUGAUCCUGUGGAAGUAGCUGAAGGCCCGUCGACCUUAGAGGUGGUCACGGCAGAGAGCUUGGAUCCUUUGAAUAGUGCCGCCAUGUGCCCAGCCCCCGAGGGUGUUGCCGGGGAGGACUCAGCUCGGGUGAAGAGCGUAGGCCACUACCCAGCCCCCGAGGGUGUUGCCGGGGGUGACCCGGCUCAAGUGGGCAGUGCCAACCUUGACCCAGCCCCCGAGAGUGUCCGAGCGAGGUCUCCCUCCUGCACUUCCAUGGAUGUUCACGUGGGUUCACCUCCACACUCUGGCGGCAUGGUGGUGGCUCAAGCUCCAGAUCAGGGGGUCGCUUUAGAGGGCAGCAUCCCCACUGGUCUGGCGUUAGGCUCUGCUGAAUGUACUGAGCUCGUUCCUGCUGGUCUACUUCAAGCUGCUUCAGGUGGUGGUCUGACGUCUGAUUAUCAGCUGAUUUCUCCUGACUUGGGGAUCCCUUCGUUCUUUUCCAAUCUCCAGGUGCUGUGCCGUGCUUUAAUUUGAUCUCUAUGUUGCAUGAAUUGCUGUCAUUAUGCUCAUCUGUUCUUCUCGUUAGGCUUUGGUGAAUGGAUUGGCCAGUCAACUGAAAUCACAGGGUGCUUCUACCCCAGAAGUGGCGUCAUCUCUCGAGCGUUGGAAUCCAGUGUUGCUUCAUCGUCGUGUAUCUGAGUUGGAGGCCGCCAAUGCCGGUCAUUGUCCUUUCUUUUCCUUCUUUGUUUUUGUCCGUAGGUUGUUUUACCUUCUGACCUUAUUUUGUUUGAAUACCUCUUGAUAGGGAUGACUCGGCAGAUCACAGUUCUUGGAGAAAAACACUCUCAAGAUCAAGCUGAAAUGGCUCGACGAUGCGCUGAUUUCGAGGAAAAGUAUUCUCAAAGUCAAAUCGAGUUGAGUCAGGUCUCUGCGGCUUUGGAUGAUGCCAACGCUCUGAGCUCUUCUCUUCAUGUUCAGCUUAACUCUGAGAAGGUAGCUUACGGACCUGUACUUCGCCUUAUCAUGCUCUUGGAUUCUGAAUGAGUUUGAUUUUUGCUUGUAGGAAGAAAAAAGUAUCCUUGCUGCUUCUCGCGACAACUUGGACAGAUUGUACCGAGAUUCCAGUAGCUCGCUGACCAUCUUGGAGAGGAGCCACCGCUUUACGAUGGAGGAGCUUGACAAUCAGCGCCGUCAGCUGCAAGAAUCUUCGGACGAAGUAGCCCGCCUUACACAGUUGCUAUCAGCAAAGGAUGCCACCAUCAAGGAACUCCGAGCUUCCAAGAAAACCAUUGCCCGGGAGUUAGAAACUGCUCAGCAGGCUGUUAAAGUUGCUGAAGAAGCUGCUGUCACUUUCAAAGCUCAGCGCGAUAAGGCCCUGGACAAGGCCAUUCGGGCGGGACGAAUCUUGAUGAGAAGACCUGGCGUGGUUGUCCCCGAGGAUAUAAGAGCCGACGUGGUUGCUGCCCCUGAAUCCUCGAAUCGCCCUUCUUCGUCAGUCGUUCCUGAGAGAGACAUUGGAAAAUAAAGAAACAGUUCGCGUGCUCUGAGCGCGCGGUUAGCAUGAGCAAGCAUUCAUUUAGAGGACAUCAUCUUAUCAUUCGAAUGUUAUGAUAUCUUUCUUAUCGUAUCAGAAUUUAUUAGUUUGCAAAUUUGUGGUAAUGCUACAUGAUAAUUAUGAAGUUUGUUUGUGGGAUAUGGAAGUCAUCCCCUGAACUUCAUAAGCGCGAGUAUGCUAUACCGGUUUAAGCCGCCAAUGACUUUUAGCCGGUAAUUUUCGUUAGUAGGGUUUAGUGAUCGCCCUGGGUAAAGUAAGCGUAAGCACGUUGCACCGCCUUAAGUCAUUGUCGACUUAAGUCGAUUGCUCCAUUUAUAGGGCAUAGUGGUCACCCCGAGUUAAGUAAGCGUGAGCAUGUUGCACCGCCUUAAGUCGUUGCCGACUUAAGUCGAUUGCUCCGUUUGUAGGGCAUAGUGGUCACCCCGAGUUAAGUGAGCGUGAGCAUGUUGCACCGCCUUAAGUCAUUGCCGACUUAAGUCGAUUGCUCCGUUUGUAGGGCAUAGUGGUCACCCCGAGUUAAGUGAGCGUGAGCAUGUUGCACCGUCUUAAGUCGUUGCCGACUUAAGUCGAUUGCUCCGUUUGUAGGGCAUAGUGGUCACCCCGAGUUAAGUGAGCGUGAGCAUGUUGCACCGCCUUAAGUCAUUGCCGACUUAAGUCGAUUGCUCCGUUUGUAGGGCAUAGUGGUCACCCCGAGUUAAGUGAGCGUGAGCAUGUUGCACCGUCUUAAGUCGUUGCCGACUUAAGUCGAUUGCUCCGUUUGUAGGGCAUAGUGGUCACCCCGAGUUAAGUGAGCGUGAGCAUGUUGCACCGUCUUAAGUCGUUGCCGAUAAAUCCCCGGUGGCUGACGAUAAAUCCGAGCAACUUUCCUGCUGGUACUCCGAAAACGCAUUUUUCAGGAUUGAGCUUCCAUCUAUAUCUUCUCAAGCUGUUGAAAACCAGCUGUAAAUCUUCGAUGAAGUUUUCUGGAUUCUCAGUUUUGAUCACUACGUCGUCUACGUAAGCCUCCACACGCUUGCCCCAGUGAUCGGCUAAGCAUGUUUGAAUAGCCCUCCGAUAAGUCGCUCCAGCGUUUUUGAGGCCGAACGGCAUGGAGGUAUAACAGAAAGCACCAAACGGGGUGAUGAACGCCGUUUUUUCCUCGUCUUCUUUUGCCAAACUAAUCUGAUGAUACCCGGAAUAGCAAUCUAAGAAAGACAGCAUCGAACAUCCAGCGGUGGAAUCCACCACCUGAUCUAUCCUCGGGAGCCCGAAGGGAUCCUUCGGACAGUGUUUGUUGAGAUCAGUAUAGUCGACGCACAUGCGCCAAUCCACUUUAUUCUUUUUGAGUACAAGAACAGGGUUGGCUAACCACUCGGGGUGCAAUACUUCUCUAAUAAACCCGGCCGCGACCAAGCGGGCUAAUUCGGCACGAAUGGCUUCUCUCUUGUCGGGCGUGAAACGACGCAGCUUUUGCCGGAUCGGCCUCGCCUGGGGAUAGACCUUCAAUUUGUGCUCGGCCAGUUCUCUUGGGACUCCCGCAUAUCCGCAGGUUGCCAUGCGAAUACGUCUCGGUUAUCUUGCAGGAACUGGACGAGCGCGCUUUCCUAUUUGUCACUCAAACUGGAGCUGAUGAUAGCCGUCUUGCGCUCAUCAGCGAACCCCAGGUUGAUCCGCUUGGUGUCUUCAGUCGGCCGCAUAGAGGUCGUGGCCUGAGCUUCGUUUGCCGGCACGGCGAGGUCUUCAUCAGGCUUAGAGUUCGCCGGUGUAGAAGGAAUCGCUGAUGGCUUGGUGGUGAGGGCUGCUUGGAUGGCCACUCGGAAACAUUCUGCGGCGCCUUGGAAGUCGGCGCGCACAGUUAUGAUUCCUCGUGGUCCCGGCAUCUUCAGUAUCAUGUACGUGUAGUGUGGGAUGGCCAUGAACUUGGCCAGCCCUGGCCUCCCGAUGAUGGCGUUGUACCCGCAGUCGAAAUUCGCCACCUCGAACCUCAGGAACUCGGUUCUGUAAUUAUCCGGAGUCCCGAAGGUGACCGGCAUGUAGAUGUGGCCCAGCGGAUACUCCCCUUCCGUCGGCACGAUGCCGAAGAAAGGAGUGUCUGACUCGUGGAGCUCUUUGAGGUGAACUCCCAAGCCUUGAAGCGUACGGGGGAAGGUGACGUUGAUGCUGCUCCCCCCGUCUACUAACACCUUCUUCACCCGGCUCUCUCGGAUCACCGGAUCGACGAGGAGCGGGUAUUUGCCUGGGUGGUCAAAGUUGAGCCAUUGAUCCUCCCGAGUGAACGUGAUUGGGUGCUCCGACCACCGGUACGGGGCGGGAGGGCCGGUGGUCGCCACCAGUAUCUGGCGGUCGUUGAGCUUUUGUUGUCUCUUGUUCUCCUGCGACCCAUGUCCGCCGAAGAUGACGUUGACCUCCCUGUCAACGCGCGGGAAAGCUCCUCCUCCCCCCUCCUCCGGCUGAUGGGGCUGUCGUGGUUCAUCUGGUCCGCCUCUCGGCGGAGGAGGUGGUAGAGGUUGGAAGGGUCGGCCAUGCCCGACGGAGUGCUUGAAGUCCCGGCAGUUGCGGAGAGUGUGGCGCAUAUCUUUGUGGUACGGGCACUGGGCGUCGAGGAUGUCGUCCAGCGUGCGUUCGCCUCCACGAGGUCCUCCUCGGGCGCGAGAGGCGGGUGGUCCGGCGGCGUGUACUUCUUCGCGAGGCCUCUUCUCCCAGCGCUUGUCGGGCGGCUGGUUCGCGUCGCGUCGUGGUGCUGCUGGCGCGGGCUUUGCUCCUCCGAUGAGGUCCUGGGCUCGCUCGUCAGCGGUGAUGUAGAGGUCGGCUUCCCGGAACAGCUCCUCGGAGGUAGUCGGCGCCUUUUGCAGUAUGGCUCGGACGAAAGCCGAGUCGUUAGAUCCUCUGUAGAAGUCCUCGAUUACGGCCGCCUCCGUGACCUCGGGGAUGCGGUUUCUCAUGGUCUGGAACCUUUUAAGGUACGACCUGAGAGUCUCAUCCCCCCGGCGCUUGAUGGAUUUGAGGUCCCAUGGUUGCGCCGGCUUGUCGGAGAGAGACUGGAAGUUGGCGGUGAAACGUCGACUGAAGUCUCCCCAGUCGUCGAUGCAGUGUCGGGGUAGAUGUCGUAGCCACUGCAGCGCGUCUUGCCCGAGGACGAUGGGCAGAUACGCAGUCAUGACGUCCUCAGAUGCCCCAGCGGCCCGAGCAGCGGUGGUGUAGACGGCUAACCAGCCCCCCGGAUCCUGCUUAGGUUCAUAUUUGUCGACAUUGGAUACCUUGAAGUUGGGAGGCCAUUGGAUGGCCCUAAGGCGCGGAGUAAGGGCGGAUACUCCGCACGUGUCCUCCUGUCGUCGAGGAUGUCGUCUGUCCCGGGGAGGGGAGUGGCGGUGGUAGCUCCUCGACCGUCCCCGGGUGGUUCCACUAGUUGAAGCUGUUGCCGACUCAGUUCGAGUGGCCUGGCUUUGGGUCGGGAAGCCAUGAUCUCGAUCAUACUCCUCUCGACGGCGAAUUUCGUUCUCGUGCCGCCGUUCGCGCGAAGCAUUGAUAGAGCUUCGCGCGUCUCGGCGACUGUUGAUAGCGUGUCGCAGAUCGUUCGGCGGAUGGGCGAGCGGUAGAAGAUGGUUGGCUGCCUGAGUGAACAGGCGCCGGUAUCCCUCGGCGUCGGGGGUCCGAGGAAGUCCGUCAGCUAUCCGGGCCAGAACGCCUCCGACUUCGCUCGGCGUAUUCACGGCUCGGGCGAAGUCGGGGUUCAAGUUGCGCCCAAAGAGCGGAUUCUCGCGUCGUUGCCUUGCAUCUUGCUCGGCCUGCUCCUGAGUUCGACGACGAUUUCGUCGUCGGGAGUUCCUUCGUUCCCUGAAGACGCAUUCUUCCGGAGUUUCUCCUAUCUCUGAGACCUCGUCUCGCGAGACAGGUUACUCCGGAUCCCGUUCUCCAGCUGCAUGAUGUCGUCGAACGUUCCUGCGCCGAUUCCUUCGUCGGCGGGAUUCUCGCUGAUGCGAUUCUUCUCCAGGCGCGGUCGGUUCAUCGUCGGAGACGGCGGGUGAUUCUGCUCUCCCGAUGAAGAGGACGUCGGGGUAGAACGGUAUUGUUGCCACGGCGGCUUUCUUUCCGUUCUCCUUUGAGGUCGGAGGAACGGGAAGAACGACUGGCCUCUCCCUGGUCUCCUUCUUUCUCACGACCCGUGUCCAUUCUUUCGUUGGAGAAGUAGACAGCGGAGUCUUCCAGGUCAGCGAGCUUCUCGCUCCAGCCUCCCCGGAGACAAUCUUUUCUCGAAGAGCCGGAAGUAGCGUCUUUCCAGCAUUUUCGGAGUUUGUUGGUGGAGACUUCUGUUCCGGCAGAUCUGCGAGGCGGUGUAGAAUUCCUUCUUCGUCCGCCACGGAGGAGAUUGUCCCGAAGCAGAAUGUGGAUCCGGGACGCAUGGUGAUCUUGCUGUGGAAAGUGACGGCCAUUGAGCUAGCUUGGAUCGUCGACACACCCCCUACCUGGCGCGCCAGCUGUCGGUGUUUUGGGUCCGACCGCACACCCGGGGUUGCCCCUCAAGGUGUUUUUAGGAGUAGGACGGUGUCAACGACUGUAGCAAAAUGGUUCGUGCCGAUCGCACGAGGGACAAUGGACAAGAUUUACAGGUUCGGGCCGCUUAGAAGUGCGUAACACCCUACGUCCUGGUGAGUAUGUGAGCGUGGUUACAAGAGGAUUCUCUGGAUAGAGGGCGCAGAGAGUCUUUGUGGGUGGCUAAGUAGAACAGGGGCGAUCGAUCUGAAGGGGUGCCCCCUAGGCCUUAUAUACUCGACCGUGGGGCAGUACAUGUGAUAUGAUAACAACAAGUAGCUAAAAGAUGGUGAACCUCUUGAGUUUAUCCCUACGUAACCUCCGCCGACUUAUCCUCGCAUGGCUCCGUUGCAUGGGGGCUUCAGCGCGGGAAAGUCGGGUCUCUGUUUAUGAUUCAUUCGUUCGACGUUGUGGGCCGCCUGUGUUUGCACUAAUCAGUCCCACGUCUUCUUUAUUGGUUGUCUUUCCCUAGGCCCACGAAAGAAUGACCUUACGAAUUAUUGGGCCCUUGGGCUUUUCGUGAGGCCUUUUACUUCUUUAGUGGACCCAGGGGAUAUCUAUCCCCCACACGCGCGGACCCGUGCGCGAGCACAGAGGAGAAUCACCGGCGGCGGCUGUUGGCGAGAUGGUCUGCGCGGCGCGUUGCCGUGCAUGAUGGGGUCUCAUGUCCAGUUCUUAUGGCCGACCGCGAGCGUGGGUAGGCACGUGCCCCGCGAUUUCUUCAGGCAGCGGCGCCGGUCAAUCCGCGCGGACCGCGGACUCCGUUGGCGGCGCGCCCACCAAGCUCGGAGCGGUCUGUUACGAGAGGUGGAAGACAUCUGCCAUGCGGGUCCCGCUAGUAAGAGACAGUGCGCGCGCAAGGUGACUGCCGGUGGACCCCACGCGUCAGCGGAAGGGAAGAUGGCUGGUGAGCGCGUGCGCGACUGUCAUGUAGGGCCCGCCUGUCGGCGCCAUCACCAGGAGCUGGGCCGCGCGGGAGGUUAAGGGUUAAUGGGCCAGAACUGAGGCUGUCGGCCCAUGAAGGUCUUCUAUUCUUUUUUUUUUCUUUUUAUCUUUUCUCCCUAUAUUUCAAACUCUAGUAGUUGAAUUUCAAAUUUGUUUGUGAUUUCAAACCCAGGUUAAAAUCCCAAAUAAUGUUCCAGAGGAAGAAUUAUAAGCACUCAUAUAUAUUUUUCUUUGCAUAUUAUUUUCCUUGUUAUUUACUCAUGGAAGGAAUUCCUUUCUAUUUUCUCUUCUAUGUUUUCAUUUGAAAUUUUGAGGUCAAGUUUAAACUAUGAUUCUUUAUUCCAAUAAAAUGUAUCACAACAAUUUCUUCAGUGUGAUAUGUAUUUUUCUUUAUUUAUUUAUUGGUUAUUUAACUAUUAUUAUCUGAUUUAUGAAAAGAAAAGGAAACUAAUAAAUCUUCAAAGGUUUCAAAAGUAAAAUUCCCAAAACACUAACCUGAAUGUAUUUAUUUAUUUAUAUCAUUAUUUAUUUUUUUUCUAAUGUAAAAUUUUGGGCAUUACAGAAGUCGGCCGCGCAGUGCGGGCUGAUUCGUUUUCGGCCGGAUAACAGGGACACACCCGACAUGCGGGGGCCACACACCAGUGUAACAGACACGCGCGGGAGCGGAUGACCGGUGUGGCCCAUAGGUCAGCAGCACGGCGCGCGCGACGACUGGCCAGCGAGGUUGACGGAGCGCGGUGAUGGGCUACGCAGGAGCAAAAUGGAAGUGGGCCAAAUUCGGAGUUGGCGGCCCACUUAGCUAGUUUUCCUUUUUCUUUUUAUUUUCUGUUUCAUUUCGUUUUUAAAUCUCCAUUUUGAAUUCAAACUUGUUUGUGAGCUUCAUAACUGAGUUAAGUACCUAAAUUAAAAUAUUAGUAGGAACAAAAUGUAUUCUUUCAUAUAUUUAUUUUCCUCUAUUUUGUAUAAUCUCUCCCUUCUCUCUUUUCUUAAUUCUAGGAUUAUUUUAGGAUUUAAAUCCCCAUUUGGAUAUUUAACAUAUUUCUUUUUUGCAUUAUUAUAAUAUUGUCACAAAAAUGCACACACAAAUAAAAUAUUCAGCAUGAUGCAAUGAUUUAGUAGCAUAUCUCUUUAUUAAUUGUUUUUGGACAUGAUGUUCACAUAUGAUGAUGCAUAAAGAUCAAACUCACAUAAAGAGAAAUUGUUUCUCUAUUGGUAUUAUCUCUAACAAUUUACAAAGUGGGUGUUACAGCCGGCGCCGUCGACCUGCUCGACAGCCGACGAGGUGUCGCCUCCUGCUUGGCCUUGGUUGCCCCGCCUCCUCCUCCGUCGACGGGGGAGGGGACGGGGUGACCUCGAACGUUGUUCUUCCACCACGCGGGGAAGACGUCGUCGAUUCCGCCGCCGGCGGGCGGGCCGUCGGCCGCCAUUGUCGCUGUCGCACGGCGGGGAAGGAGUAUCAUGUCGUGGCUGCCGUCGAGGGACAUGAACUCAAGACUCCCGAAACGGAGCACCGUCCCGGGCUGGAAAGGUUGCUAGAGACUGCCCAUCUGGAGCUUGACGGGGAGCUGUUCGUCAACACGCAGCAGGCCCCUACCUAGCGCGCCAACUGUCGGCGUUUCGAGACCGGGGGGGUCCCUGGACCGACGAGUGAAUUGUCGCCGCGUGCCCCAGCCCAGAUGGGUCGGCGCGAGACGGAGCGCGAAGGGGGGAGGCAGCCGGAGGGAGACGGGCAUGAGAGGUGGAAAUCUCGCGGCCUUCGUGUUUGUCCCGCGCCUAGGUCGGGUGCGCUUGCAGUAGGGGGUUACAAGCGUCCACGCGGGAGGGAGCGAGCGGCCUCACGCGAGCGCCGUCCCGUCCUUCCCCGCGCGGCCCACCCUCUGUAAGAGGGCCCUGGUCCUUCCUUUUAUAGGCGCAAGGAGAGGAUCCAGGUGUACAAUGGGGGUGUAGCAGUGUGCUAACGUGUCUAGCGGAGGAGAGCUAGCGCCCUAAGUACAUGCCAUCGUGGCAGCCGGAGAGGUUUUGGCACCCUGUUCGUGUGGUGUCGUGGCCGUCGGAGGAGCGCUGGAGCCUGGCGGAAGGACAGCUGUCGGGGCUGUCGAGUCCUUGCUGACGUCCUCUUGCUUCCGUAAGGGGGCUGAGAGCCGCCGUCGUCAUAGGGCGUGCGGGGCGCCAUCAUUACUUGUCUGGCGGAGCGAGCCAGAUGGGACGCCAGUCUUGUUCCCCGUAGCCUGAGUCAGCUUGGGGUACGGUAAUGAUGGCGCCUCCUGUUGACGUGGUCGGUCUGUGCCCUGGGUUGGGCGAUGUGGAGGCUCCUCCGAGGUCGAGGUCGAGUCUGUUCUUCCGAGGCCGAGGUCGAGUCCGAGCCCAUGGGUCGGGCGAGGCGGAGACCGUCGGCUGAGGCCAGGGCUGAGUCCGAGCCCUGGGGUCGGGCGAAGCGGAGUUCGUCGUCUUUCGGUGCUGAGCCCGAGUCCGAGCCCUGGGGUCGGGCGAAGCGGAGUUCAUCGUCUUCCGGGGCUGAGCCCGAGUCCGAGCCCUGGGGUCGGGCGAAGCGGAGUUCGUCGUCUUCCGGGGCUGAGCCCGAGUCCGAGCCCUGGGGUCGGGCGGAGCGGAGUUCGUCGUCUUCCGGGGCUGAGCCCGAGUCCGAGCCCUGGGGUCGGGCGAAGCGGAGUUUCCUAUGGCGCCUGAGGCCGGGCCUGGCUGCUGUCAGCCUCACUCUGUCGAGUGGCACAGCAGUCGGAGCGGCGCAGGCGGCGCUGUCCUCUUGUCAGACCGGUCAGUGGAGCGGCGAAGUGACUACGGUCACUUCGGCUCUGUCGACUGGAGGGCGUGCGUCAGGAUAAAGGUGUCAGGCCACCUUUGCAUUAAAUGCCCCUGCGAUUUGGUCGGUUGGCGUGGCGAUUUGGCCAAGGUUGCUUCUUGGUGAAGACUGGGCCUUGGGCGAGCCGAGGGUGUGUCCGUUGCUGGAGGGGGGCCUCGGGCGAGACGUAGAUCCUCCGGGGUCGGCUGCCCUUGCCCGAGGCUAGGCUCGGGCGAGGCGUGAUCGCGUCCCUCGAAUGGACCGAUCCUUGACUUAGUCGCACCCAUCAGGCCUUUGCAGCUUUGUGCUGAUGGGGGUUACCAGCUGAGAUUUAGGAGCCUUGAGGGUACCCCUAAUUAUGGUCCCCGACAUUUAUGUUGUCCUUCUUCGAAAUUCCAAGGAAGGUUCUAGAGAAAUUAGAUCAAAUAAGAUCUCGUUUCUUUUGGGAAGGAGAGGGGCAUAAAAAGAAGUAUAGAUUAACUAAGUGGAGUAUAGUUUGCACACCAAAAGACAUGGGAGGAUUAGGAAUUAUAGACCUUGAUCUUCAAAAUAAAUGUCUACUAAGUAAAUGGCUUUUCAAGUUAAUUAAUGAAGAGGGUGUGUGGCAGUCAAUUCUUCGUAAUAAGUACCUGAUAAAUAAAACAAUCACCCAGGUGGAACACAUGCCUGGAGAUUCGCAUUUUUGGGCAGGCCUGUUAGGUGUUAAGGAUAUCUUUCUUCGCCUAGGCCUUUUCAAAAUUGGGGAUGGGACUCAAGUUCGUUUUUGGGAGGACAAAUGGCGUGGUAACGCAACGUUUAAGGAACUUUUCCCUGGACUCUAUGAUAUACUCCGCAAAAAGAGAGCUUAUGUUGCUUCUGUUUUAAGAUCAAAUACAAUAAAUGUGGCCUUUUAUCGAUCCUUGGUGGGUAAUAAUCUUAUGGCUUGGCAACAGCUCAUAGCCUUGAUUACCAAUACUCAACUAAACGAUCAAAGGGAUAUUUUUAUUUGGUCCUUACAUCAGCAUGGGAAGUUCACAGUGUGUUCUAUGUAUAGGUCUCUGGUUAGGCCACAAGUGGUUCCAAGAAAUCAUCCCAUUUGGAAAAUCAAAAUUCCUCUUAAAAUUAAAAUCUUUAUGUGGUACCUUAUAAAUAAUUUAGCCCUAACAACUGAUAAUUUAGUGAAGAAACAAUGGAAAGGCUACCUACGAUGUGUAGCAUGUACGUUAAAUGAAUCCAUUCAACAUCUGUUCUUCGAUUGCCAUAUUGCUAAAUGUGUUUGGCGUUGUAUUCAAGUUGCGUUUAAUAUUUCACCUCCUAGGAGCAUUGAUCAUUUAUUUACACAGUAGCUUUAUGGGGUUGAUAUGAAACUUAGCAACAAAAUUUGGUUUGGAGCGACAAUCAACAGAUGUGUGCAAGAGGGCCUGCAAUUUUUUUUGCAUGACACGUUAAUUAGACAGCAACAUUCACAUUUCGAAACAUAAAAAAACAUCACUGCACUGAACAAGCUGGCAAGCUCACUUUCAACACGGAGAGGUACGAAUAAUCUGAUAAGACAGUGUACUUCCCAACCAUAGCAAUCCUCACCUAAGAUAAUCACCGUUAGUUGCAUGGAACUAACAGUGCCAUGAAGGGUGUCAAAUAUAGCAGCUCUUGCAACCCAUUCGUCUAAAUUUGGCAAUCCUGGAAAUCCUAAAACCGCAUGAAGUAGAUACAGUCAUCGGCUAGCAGCAAGAAAUAUCGUUGCCCUCUGUGCGUCAGUGGAGUGAUUAGCCUGCAAAGGUGGCCGUGGACGAGCUCCAGCGAGAUACUUGCUUGCUGCCUUAGGAAAGGAGCUUCCUCUGCUUCCCCACCAACCAUGUAUCUGCUCCCUUGCCAUCCACCCGAGCACGUCGAAGCUCAGGUGCUCAAAGUGGGCAUGCCGCAACCACGGCUCCUCGUUGUACCACGCCACCAAGCACACUAGCUGCACAAUGUUCAGAUCAACCAGGUAGAGGCGGUUCUUGGAGAACUUUAUCUUGGCGAGGAGAAUAUGCUCGUAACCGUGGAUGCAUAUGAUGAAUUGAUGAUGCUAUUGUCGAGGACUUGGCACCUGCCUUCGUCCAUCUGCCCGAUGCUAACAAUGCUUGGGCAAAGCCUCAGGAUAAUACACAUCUGUCAGCGCCUGAUGCUCGUUGUUCUGGCACUUCGCCUUCCUCGGUUCUGUAGUGCUCUGCUACACCAUAGACCAUAGAGUAUUUAUACAAUGCUAGUACCAACUAUAAGGUACACUAGUUUAUGGGUGAUCUCAGCCCCAACUACUUCUAUAUAUGUCUGUCUGAUGCAUCCCACUACAUAGAUUGGCCUGUUGCCAUGCUAAUACAGCACCCUGGGUGAACAAUAACAGCUGACCAAAUGCCAACUCCACGCUGCAGCAAAACAAUCAAGGAGAGCAGCAUAUUAUCUUACAAGGCUUCUAGCUCUUUUAUCCGAUUGAAAACACUAAGUUCAGAGACAUUAUAUUGCAGCUCUUUUAUCGAACCUAGAUGCCCACCCUGUCUACAAACUACAGCAGACAGCUCGACACCAGUCCUCUCGGCGUACUUGUGAACUUGUGGUUAAGGAAAAAGAAUUUCCUGGAGCUUGAAGCUACAGAAGUAAAAAAAAAAUGCAUAGCACACGACACAGCACGUAAGAAACUACGGAAGGGAUACCUGCCAGCAACAAGAACAGGACGGAAACACAUGCUCCCAACUACUCCUGUAUGGCUGCCUGAUGCAUGCCACUACACAGAUUGACCUGUUGCCAUACUACUACAGCACCCUUGAUGGACAGCAAGAGCUGACCAAAUGACAACUCCACGCUACAACAAAAUAUUCAAGAAGAGCAGCAAAUUUGCUCAGACCCAAAUUGCAGUCAGAAAACGAAGUUUAGAAAACACAAAGUUCAGAAAAGAAUCACAGACCUAGAUGCCCAUCCUGUCUACAAACUACAGCAGACAGCUAGACACCAGUCCUCUCGGGCUCUCGGCAUACUUGUGGAGUUGUGGUUGAGGAAAAAAGAAUUUCCUGGAGCUUGAAGCUACAGAAGCACAUAAAAAUGCAGACCACACAGCAGAGCACUUAAGAAAGGUAUACCUGCCAGCAACAAGCACAGGACGGAAGCACAAAUUUAAUUUAGAAACAUGUCUUGGCCAAUAUUCUUACUUUCUUCAAAGAAAGAUAGUAAAGGUAUGAGACAUUCCAUAUUCUAAUUAGCCUCACGUAGGACUAAUUGCCACAUGAAAAGUAAAAGCCAUAGCCACAGUUAGUUACUUCAUUCUGUCGGAGAAAUACACAUUGGCAAUUGUUCACAAUCAAGGAAUGAUAUAAAAAGUGAAAUAGCGGAGCAAAUGCAAGCGGAAAAAACAGGGAACCGCGGGGACAACAGCAUUAGCUGACCCAUUCGCUUCUGACUUGAUCCUGAAUUCUGGAGCUUCAAGAGGAGAGAGCGUCGCGUUGGGGUGACAUCGAGGUGCCUGUUUAGAACAUAAAAUGUUUUAAAUAUUGAGAAACUCAUCAAUUGUGCUGGAAAAUGAAUAAGUAGAACCUGUACCUUCUCAUUUAUUUCAAGUGGCAAGUCUAAAGAAGCAAGUUUGGUAUUAGCAGUUGAUGUGCGUCCGGCGAAGGUGCGAAAUCUUUGGCCAGCUUUCCCCAUCAGGUUCUUGGCAGUUCUUCUUCAAGACGGGGCAAUUUACUAUACUUAUGCGCUGGAGGGAGGACGGCAUAUCUGGUAAAGAUGCUAUGUUGGGGCAACACCCUAUAGAAAGACUCUCCAGACUUGAGAGGGAUUUUAGAUUUCUUGGUAGGGACUCCGUUUUGCAAUACCAAAAUCCCAGGCACUUGACAGAUGAGAGAUUUGCAGGCUCUUCAAAUGAAACCGACGGUUCUUUGCAAUAUGAAAGAUCAAGAUUCGGUGGGACUGUAAAUCCUUCAGCCAUGAGCAUGUGGUUGAGCAAUACGGAGGUACUAACCGUGAGCGAUUCCUGGACACGAAACUGUGAGAUGCACUUGACAGUGUGGUUUGCAACAUCUUGUAGAGUUAGGUACUUAAGGUGCAGGGCAGACAAGCCUUCAACAGAGUAAAGAUCAGGGAGACCAUUUAGACGUAAUGAUUCAAGGGAGGUCAGGUGGCCAAUCGAUAAGGAUGGGGAGCUUCUGCAGACAUCAAAGGAAAGAUGUUUCAGAUGUGGCAAGCCAUUAAUGAACGAAUCAGCUGCAAGAAUGCAGCCACGGAUGUGGAGGUCUCCAUCAAGGUUCAACGGCAUUAGUUCUGCUCCACGUGCUAGCUCUAAAAAAGGACAAUCCGAACAGUAAAAAAAGGAAAGAGAUGGAGCAGCACGUAAGCCCCCCAUUGAUUUGAGACACAAACAACCUGUUACAACCAACGUGUCAAGCUUUGUCAAAUGCUCAAACACCUUUUCUGAUGGAAGUGUAGUUAAUGCCAUAUUAUAUUUCAAUUUUAAAUUGCUCAGUGAAGUGAGGCCACCAAGGCAAAUAGCUAAAGCUUCAUCUGUAAUACUGCAUGAAGAAAGAGAAAGUUCACAGAGUCUUGACGGUAGAACCAAUGGCAUGUCCAUGGUCCUUCCAUAAAUGAAUCUUAUCCUCUGCUCAUGGCAAAAGAGCCAUGCCUUGAUGAUGUUUUCUUUCAUCCAUACUUUAUCUUCUCUUUCUUCCAGACCACUUUCAAUAAUUUGAAGAUGCUUUGAUAUAUCAUCAUCCAUCAUCAAUGUCAUCAAUUGCUUCAGAGAUGAAUAGUCUUUCGACAGUACUCUCCUAACUUUUCCUGAAUCCACCUCCCACGUCAAUGCAAGUUUAGAUGCCAGGUCGUCUGCCUUCAUUAUUAUAUUUUCCCUCAAGUCAUGCUGUCCUAGCUCAUUGUUGGUGAUAAACAUAAGCAGUGGGCAAUAAUCAAUUGAUAAAUCUGUAAGGCCUACUGGAAG
RNAcentral lists this long non-coding RNA (158226 nucleotides) under Zea mays. RNAcentral describes it as "long non-coding RNA (ZMAY_LNC000218)". The record is from RNAcentral. Lineage: Eukaryota; Viridiplantae; Streptophyta; Magnoliopsida; Poales; Poaceae.